This 151232-nucleotide long non-coding RNA is filed under the name Brassica napus (rape). RNAcentral's name for it is "long non-coding RNA (BNAP_LNC000171)". The stretch from base 92442 to 92523 matches the Rfam family "tRNA". Lineage: Eukaryota; Viridiplantae; Streptophyta; Magnoliopsida; Brassicales; Brassicaceae. The record is from RNAcentral.
CUUUAUUCAAAAUAUAGACUAACGUACAGUUGAUGAAGAAAAAGAGAAUGAAAAUGAAACAAUAGUUUGGUUUCAGAACAAAGCUUUUAUUGAAGGACCCUUUAUUCAACAAUACAAUAACUUAUAGGAUCAAAGGGCUAAAAGAGAGGUAAGUUUGUAGGGAAACGAACUUGCAUCCAUUGCUUCUCAUACGUAACCAAAUGGCUCCAACCUAUCUCCUCCAGCAAACCCAGUUUCAUUUCGUACAGUUUCUUACUGGCUGUCUCGUUCUCGUUUUGGAUCAUCUCAUCAAGAACCUGAAAGUACCAUUAUCAAUCAAUUUUUUUACAGUCAAGAACACACCAUUUGCAGUUUUUCUUGCUAAAUUUGACGAUUAGAUAAACGUGUUUUACCUUCAAUGCAGUCCCGGGUCGCGAGAGCCGUUUCUCUCUUAGAACAGUAAGAGUACAGAACUUAGAUGAUUUCACGUCUACCCAUUUCGUCAGUUCUUUGUAAUUUUCUUCAAAUUUAUCCUUUUGGCUACUUUCUUCUUCUCCUUCAUCUUCCUUCUUACCCUGCAAAGCAAAUGAGUAGUGUGUAAUUGCCCAGUAUUUGCUAACAAAAUGCUAAUGACACUAUGUGUAGUUUCAAGACACCAACUAAUGCAUUGAUGAUAUCUACAGUCAGAUAAAUUUAUCAACAGUUAACGAUAGUCGAUAAGAGAAGUGAGAUCAGUAUUUGGUCUCUCGCCUUCAAAUUCGCGAGUCUCGCCAUGGCUAUCCCUUUUUGGUAUAGUGCUUCUGCCAGUUGGUCACGGGUCGUCUCCAUCUUUUUCUUCAAAUUCUAAUUUGAACAACAGGUGGUAAUCAGAGACGUAAAUAAAGCAAGUAGCUAGUUAAGAAUCUUUGUAAGAAAACGCAAUAAAUAAGACAUCACACCUCUGCUUCCUCGUCUUCUGGUUCACUUUUUUGUAGUAAGAAUCUUGCUAACUCGUCUACGUCAAUGCUGAGUAUUACUUCGUUUGCAGCAUCUAUAAUCUGCAAAAAGACAAGGGAAUAGGAUUUACUAUCUAUAAACGCGCAAGAGAUUAGUAGUCUGAAGAUUAUAUUUAAUGCAUAGGUCGAGAAAAUAGUGCAUAAUUUCAACAUUAGUAACUCAUUUGAAACUUUACCUCUUCGUGAUGGCUGAUUUUGUCCCCAGCUUCAGACCGAGACAGCAAACUUUCUAAGAUCUUAGCAAGCAAUGGGGUAGAGUUUGGGUACUCAGACUGCCAGGGAACAUAUGCUCACAGUUAAUCUAACAGUAUUUCAGAUUUGCAUACUUUUUACAGAACUUUCAAUUUAAAGUAGCAUCAAUCAUUAUUCGUAAAGAAAAAGGCUUUAGCUCGCAAACCUUGAGACAGGAACACAACUUUCUCCAUUCGGAACGAUCUUCCUCAGUUUCUUGUUUUAGGUUCCCAAGAAAUUUGAUCUUUAUGUCCCGAACCUGAUUACAAGGAAAUGCUUUCGUAAAACAAUAGUAGAAAAGAACACCCACAUCUUUAUAUUCACCAGCAAGUACUCCAAUCAUUGAUAUAAUAGGAGCAUUUGACCACAACGUUGAGCAAGAGCCUAUACAAAACAUGCUUCUGCAAAUAAUACCUCUUCUUCCAAGCGUUCUGAAACUGAUUUACAGCUAUUGGAAGCAGAAGCCGCCUUCUUAUCUUCCUCAGGCUAUUGUAUAAAGAACAAAAUAACAAACAAGUUCAAUAAAACUGGAAUACAAGGAAACAAAUAGAUUAAGCUCAAACAAAAUUUGAGCUCUUAUAGCCAGAUUUUCCUGCAUUACUACAUCAAGUAUCACAAGCCAAUUGUAACAGACAAACCAGAUCAGAAAAGGUAGGGUUUUUAGAUACCUUAUUUGGUGGAACCACAUAUGAUAUCGGAUAAGAAACAGGAUUAUCCUUUGGAUUCAUCCCUUCUUUAUCAUCAAAAGACAAUUUCCCAUAUGAAAUUUCUCCCACCAACACAGAUCCUUGUGGAGUAUUCUACAGGUAAAAUCAAAAUUGUACAUUUGAAAGAGAUACGAUGCAUCCAGAACAUUAAUUAUACCAACAAUCUACUAAACCUUGGGUAUCUUAUCCUUUGUUGGUGGGCCCAGGUAAAACGCUUCCUUCACCCUGUAUGGUGAUAAAUGAGGUGAGGAACACGUUCAGAUUUCAACCAAUGCAGCAGUCAGAGAAAUAUAAGCUAGUAAAAAAACAAAACCAGUACCCUGGCAUUAGAACAGAAGACUUAAAGGCACCAUUUCCUGUGACCGGACCAUCUGGUUCAGAAUGUAAGCUCAGCCGAACCUCCUGCAUCACCAACAAAAUCGACAGACUAGUCAGCUUUUCAUGAAUUCUAGUGUUGCAAAAGUAUAUAUAUAUAUACACAUCAGAAAACUGGCAAAAAUUGAACUCCAACUUUGUUCCGUAUUUCUUCUUUCUUUCCCAGACAAAUAUUACAUGUAGCUUUUCAAAAGCUUAAUUCACAAUCUCACCCCUAUAUUUCUUUCAAUGAACACAAUGAGCAGCUUCAAUUUUUCCAGCAGCUGUACAUUUUCAUGCCUGGUGAAAACAAUUAGAUUUUAGAAUAGAAGACAAAAUACGUAAAUAUGCACUGUAAAACAAAGUUGUAAAACCACAUAAUAAUAUCGUUUUCAGGAAGUUGUCUAAUUGUCAUUUCUGCCUGGGGAUUAGUAUGUACAAACUCUACCCUUCAAUUUUUAAAACAAAGUGCAACCAUCAAAGAUUUAGCACAAACCUCAGAUACAGCUGAAGUUUAUAUUCACCCUUGGGAAGUUUAGAAGACUCAGGAUAAACGUCACCCAUUGCAUAUACACGCUGAAAGUAUGCCAGGACAGCGUGUUAAGGCAAGAAAAUAAUAUAAAAUUAACACAUAAACAAAUUUGCUACACACACAAGCAGAAGAGCGUGUUUAAUAGACAAUGACAAUGAGAAUUUUACAGGCUUAUCUAUCUAUACUAGUACUACCCAGCCUUUUAGGUGGCAGUUAGAAUAGUACCUUGUUGGCAUCAGAGAUCAUAUAGAAUUGGGACUCAAAUUUAGUGUCAUAUAUGCGAUUGUUCAACAAGGGUAUAUACGGUUUCACUUCAGCUGCCUCUUCUAAUUUGAACUUGUAGCUGCAGAAACAAAAUAACUUGUUGACUGUAAAAAGUUUUGAUAAAGAGAUAGGCAAGAAACAGAAGGAUAACCCACGUCAAUGUCAAUGCUAGUAUUUGUUUGCCCGAGAGUAGUCUAUCCCGGCCAGUUGCUAGAGUCUUGAGUUGUGCAUCAACGGGUUGAUAAGGAAUGCGUAUCUGCAGUUAAAACAGAACACUGUCCAUAAGAAAUUCUUAAACAAUCACAGAAACCGGAGAAAAUACAAUCUCCAAAUAUGAUAUACCUUGUUCAGAACAGCUAUGGGAACGAGUUUUUCAGAUGCCAAUAGUGCUUCAGCUUCAACUUUUAUUGGUGCUUCACUUCCAUCAAGUAUCAACUCUUCUUUAUUCACACCAAUUCCGUGGAAUGCAAUCUAAAAUAUCACAAAUAACUUGCAUCAACUCAUGUCAAACAAAACACAAUGUACUCAAUAUAGCUGGAAGGCGUGAGCGACUUGAACAUAGAACUUCGUUCAUAACAUUAUGUCUAUUCACCGUUAAUUCGAUUCCAAAACCAUUCCUAAAUGAGAAUACACCUGCAGGAUUGAUUACUGAUAAACCAAAGACCUAACAUCUAAAGAGAGGCUAAAAUUGGUAAGGGAACCAGAUUGCAGAAAGUAAUAAGCAAUGCGUUAACAUGGGCCAAAGAUAUACCAGAAUGAUGAACUCAAAAACGUCAGGGAAACAGUAGGGGGAAAGGGGGACAAAAGAUCUAAAUUAAUAAUUUGGAGUUCAUUACCUGACACAUGACGACACAAAAGACAAAACAAAACACAAGCAUCACAGACACCUAUAUGUAAAAUUCUGAGUUCCUACCUCAAAGUCAACGAUAGUUGGUUCACGACUUCCAAGGCCACUGGACCAGAAUUGAGCUAGAGCUAGUUCCAUCGUUUGACCACUAACUACUGGAAACGCAAAGCUUUUAGCAGACGGAGAUGCGAAUGUUGUUGCGUUCUCCCACUUGAUAGGCCUUCGCAACGGGCAAAUCUGCAAAUUAAGAAACAAUUAGAACCAACAUUAUCAAAAACUUGAAUUAUCCUUAAAUGUGCCCUACCUGAAGCGUAUCAAUAUAAAAUCUCCGUGUAGUAUCAAACCCCGAAGUUCGUAUCGUAGCUUCAGCCCAUGUUGCUCCGAGUGGUACCUCGAUAAAUCUUCGUUCAAUGUGGCCUACAGUUGGAAUUGUUUAAAAAGGAAAUACCAAACAAAAAUAACUGCUGUUUGUUUGUAAAUCACAGAUUACAAAGUGGACAGACGAUAACCUGAGAUGAAAGACAUUUGUUGAAAUGAAAUAACUGGAGGUCGACUUGCCACAGUCUUGGGAAUUAUUAUUGUUACUGGGAUUCUGAAAAGAGGGCCACGCUGUGGAGCUUUGCAAUCAAUUCCAUAAACUUCAAAGUAAUGCACACCAUCCUCCAGAUUUGUGGGGUCCACAACAACGCUGAAAGGUGAUUAUGUAUUCUUACUACAGAGAUAACAAACCGAACCAGCUAGAUAUAGGAUUAAGAACACUAACUUGAAGCUACGUCCGUUAUGAGUGAGAAGGAGAUAAUCAGGAACCCGCACAAUUCCUUCAUUUGUGGAAUGCAACUCGAGACAUUCCUCAAACGGGACAAGUUCCUUUAAAUUACUUGCCCCUUCAUGGAACUUCGGCUCAACUUGUACCGUCCACUGGGAAGUCAAAACGAUGCUUGUUUCAAAAACAGAUACGAGAGAAUACAAAGUUCAAAAGUGAAAUAUACUACAUCUGGUAGGACGUAAAGUUCGCGAAGGAAAAUUCUAACUCUAUGCAGUGCAUCUAAAGACCUUAAUAUUCCAGAGAAAAGGACAAAAUGGUGUGUCGUAAGAAGAUAAUGACUUUAUAAAUAGAAUGAAAGUUAGCAUGCACUCGAGCAUAUCCUAUGAUAUAGCAACAGCUAACCUCUUGAACCAGAAAAAAAAAGCAACAGCUAACCUCAGUCGACUGUCUGGAAGCAGUAGGUUCCCGUAGGUAGAUGCCCCGUGAUGUUGGAUCUGCGUUUUAAAGUUCAUGACUUGUAAAAGGAAGGUUGAUGUUUUAUCAAAACACAAAAAUCAACCCCUUCCCCACAAAAAAAAAGCACGAAGGCCUUUAAUAUUAGCAGCUACUCACACAGGAAGGCCUUUAAUAUUACCACUAAGAUGCAUUAGCAAAAAAAUGAUGGAAACCAACACAUUCAGUUGCCCUCUUUAUCGUCAAUGAGAGUGUGGGAUAGAUUUCAGCAAGAAAAAUUCCAGUACUCAUCUAUUUAGAAAACUUCAAAAAUUGUUUUUCUUUACAUACUUGUUUUCCCCGAGAGAUUGACCUUUAUCUGAUAAAAUACGCAUGGAUAGUCCUUAAACUGCUUCAAGUAUUCAUAUGCCCUGUCAUAAUAAUAAAAUAAAUCAGAACUAUUAAAACAUGACGUCAAUUUAAAUGAAGGGUAUAGAACCUUACUUAUCAACUUGCAUAAGCCCUUGUCCAGUAGAUAGUUUAUCUUCAGGUAGAUCACCUACAGGAGUUGAUGUAUUCUCAAGGGCCCUCCUCACACUGUAUGGGCUAACUGGGAUACCCUCAGCCUGCAGACACAUGAAAGAAUUCCAGCAGCUGAAAUGCGCUGAAUAAACGAGAAAAGAAACAUAUGUGGCAGAAGGAAAAAUAAUGUCGAAGAAGAAACCUUCAUCGCACUUAGAAGUAACGCAAUUGCUCCACACGCAGAAGGAGAUGACAUCGAUGUUCCAUUCAUGAGCAUGCGUCUUUGAAGCGUCCAUGUAGGAACAGGAGCAACAGCCCCACCAGCAGCACUUAUGCAGACACCUAGAUCCCCAUCAGAGGUUGGUCCCCGGCUUGACCUACAACAUAACAAUAACUAUUUCAUGCUACCUACAAACUGCAACAGAAUGAAUCAAAAGAAAGGAAAAAGGUGAAUAUACCAAGUGUAUUCAAGCCCUUCACAGGGAGGUUCCACCACGGAAUGGGCACCAGCUGCCAUUGCAGGAGAAACAUAUGCACCAAUACCAAUGAUACUGGAAGUUGUUCCACCAGGUGCACCAACUGUUGUUAAUGCUGGGCCGUUGUUACCAGCACUACUUACAAAUAUUAGGCGUCUCUUGUUCACAGCCUAAAACAUAUCAGAAUGUCAACAAACGCAAGAUUAAAAGCAUAAAACUCAAGCAACUAAGAGCUGCCUAACAAAGAUAAAGGUAUGAAUGAUACUUCAGUAACAAGAUCAACAAAGCGUCCAUAGUCUGGAAGUAAUGCUGCCUCUCCAUAGCUCAUGUUGACAAGAUCACAAUUAUGCUGUGUCAUUAUAGCAGAAGUCAGCGUACAAAAAAAAAGUAUUGACUUGAGUCAAUGCAAAAGCAGUCACAUGUAACAGUCCACACAGAUAUGAAAUUCCUCCAUACAAGCUGAUGACGCAAAGUAGUUCAAGAGAAAAGAUACAAUUUGUUUUGUUCAAACUACAAAGGAUAUAACUUUAGGAAGUUACAAAAGAACUUUUUGGCUAAUGGUAUACUACAAUCAGUUAAUAAUUACCUCCAGUGCAGCUAUCAAUGCCCGUGUCAAGCCAGUUCCGGUCUCCAUUGACCCUAACCGCGAAUCUCCAAUUUUGCAUGAUAUUAUCUGCGCACCAGGUGCCACCCCAUUCAACAAGUGCUCCUAACAUACACAUAGCACGAGAGUUAAUUGAUUGCAUAAUUAUCAAAAUAAAUAACUUAUACAUAUAUGUGUGUGUGUGUGUGUGUUAGCACCUCGGGGUGGUGUGCAGAAGCUAUCCCAGCAACAUGAGUGCCAUGUGGAGAACUAUCAGUUACAAUGCUCAGGACAUUUCCCUCAUCAUACACAUUAGCAACAAAGGAGCAAGCAUCUAGUCGGCUAAACACGCCAUACUUCCGCUCAAUUCUGAUUUACAUAUUAGAAUGAGAAAAAUACGUAAAAUUUGUGAACUCCCAAGCAAAAAGUUCCUGAACUUUAAUAAGGGAUAGAUCCCUAAAGGGAGACUUGCCGGUAAUUAGUCAAGGGGGAGAAGUCUGCUAGUUUCCCGCAAUCUGGAUCUUCUUCGAGACUCUGCGUAUCAAGUGCAACCCUCCAUACUUCUCCAUCAUGCCACACGACAGCAUCAAUAACAGGCCCUUUGUCUUCAUAGUUCUACAGAGAAAAAAAACAAUGCAUUUACAGCACAGAUUCAAGAAAACAGCGAACACGUAAACAUAAUUACUAAAGGAAAUUAUCUAAACUUACAUCAGCUUGUUUCUUUAGGUAAUCAACUCUGCUUUGGAAGUCUUCGCGCGUCUUCUUCAGUUUCGCAUCAUCCACCUUGCUGUGCUUCUGAAGGCAAGAUUAAAAAACAAGGUUAAAAUAAAUUUGAAUAAGACUGUCAGACUCGCAAAAUUCACAAUACAGCAAACCAAAUUCAGUAUCUCCGUAGCACCUGAUCGAAAUCAUACAGAUUCUUGACAGCCUUUGCAAUUUCUUCCUGAUUCUUUUCAUCCCAGGUUUUUCUUCUUUCUUUCUGUGUGAUAAAAAUACAGAUAGAAGUCUUAGAUCAUUUACGUCAAAUUUCAGUGUAGGAUCUUGAGAUUUAAUAACUAAUCCAACAGACAAAAAAAGAGAACACAAUUCUAAUGGCUACCUUGACGCGAGAAGUUAAGGUAUCAGUAAAAAGCUCGUAAACCAACUUGCAACCUACACGCCAUUCUCCAGUGGGGUUCUUCCAUGAAGAAUUGACAACCAACGGUACCCCUGCAACAAAUUUGUUUAAAAACAAAAGAAAUAAUCAACGUGUGUCAACAUGAGCAAGAAAACUAUCAAGCGGAACUCCUAAAUAUCUCUUUCUAGAUCAAAUCACUAACCUGAUGCUCCACGAAUAAGACCAUCUUCAUUGGCUUUCACCACUGUGGAUGUAUCUAUAUCCCCGCUCCCAGUGCUGACGGAUACAAUAAGGUCACAGCCACUCAGAUGAAAGAAAAGCAUAUCAGAUGCAUAAUCUCAAGUAAACUAUGAACAUACCAGUCAAUGACGUCCAGAACCUUGGGUUUUCCAUCAGAGGUUACGUGCAAGCCAGCAGCAGAAGGAUCAAAACCAGAAUCUACGAAAGAUACAAUCUCAUUUGAUCAGUUCCUCAAUCAGAAUUUUACCAGCGAAGUUACAAACACAAACGAGAAUCACGUCUUCGAAAACCAAGCAAUCUCCCUAGUGAUCUGAUCCAAUACAAACAAUCUAACCAAGCCUAAUCGAUAAGGCUCCAUAAACGUAACAGACGAUUCAACAACUGAAGCGAAGAGUAAGUAAACAAAGACGGCGAGAAGGAAGUACCGAAGAUAGCGAUGACUACGCCACGACCGUCGUACUCAGGAUGAGCUUCGAUGAAGCGAUCAGCGCCGAUUUCUUUCUUAGGCAUGAGAGAAGCGAGGAAGGUUGAUUCGUUCAGCUUGAAAUCAGCUACGCAGGCAUUAUCAGAUUCACCAGCGCCUCCUCCUCCUCCUCCGCCACAACCGACGCGAGAAGUCUCGGAAGAAGAGCAAGGCAUCGCCGAGAAACCACUACGUCUUAAUCGAGUUCCACGAGAGCGAGAACGGCUUCGGGAAUUGAGUCUUCGAUGGAAAAUAAAUGGAAGAGAGAGUGACGUGGACGAAGAAGCCCAAUAAGAAGAAGAAGAAGAGCACGACGGGCCUCCGAACAACGCGCCGUGAAUCUGCAGACUCAGAUCCAUCUUCGGGAUGUGUGUUAAUUAGAGUAGGGGUAAUUUUGUAAAUUAAUCUGAGUCGCUCCUACUUGUGACUCGCGAGUGUCCUUUUGGGUUUAGUAUGUCAAUGGAAGAGGUGGCUGGCUUACUCCCCACUGGGUGGCUUUGCUUACUCCAACAAAGAUAACGAAAUUACGUUGGACUUCACUCUAUUUUCUUACAGAGUUCGAACCUUUGUGGUGACUUUAAAUUGUACAUCCUGGGUUUAUGUUUUGCUGGCCCUGAAAUAUAUAAAAAUUAAAGUCAAAAUAAAUGUUUUGUUUCGCUGUAUUGAGAUUUGAGAGCCGCCUACAUUGCUCACUCGUGUAUAAGAUUGUUCUCCUCAUUGUUGCUUUCUGUUUCAUUGAAAAUGAUUGGAAAAUCAUCCAAUUUUUUUUUUCUUUUUUUUUUGGUAAAAUAAUUUUGUGUUUUCUUGCUCCGUGAAAUGAGAUUGCUUUUUCUGGUGAAUUUAAACAUGAAACUGAGUAUUAGUUACUUGUUGGAUUUGUGACCUAUAUAUUACUCUUUUUUGUUAACACCAAAUGUUUAUAUUAAAAAUUAAACGUCCAGUAAACUAAGUCGGUUAUGAACAGAGAAAAACUGAUGAAAAAUAAUUUAAAAUAAGUCGUAUAAGCUUUAUCUAGAUCAUUUUUUUUUAAUUUUUAUUUCCUAUAUCCAAACAACUAUGAAAUCUUGAAGAGGAUUAGGCACAUGUGGUUCUGAAAAAGUUUGAUAAAUCGUUUUUUAAACAAAUAACAUGUUGUUCUGCAAAAAGGACAGAGAUGAAUCUAUUUAUAAGAAAAUAACUACAUGAAAAUUCACGUUUCACGUAACAAUUUAAUCAAACAAAGCGGCAAAAACAUAUAAAUUGCGCAGUCUGGUCUCACACUUUCAUCUGUUGCAAUCCUCCUUCUUCGAUGAUUGCAGACUGGGCGGAACUCCUCUCAUGGAUACGAGCUCCACCGGAAAAGAAGCAUUCACUCCUUCGGAAGUUGGCUGCUCAAUCUACGGUCUUCCAUCUUUGGAAGCAAAGAAACAAUAUCAUCUAUAAUCACACUUGUUUGACUCCUACAGAGACCUUCAGAGUUAUUGAAAGAGAGAUGAGGAAUAUCAUAUCAGCUAAAAAGGAUCACAAGCUUUUCAAAUCACUCAUGGUUCUUUGGUUGCGUUGAGUGCAGAUUUUAGUCCACUAGAUUGACUGCAUUGUUUCAUCUUGUUUUUUAUUUUCUUUUUGCCAAGAUGGAUCAACUCUAGAUAUUACCUUUGUAAAAUCUACUUUUCAUUAUAUGAUAUUUACAAUUUAGCAAAAAAAAAAAACAUAUAAAUCGCAUCAUUAUGGAAUGGUCAUCCUACGUAAUUACUUUUAACAAAAGAGAUAUCACUUUACCAUAUAAUUAUAAGCUUAUGCUAGACUUUUUCUCUUUAUUGCAUUUUUUUGUUAGGAUAUAUAAACAUCCAGAUAGGUACGAAUUUUUUAAUUUAUGUAUACAUGCGGUUGUGACAGCGACGACGGAUCCAUUUAUAAGACUAGUCAUUCAAUUUAGUGCAUCACCAAAGACUUCCAGAACGUAAGAACCGGUGACACGCUUAUAAGUAUGACCAUAGAGUUGACAUCAAGCCUAACGACGCAAACGCUUCGUUUCUUUAUUAACAUUAUAAGUUUUCUAAAGAACAGAGGAUUAUAUAAUGACUUAAUUAAAUAUAGGAUGAUUAGGUGGAGCGAGCUAUCUGUUGCAGAGCGCAUACGAGUCCUCAUUAUAUAAUACAACUUGAAACCAUGAUCAGGAUCAGGUACAUGUGGUUCUGGAAAAAGUACAGUGAUGAAUCUAGUUAUAAGAAAACAAAAUGUUACAGAAAAACGUUUCACAUAACAACUUAACGAAGAGCAAAACAUUAAAUCACAUCAUCAUGAUCAUCUACCAGCUUUGAUCUAGACUAUUUUCCCCCUUUAUAUAUAUCCAAACAGUAAACAUAUACGAAUUUUGAUUAUGAUUCUGUGCAUGCGGUUGUGACAACGAGGACGAAUCCAUUUUUAACACUAAUCAUUCAAUUCAAAGCAUCACCAAAGACUUCCAAAAAGUAAGAAUGAUGACACGUUUUUAGUAUGCCGUAGAGUUGACAUCAAGCCUAAUGACGUUAACGUUUCAUUUCCUUUUUAACAUUAUAAGAGUUAUCUUAAGACAAUCAAAUAAUGAACUAAAUAUAUGAUAUGGUCCAUUAAUAUUUUUUGUCAACUUUAUGGUUCAUUGAAUUCAAGAAUAUCAAACGUUUACUUUUCUUUGUUUCACAUUAUAGCAGCUUAAUAUAUUUUAGAUUGGUCCAUGAUUCUAGUGUCUCAGAUAUAUGUAUAAACGCUUCUAACCUUUUAUCAAGGAAUUAGUAUUUUAAACCUAAUUUAAAUUUGUGGAACUCACACCGUUUACGUAGAUUUUGAACUCAAGUCUAAUUGGUCAUUGUUAAUAAAGAAGACCUUGUUAUCCAAAAAGAAAUACCGUAAAAUAAGGCUGUAAAUUAAUAGUUUAAUUCGUUUAAAACUUAAGUUUAUUGUACUUAGGUAACAAUAUCCAGCUAUACAGCAUGAACCUUGACAAGCAACCAAUCAAUAGUCUUACACUAUGGAUAUAUGGCGUAAAAGGAAGACCUAUCAAAACGCUAUUUUGGGCUUAUUUCUUAUUUAUUUGUUGUUUUGGAGCCAUGCAGGUCUACAUCUAGUAAUGCCAAAAUAAUAUUUUAGCAAGUAAUAUUAUUUGUGUCUUAUUAUGUAAAAUGUUUUCUAUUUUUUGUUUUGUUUUAUUUAAAUGUUAAACAAUAAUUUUAUCAAACUAAUCGGGAAUAUCUGAAACAAAAACUAACUAAUUCUUCAAGAAAACAAUACUAACAACUAGUUCAACUGGUAGGUUUAAAUGAUGUUUAUUAAAAUACUGAAUUAAUUAUUAAAAUAAAAAAUUAAAAAUUUAUAUUGAACUUAUUAUUUCAUGAAAUACUUUGAAAUCAACUAUUCUAGUGAUUGUAUUUGAUGGAGUUUCUUAGUUAAAAAUAAUAAUUAAAUUUUAUUAUUUCACAUGAAAAUUUAAAGUUGUUAAAAAAAUUAUAUUAAUUUUUAAUUCACAUAAAAUCAUUUAAAACCCACUAAAAUCAAUCACUUCAAAAUCUAAAUUGAAUACACCUCUAGUUUCUAACAUAAAUCAAAUAAGAAUGAUAAAUUUAUACCAUACCCCAAACUAAUUUCUUUUACAAAUGUAUCACUAUCUGGUUUCAAUAACAAUUUUUGUUAAAAUAUACUCCAGUAUUUACAAAUUUUAAAAAUUGCUUUUUUAGUAAGAAAGAACAUUUUGUAAAAUGGGAGGAGAAGAGGAAGUAUGUGACUCCACGUUUAAAAAACUGCAAUAUUUUUGAUAGAACGCGUAGUUCUCAUAUAUGGCUGUCACUAUUCCACAAUCACAAACUUUGAAAAUGCCUACAUUUUUGACUCUGGCUUAACGUCUUUGUUUGAGCUACUCGUCAAAAAUAAUCUUAUUAAAUUUCUAGUGGCGUUUAUUAAAAAAUUACAUUCAAAUAUACACCACCAAAACUGAAAUCUAUUUAAGUCUUCUUUGUCCUUCUUCAUUGCAACUCAUCCAGUUUGUCUCAAGAAACUUUCUAAACCAGACAAAGAUCUAGAACAUUAUACUUGUUCUUUGCCUGAAACUUCAAACACAAGAAAUAAACAAACAAACAUGAGAGACCUAGCUUUGUGUCUGUUUAUUUUCAUCUUAGCUAAACAUGUCAGUUCUGUUCCCACAAAAGAACAGUUUCAAAGCUGCUUGUCAACAAUCUCCAAAAACCCCAACAAUCUCACUAACCACACAUCAGACUCCAGUCUCCACACCGCCUCUUUGAAGACUUCAUCUCCAAGCUCAAACAUCCUCAACUUGAAUUUCACAAGCCUAAAGCCGAUCCUGACCCUCAAACCAAAAUCCGAAUCCGAAAUCAAGAAAUCAAUACUAUGCAGCAAGAAACUUGGCGUCCAAGUAAGAACCCUAAGUGGUGGUCACGACUACGAAGGCCUCUCUUACCUCUCACUAACACCCUUCAUAAUCAUCGACCUAGUUAACCUCCGUACCAUCACCAUCAACCUCACGGAAGAAACCGCAUGGAUCCAAUCCGGAGCCACACUCGGCGAACUCUACUACAAAAUCGCCAAAACCAGCAAGGUCCACGCAUUCGCCGCAGGGAUAUGCCCAAGCGUUGGAGUUGGUGGGCACAUCAGCGGCGGUGGGUUCGGUACAAUAAUGAGAAAACACGGUUUAGCGUCUGACAACGUUGUGGACGCGCGUUUGAUGGACGUCAACGGGAGAAUCCUCAACAGGAAAACGAUGGGAGAGGAUUUGUUUUGGGCUCUAAGAGGAGGAGGAGCAGCGAGUUUCGGUGUUGUGUUGUCGUGGAAAGUUAAGCUCGCUAGGGUUCCUGAAAAGGUAACUUGUUUCAUAAGUCAACAUCCAAUGGGAGCUAGCAUGAACAAGCUAGUUCAUAGAUGGCAGUCCAUAGGAGCAGAGCUAGACCAAAACCUCUUCAUCAGAGUUAUAAUCGACAACAGUGUAGAAGGUGGUCAAAGGAGAGUUAAAACUACUUUCCAAGCUUUGUUUCUUGGUGGAGUCGAUAAGUUGAUUCCUCUGAUGAACCAGAAGUUUCCUGAGAUAGGAUUAAGAGCUCAGGACUGUUCUGAAAUGAGCUGGAUCGAGUCCAUAAUGUUCUUUAACUGGAAGUCAGGACAACCGUUAGAGACAAUGCUCAACAGAGACCUAAGAUACGAGGAUCUUUACUUCAAAGCAAAGUCAGACUUUGUUCAAAAGCCAGUUCCUGAGAACGUUUUCGAAGAAGUGACCAAACGGUUUCUCGAGCAAGAGACUCCACUGAUGAUCCUAGAGCCAUUGGGUGGGAAGAUAAGCGAGGUAUCAGAAAGUGAGUCUCCAUAUCCACACAGGAGAGGGAACAUUUACAACAUACAGUACAUGGUGAAGUGGAGAGUGAACACAGUCGAGGAGAUGAACAAGCAUGUGACGUGGAUGAGAAUGCUUUACGAUUACAUGACUCCUUAUGUCUCUUCAUCGCCUAGGGGAGCUUAUUUGAAUUACAGAGAUCUUGAUUUGGGAAACAACACAGGAAGCAAGACUAGCUUUGAAGAUGCGAGGAUAUGGGGUGAGAAGUAUUACAGAGGUAACUUCAAGAAGUUGGGUUUGGUUAAAGGGAAGAUUGAUCCAACGAACUUCUUCAGGAACGAACAGAGUAUUCCUCCUCUGUUUUGAUUUCUCAAAGGACAAAAACCAAAUGUAUUGAUAAUGUAUUUUUUUCUAGUAGAUAUGUGUACCCAAUAACAGUUGAUUCAAAGGCGAAAUUGAAUAGAAAAUAAACCGGUUUGAUUUCCAUUUUCUAUAACCAAACUAUAAAAGAAUUAUAAAGUGACAACCGGUUUAGACACCAUUGUCAAAAUAUGGUGAUAAGUUGUAUAUAGUAGUAGCAUUAACAUUUAACAGUGAAUCACCAAUUGCUGAGAAAUUCAAGAACUUGUCGAUCAAUUUGAGUUCUUCAACCAGAAGCUACCAGCCUCCUAAUUUGUUAGGUCCUUGGAUUUUGCAGUGUGAUCUGCAUAUAAUCGUGGAGAUGGUUAUGAAUUUAAUUAACCUACUUCUAAAGACAGUGUCACUUCAUAUUCCACGGAGAAACAAACGACUUGGUGGAUAUAUUAAUGAGUAUAAACUCAACAAUCACACUCGAGACAUCCUUUAUAGUCAGAACGGCAGGUUUGUGAGAAAUCAGAGGUCUUCGAUCGGGGUCCAACCUCAUUCAUGUGGCAUGUUUGUUCUUCUACAAUGCUCCUCUGGCAGAAUAUCAAAAGAUAUCGUCAGAGUAUAUGACAACCCACCAAAAUGGAAAAUCAAAUCAAAGGCACACAUUGACCUUGGAACAUGAGACAUUGCUGACGAUAUUGUCAUCACAACUGGCAUGGGAUCUGUACCACUUUGAGCAUAAAGAGAAGAAUCUUUACUGUCGCAACUUUACAAGUGCAGAAGAUCUGAAGCUUGUUAGGAUCCCUAAGAAGAAGGAAAAACUUGAUGUCAACAGUCCUCCUCUCAAGAAGAAGAAGAGAACAAGAAUGAUUCUUGACGGUACCCCAAGCUCCAUCAAGAUGCUUUGAUGUGAUUUGCAUUUUAUAAUCAAAAUUAAUAUAAAUUUAUAAUUCUUGAUUAUUCUCCAUGAUUGUUCUUUUGUAUAAAUUUUCCGUGAUCUUUGUAGUUAUUUCUUUCUAAAAUUGUUACCAUUUGGUGUUUUUGCGAUAGAAAAGGAAUAAAUAGAUCGAGUUUCUUUGUUUUAGCAGUUCAUCCAUUUUCUCAACAUACAAUAUAUAAUACAAACAUUUUAAGAAUGGUAAACAUAUAUUAACACACUCUGAUUCUAAAAGAAUUGGAUGGAUUGUUUUUUUUUUGUUAAAUAAAGAAUAGCAAUUUGUUUGAAUUGUUUCAUGUGUGUGUCUAUAUGAAACAAGGAAAAACAAUUCCCAGGUUAGAAUAUGAGAUCAUUUAGUUAUUUGGUAAAGUCAUCACCAAUUUUUAUUUUUUAAAGGUUCUGUUCUAUUUUAUAUUAAGAGUAUUAAAACAAAUACGUUUGUAGAUAAAUUUGUUUGAAAUUUUUUUAACACGUACGUAUUUUCUGUUUUAAAUUAAAACUAGAUUUUGAUCCGCGCAGGCGCGCGGGUGUAUAUUUUGAAAAAUAUGUUGAUAUUUGUUUUUCAUGUAAUUAUUAGGAUUUGGAAAAAUGAAUCCGAGGAACAUAACCGAUACCGAUCCAAAGAUAUAGUACCAAACCCAAACAUAAAUUGAUUAAAUAUUCUAAUUAUUCAAAAUUUUGUUAUUUAGAGAACCGAAUCUGAUCCGAACCGAAGUAUUUGGGUAUCCGAAUUUAUCUAAAAAUAGAUUUAUAUACUUAUAUAUAUUAAUUAUUUUUAGAUUUAACGUAUAUAAAACAUCAAAAAUGAUACUUUUAAAUUGGUUUAAAUACUUGAAAAUAUAUAUAGAUAGUCAAAAGUAAAUAUGUGAAAUAGUUAAAGUAUACUCAAAUCACCAAAAAUACUUAAAAUAAUUAUUGAUUUCGUAUCCAAAAUUUUAAAUCAAGCCAAUUGAUAUGUUAAGCUUAAGUAUUAUGACAUAUGUUAUUCAAAUUUAUACGUAAUAUAUUAUUUUAUUUAUACAUUUUGAGAAAUUUAAAAUAUAUAAUGAUUUAAGACUUUAAAAAUAAUUUAAAUUAGUUAUCCAAACCCAAACCAAACCCGCAAAGAUCCAAAUCGAACUCAAACCAAAAUUUAGAAACAUUCUAAUAAGGCUGAAAUCUUUGACCCCGAAAACUCAAAAUACAAACCGAUCAGAACUAAACCCGUAUGGGUAUCCAAAAGCCCAUCCCUAGUCAUUAUUAUAUAUCGUAUUUUAUCAUCAUAUAAUUAAUCGUAUUUUAUAUGUACCAUCAUAUAAGUAAUCAUAUAAUUAAUAGUAUUUUAUACAUACCAUCAUAUAAAUAAUUACAUAUAUUAUAUUUUUAAAACUUAAUAUGAAAUAUGAAAACCAUAAUUUGAGUUGGUAUUUCAAAUUGGGCUUUGUAUUAUAUUUUUCUUAUAUAUAUUGACAAUAUUUUUUUAUAAUGGUUAUUGAAAAAUAGUUUAGUAAAAAUCCAUUUUUGAAUAUAUGUAUAUUUUUGAAUCAAUUUUUGAUAUAAAUCAAAUUUGAAUUAUUAUUUUGAUUUGAAAUAUGUAUAUAAAGUUUAAAUUUUGUUUUAUGGUUAGUUUAGAAAAAAAAAUUUUAGGGAAUUAGAUUGACCCAUUUUGGUAUAUUUUAAAAGUGGCCUAGAUAACUUUCAAUUUUAAAAAAAAACAUAAGCCCAUUACUUUUUUUUCUUAAUACUACUAUCCUUGUUUUCAAACAAAAAUAUUUUUUUUAAAAGACUACAAUCCAUGUUUCCAAACACUCCAAAUUUUUAAAAGUCCUAUUCAAGUCUCCAAACACUCCAAUUUUGUACUUGAGUUUUAAUAAGAUAGAUAUCAAGUUAGAUAUUAAAUAAUCUAAACAGUAAACUUGGACAGUUUAGCCAUUUCAUUUAUGAAUAAGUGUAGUUUGCAAGAAAAAAAUAGUGUAGUUUUCAAAUAUAAUCUCAUUUAAAUGUAUUUUUCCAAAUUUUCUCUAUUUAUUUUCCUAUGCAACUUGAGCCAAGUUGUAAAACUCAGAGGGUCUUAUUGGAUCCAUGAUUUGAGAGGAUUUCAUUUUUUUUUCAAAUCUACUCUUAUUGUAUUUAAAUUCAAUAUGAAAUUCAAUUUUUUUAGAUUAGUCAUUUGUAUAAGUUUUCCCAAAUUCUAAAUUAUUAAAAAAUAGAUUUUGUCAAUAAAAUAUAUCAAAUGGGAUUUGGUGGGUUUGGGUGAGAUUUUAUAGUGAAAAAGUAAUGAGUCGAAAUACCAUCUCCUAUUAUGGUAUGUGGAACUUAAAAAAAAAACUACUUGACAUUUUUAAAAAGAAAAUCAAAUUGUUUGAAAUGAAAAGACUAUUUAAAAAUCAUUUUUUUAACUUUCAUAUAUUCUAUAUAUUUCAUAAAGCGAUAAAAUAUUGAAUUAUAGUACUUUGAAAAUAAAAAUAUUAUUUUAAUAAAUAUUUAAAAUUUUAAAAGUUAAAAAAAACUCUGUUAUUUCUUCUAAAAAAUCUUAAAACUUGUAACAAAUAUUUUUAAGAUUAUUCAAAUCUCGGAUAGAGAUGUUUUUGAAUUUAUUCAAAUCCUUGAUUCAGUAAAAGCCCCUUCAGUUUCUUUGAAAUUUGGAAUUUGAUAUCAUUUGUCACCCUCUUUGUAAUGACUAUAUUUACUCAAAGAGAAUGACUUCUAUUUGCUUCAUGUCUGCUAGUUUCUUCUUUUACCUUUAACUGCUACCAUGAGUGAAAGAAUCAUAUAUCCCUGUAUCUGUCCCACCUCUCUUUUUAGCUUUCUCCUUCUUCCCGGUGAGCUUUGUUGGUGGACAAAAGUUUGGAUUAUUCCGGGUUUUGGUCGUAACGUACAUGACAUAUCUGUUUGGUCGGAUCAGCUUAUGUUUUAUCUGCCUUAUGUAUAACUUAUUAAGUCCUUUGAUACCCAGUCUCAUGCUUAACUUUUCCAAUGACUCCAAUAUCUAUGGGAGUUUGGUUAAAGGAAUGCUAGAGAUCGUGAUUAACCAGAGUAAUUUCAAAACGAUCUUGAUGCUUGGUGCAAUUCCUAUGUUGAUUUAGGCAAUAACACAAGCUUUUGAAGAUGCUAGGGAAUGGGAUGAGAAAGUAUAUUACAGAGGCAGUUUCAAGAAGUUGGAUUUGGUUAAAGGGAAGAUUGAUCCAACAACCUUCUCCAGGAACCAAUUGAGUAUCCCACCAAACCAAAUGUAUUGUUAUGUAUUUUUUUCCAUAGUAGAUAUGUACCUAAUAACAGUUGACUCAAGACCAAAUUGAAUAGAAAAUAAACCAGUAUGAUUUCAAUUUUCUAUGACCACACCAUAAAACAAAUACACACACCACUAGAUAUGUUCAAAAUAUGGUGAUAGAUCGUAUACAGCAUCAGUUAAAACAGUCAUUUGAAUCACAUGAUGAAUCAAGAAGUGAGUUUUUAACACACUGAGAGAAAGGCAAAACGAAAAUCUCCGAUUUAAAGCUUCUUCUGAGCAGCCUUUGUACCGGGAAGUGUUCCAAAGACUCUAUCCCAGAGAGAGGAAGUGAUCCCAUAUCCUUUGUCCUGGAUUCUGAAGUGAUGAUUCAGGUGGUAUUUCUGUAAACCGUAUACCAAAAACUCAGUCAGAAAUUCAGAGGAAUAAGUUUGAAUGCCACAAAAAGAGAUUCUUUUUUUUUUUAAUAAGGGGAUUGAUUUUACCUUAAGAUGCUUGAAGGUUGGUUCUUUAGGUUGACCAUGGUGCAGAUAGUAAUGAGUAACAUCAUACAUCACAUAGCCAAACAAAAUGCCUCCAAGCAUAGCAGGAGCUGUAGCAGGAGUAGCUAUGAGGUGGAGAAGCUUCCAUAACUAACAGACAAGGACAAGAUGAUGAACAACAUCGUAAUAAGUUCACAUUUUGAAACAGAAAAGACUCAUAGAUACUUACUGGAACCAAGAGAAUGGCUGUUGCGGUAGGAGGGAAGACAAGACGAAGGCCGUCUUGUGGGUGCUUGUGAUGGCAUCCAUGAAGAAGAUAGUGUGCAGUGUUUGCCCUAAACAAAACAAAAAAACAGAAUCAGCUUAGUGAAGAAACAUGUUAUGUUUAUGUUGCAUAAUCAUGAACACCGAACUAACCAGUAGCUCUUGGUUUCUAUAUGGAAAAGGAAGCGAUGAAGCGUGUACUCGAGAAGUGUCCAGGUGAGUACGCCAAAGGCAACUAUCAAACCGAUCUGGGGAAAUGUCAGUCCCUUCCUCGCGGAGAUUGAAAGAACGUAGCAGACAACUGGAAGCCAGAUCGUUGGGAUUGCCCACCAAACCGUGCGAGUCAAGAACUGCUCAAAGUUUCACAAAGAAUGGAUAUAAAUAAAAACAAAGAGGAUGAUGAUAUACAUUACAAGAAGAUAAAAAUAUUAAAUAGAAAAGAGUUGUUACCUCCCAAAAAUCACUCUGGAAAAAACGAGGACCCUCUACACAUACAAUAGGCUGAUGAAUCCAUUCCUGAUACUCUUCCCCAAGAUGACCAACCUGAUGAGAAACAAGAAAGUUUAUUUUUAUCAGGACACUGAUGAUUUGAAGGUUGAAGAAGAAAGUCCCCUCUUGUUACUUUGUCUUAACGAUCUAACAUGAUGAAUACAGAUAAAAUCUAUGCCUCACCUGAAAGACAAGUGGCUUAUCCAAAUCGACUGUGAAGCGUUCUGCGACCAUCUUUGCCCACCCUGCUGAGACUCCUGGCUAGAGAAAAAAAAAUUAAAACUUAAAUUAGCAUAUAACACAUGUACUGUUGAGAACAAAACAUAGAAGAUGAACAGUAUAUAUAAUCAAAAGGUAAACCAAAACUCAAGACUACUACUUAUUUUAAAAUAUGUAACUGGUAAGUCAAGAAAGAAUUGGAACUGAAACUGCACUCAUUCAAAUACAUAACAUUGACGGAAACAUCACUCAAAAUACAAAACAUUGACGGAAACAUUACGCAAAAACCUUCAUCUGACAAGAACAUAUUAAAAGAAAUCAAAUCUCUUCUCAGAAACUCUAUUUCCAAAGCUCGAUUUACACAAACAAGAAUCUCAUACUGAGUCAAUGAAUGAUCCAAACAAAAAGGUUAUCUCAUCAACAUACCUAAAGACAGAGCCAAUCAACGAAAACAACAAUGUGUUAAAAGACCGAAACUUUCAGAGAGAGAAACAAAAUCAAACAUCAGAUUUUCUAGGAGACCAAGAAACGCGUCAAAGGAGAUGACGAAAUCUAGACGAGGAGAAGAAACAAAAAAAAAAGCCAACAUUCUUCGGAAUUUACGAAGAAAAAGGUCCGAUUUUUUCGCGAGAAUGUGAAAAGAUCUGAAUCGAGAAUGAGAAGAAGAAAGAUCUGAGAAGCUUUUCUUUACCUUUGAAGAAGAAGAAGCGCUUCUCUCUCUCUCUCUGGGAUCGGCAGAGACUCGCUUACUCUCUCCAAUGAAGGGGAAGGAACAAGAACAGCAGCAACACUCUGUCACACAACGAUGGGUUUAUUAUGCUUCUUCUCUUGAUAAUGUUCGGCCCACGUUUUCUCUCUUUUUAUUUCUGGCUUUUUUAUUUAUUUUUGUUUUAUUCCAUUUUUAUCUUUCGUAUUUACGGUUCUAAUUUUAAAAAAAAAACGUUCAACCAGAUCAUUAUUGGCUGGCAAAAAAAUUAAAAUAAGGAAGGGCUUAAAUUUUUAAGGAAGAUGUUGCAAGAAAUAGUAUUUUACUAUUCUUAUAUGCUAUUCUGUAAAAAUAAAUUAAAAAAUUGAUGUUUACUGUAUAUACAAAUUAAAUAGUUUUUCUUCUUAAAGUUCACAUUUAAUGAAAUAUCAUAUACUAUGUAUGGAAAGGAUUUUAAAUGGUUACUUUUUGUCUGAUUUUGUUAACCCCCUUAAUUAGAUUUGCUAAAAUUAAAAGUCCCGUAAUAGUACAGUACAGCGCAUGCUAGUUGGUUUGGGUAUUAAAUCUUGAGAAUUUCUAAAUAAAUGUUUAUAUAAUAUGAAUACUAGGUGUCUUCAUAUACUAUAUGCAGAAAUAGAAAUUUUAAAAUUUGAAAUAUUUAAAAAUAAUUUUUUUUUUGAUUUUUAGAUUUUGUUAUUUGCUUACAAUAUUUAAUUUAAAAUUUUAGUUUAAUUAUAUGUAAAAAUCAAGAUAAAAUAAAAAAAAAUAUUUAAAUUUAUAUAUAUAUAUAUAAAUUAUAAUCUUGUGAAGAUUUUUUUAUCUUUUUUUGUUGAAAUAGAUUAAAUAAAAAUCUAUAAAAUUAAGAGAAAUUUUGGUUAGGUAUAUAAUUAUCAAAAAUCAAAACUAAAUAAUAUUUAUAAAAUUUGUAGAUAUUAAAAAAAACUUUAAUGAGAUUAGAAAAUUACAAUUUUUUUAAAAAUGCAUAAAUUUUCGAAGAUUUGUUUUUUUAUAAAAAUUAUAAAAAAUAGAAUUUAAUAUUUCAAAAAUUGUAAAAUAUUAUUAUAUUUCUAGUUCAACUAUUAAAUUAUUUAUGUUAUAUUAAUGAUGAUUUAUACGUUAUUAGCAUAUCCUAAAAAAAUUUAACAAAAAAAUAUAAACUAACAGUAAAUAUAAAUGUACAUGUCAUAAUUAUAUUUAACCUAUGUAAUUUCCCCAUUAGGUUUUCCAGAAUAACAUACAAACUUUAUCAGCUUGUUUUUUAUAUAUAAACAUAAUGCUCGUUUCAUAGAAAGGGAAUUUUAUUUUUCACUUCUGAGUUAGGACAAAUUUCACAGCAAUCGCAUGAUAAAGAUUUUUUCUCUUUUUACCAGCACGAUGAAUACGUAUAAACUAUUGUAGUUAACUGAACUGUGAUGAGAGAAGAACACGUUAAAGCUCUAAUAGGAUAUCAUAUUAUAUCAACUCUCUUUUUUUGUAAAGUUUGAGAUAGUCUAAAAAUCUUUUGUAUCAUAUCAACUCUUCACAAACACUAAAUAUAUUCUUCUCUCAUCGCUGUAAUAUAGCCUAUAAUCAAUCAUAUGAUUCAUGUGCAUGUAGGCGCAGUGCAAUCAGUUGCAGCAUUGAUUCGUAAUUUAUCCAGACGACUACUGCAUGUAUGACUAAUUUUAGUUAAUCAAGCAUUAUAUUUAUUAUUAAGUUCUUAACUUUGUUGAAUUAGAGUAUUGGAUAAUUUUCUUACAAGUAAUACUACACAAAAUAUAAAUAUCCGGGAGAUAGUCUAUACGUGAGAUGCACUUCUCAUCCAAAAAUUAGGUAUGUGUUUUUAAUAGAUUCAGAUUUAACAAUUUUCGGUUUAAAAAAAACACAAAUAUUAAUAAUAUAUGAACUUAGUAAUCGGUCCCAAACACAUUAACCGAUGAUGACAAAUGGUUUGAAGAAAGCAUAAAUGAAGGAAUCAUNNNNNNNNNNNNNNNNNNNNNNNNNNNNNNNNNNNNNNNNNNNNNNNNNNNNNNNNNNNNNNNNNNNNNNNNNNNNNNNNNNNNNNNNNNNNNNNNNNNNUUUUUUUUUUUUUUGUAGGGAAACUCGAAGCCGUGAUUUCUCUCUCAAUCCAGGUCUUAAAUCCUCACCACCAUUGCUAACAUAACAUUGCUUCGAUUCUCUCUAAUCAUUUUCGUCGCGUCAUCGUUCGUAGUAACUUGAUUGUUUGAUUAUGUGUGAAUGUUCCUUACGUAACUAACUAUAUCGUCUUCUCUUUGAGUGUUUGUUUUAUUCGCUUAACCGUUUUAGUACUUUGGCCAUCGAUUCUCAAUCUGUCUACUGUAUUAGCUCUCUACAUGAAUGGAGGAACAUUGAUCCUCUUGUGUUGUUGUUUAAUUUUCUGUUACAGCAUCUUUGUAUUUGCGUGAUUGUUUUGAUUAAUUGUGAUAAGCUUGAGAGAGAGAGAGAGAGAGAGAGAGAGAGAGAGAGAGGGGAGGAGGAUUUACCGGGCACCAGGCUCUCCGCUUGCGGCAAUGAGCUUGUGUGAGUCAAGGAGCAUGAUCUUGUCCUCGUUGUUCUUGUGGACAAGGAUACUGUGAACCGCUCUUUUGUGGUGUUAGUUUCAAAUGUUUGAAUGACUGUUUGAUUCUGGAUUUUUUUUUUGUAUUUAUCUACCUACUGUUUUUGGCUCUACACGUCUCGUGAUUUUUACUGUGAAUGUAGAAAAAUUAGUCUGUUAUUAUUAUUAUUUUUUAGUAUUUUUUUCUGCUACAGCAAUGGCGAAGUAUAGGAGGAGGAAGUUUCUGGAGGAGUCCAACGGCGCUUCUGGAGAGUUCCCCGAGCACGGGGCCAUCUUCAUGUCCAACAGCUCCACCAGAAGGGAAUGCCUUAGACGAGAGCUUUUCGGUUUGCCGAUGGGUCAAGCUGGUUUUGUGAAACAUGUCAAAGCUGGGAUGUUUUUGUUUUUGUUUGAGUUCGAGAGUAGGGAGCUACAUGGUGUGUUUCAGGCUUGCUCCGAUGGUGCUAUCAACAUUGAGCCUGGUGCUUUCUGCUCUACUGGGAAACAGUUUCCUGCUCAGGUACAUACUUGGGUUUCAUGUUUUUUUUUUUUUAAAUCCAUAGAGUAUGUUUUGGUUAUAUUAAUAUUGUGUGUUUGUGGUCCCAUUUGCUUAGGUCAAGUUUACUGAAAAGUGGCGUUGUAGGCCACUUGGUGAGAUGGAGUUUCGUCAUGCGAUUAGUGAUAAUUACUUUACUGCGAAAAAGUUCAACUUUGGACUCUCAAAGUCACAGGUGUGUGGUUGACUAUUCUACGGUAAAUCCAUGCAUUUUUGGUGAAUCUUUAUGGUUUUGUCUCCACUUAUCUGUGUUUGGUUAAAUUAUUCGGAUUGUGGUUUGAAAAUGUUAUUUGUAGGUUCAAAGUCUAUUGAAGUUGUUUAGCUUGAAGAAGUUAGAGAGAUCAUUGUCCACUAGAAAACUAGAAAGUAGGUUGGGAAAUGCAGAUGGUGGUCGCGGCUUUAGGGAUCGUCGUGCAGAAGAAACUGAGGGAGAUGUUGACCGUAAGCUUCCCUUAAGAGUUACAUCUGCAGGAGAUGCUCGUGGUCGUAGGUUAUCAAAAAACUAUGGGUUUAGGGAUGAAUCUGAUAGUCGCGUCAAAAAAGAAGAGAGUGACUACUCCCGAGAUGCGUCUGGGGUUUUUAGGAGACUGGGUGAUCCCAAAUCGCGUGGGUUCGAGGAUAGAUAUGACCCUAGCAUGAAAAAUAGCUCUAGGACAGAUGAUGACUCUAAUUAUUCGCUAGUUAAUGGUCGAAGAGUCCCAAAGAACUUGAGUCACCCCGCAGGUGGCUGGCUAGAAAACGAGUACCAUGAAAGAGACGGCUUCACACAUGAAAGUAACCACGAGGAACACCCUACUUUUGAAGAAGAUUCAGCGGUUCCUGCUCAAAGCUCAGUACCUCCGGAAUCAGACACAGAACACUAUGACCCUUGUAAUCCUGGGAUCAUGGGAGGUGCAGCGAUGGAAAGCUCUAGGUAUGAUAUUGAUGAAGAACCGGACUACUACAUUCCAAUGCCUACUGAACAUCCUCAAUACCAAACUAGCACUGGCAUAGCUGGAGCAUCUCGUUCUGAAUAUGAAUCUAGAUAUGGUCAUCUUGGUCAUUCUCAGCUUCCUGGUUUCCUAGCUUCUGAAGAUGCCACGGAGAACAUGAUGAUGAACUCUGAGAGGCCGUCUUACCCCAGCCACAGCAUCUACCCUUCCUUUGCUUACCCUUUGUCGACAGAUUUGUCUCCUAACGAGGAAGUCAACUAUAAAAUUGCAGCAUAUCAACACCAAGAAGAACUUGGAGGUCAUGCUUCUUAUUCGGACGAUAGGGCGGCAAGGGAUCCCAGGAUUUACCCUUCUUUUGCUUAUCCUUCAGAGCCAGGGGAUGGAGUUGAUUUGUAUCAAGAGAACAGAGCUCAGAACAAAGUUCAAGAUCAUCAACAACAUGAAGAGUUUGGCAGUGAGGCUUUUGACUCUGACAAUAGGGUGAUUCGAAUGAAAGAUGGUGUUAGUCCUGCUGAACCUGAAAGAAAGAGAGCCAGAAAAAGUGUCUUUAGUAGGCUUGUUAUGCCUCCAAGAGAACCUGUUGCUGAAAAGGAUCCUUCUCCGGUCGCUGAACCAGUCAAUGAGGUAAUGGCGUUUCUAAACGAAUGUCAAAAACAUCUGAUGGAGCAAAAAAGACCAGAUACAGCUGAUCCUGUAAGGUUUGUUAAACCCAAGAAGAAAAAGGAAAAGAAUCAUUCAAAAGAGGCACUUGACAAUGGUGCGAUGAUUCCUUUUACCGAGACUAGUCCUGGUGAUAUGUCUGAUUGUGAAGAAGGGGUGGAACAUAAGCAACCAUUCAUCGACUUUAAGCGUCGUAGCCAAGCUGAAAAGAGCAAUCUAAAUCAAGAGUGUAAAGAGAGCCUCGAAGAUUCAGCUCCUCAGGACAAGAAAAGGAAGCUGCUGAGGCCAAGACUAAUCGAAGAUGACUCGGAAAAGAAUAGAGGAAACAAUGAUAAUCCUAUUGAAACUGACACGGCCCCAAAGUCAGCUACUGAAGUCCCCCUCCUUGAUCUCCUUGCACGGUUUGGUCAAUAACCAUUCACACUGAGAUGGAAACAUGGAAACAGUAAAGGACAGAACAAGGCCUCUAGGAGAGGAUAUGUAUCCAAUUGAAUGUGGGCGUUGAUCCUUGGCAGUUGUCUUUUAGUUUCUUCCUAAGAUGAAGGUGGUCAAUCUUUUUUAUCUGUAUCUUCAUAAACAUGGUGGUCAUAUCAUAUCUAGUAGCAUUGAACAAUGCUUACAUGCUUUGGCAAAAGAGCAGUUUCAAGUUAGGAUUGCUUUGGUUUUUUUUUGAUGGGAUUGCUUUCAAUCUCAUUACUAGAAUUUUGUAAAUGACUUUGCAUAAGGCAAUUGGUGAAGAGGAGGAAUCUCAAUUUUUAGGAUGAGACAGAGAUUUAUUUGUGUGGUUUAUUUUUAUUUCAUAAAGCAAAGAUAAACCAAUAUACAUGUCUCCUCAAGCUCUCAACCUCAAGGCUGCUAUGGAGAGAGACAGAAGUAACAAACAUUAAUGUAUCUAGUUCAUAGCGUUUGGUCCAAAGCAUCUGUUCCUAGUAAGAUCCCAAACCCAUUGAAUCAAAUAUUUUCUUCUUCCAACUCCAUUCACAUUAUACACACUUCUCCACCUAUCCUUGUACACAAUCCCCAUAUACCCACCUCCACCUCCUGAUCCAUACACUCCCAAACACAAAUCCGCUAUCUCGGUCGGCGCCAUUGCAUCUUCUCCUCCGUACCAUCCGUUCAACAUAGGGUUACUCGACACUUCCGCCAGCUCAUGAGCUAUCACACUGAUCAUCCCAUCGAUUCCCACCUCUCCAUUUGGUGGUUUCAUCUUCUCUCUGCUCACAAACCCGCUUCCUGGAAACGGUUUAGGCUGCGCAAAAGGGUACGCGCACAUCUCCGGACACUGUUUCCUACUGUUCCCGACCCACACGUACGGCACCGUUGCACCAACGAUGGUUGAGAAAGUGAAGUAAUGGAACCCGCAGAUGGCUCUGCAGAACUCUUGCAUCUCUACAUCGUCUGAGGUCAGGACCAUGUACAAGCCGUUGAGAGAGUUUAGUGGUAGCUUGUUGGCGACGGCAGUUCUGAUGAUGGACUGGACAGAGAAGCGACUGAGUUGAGAUCCAUGAGAGUAGGUUGAGUCGUGGAACUCUCCGGACAAGACAAGUGUUCUGGUGAUGUUGGAACCUGUUUGGUCUCUGUAAAGCCUCACCGUCUUCCACCAGUCGAAUACUGAAGGAUACCGUGCCGGUGAAGAGACGGAGUAGAUGAAGUCUCUGAUUGUAGACUGGUGAGUUGGGUUCCAUCGACCGUACCAUAUGAUGUAAAGACUAGUCUCAGGCGAGGAUAUGACCGGACCCAUGUGGUAUUCAAGGUUUACAAGAUCGGAGGAGCCUUCGUAGUUCUUGCUUUCGUCGUAGAGUUGUCCAUCGGAUGUGAAAGAGAGUGAGAGGAAGAACAAGAAGAUGAGAGAGAUCAUCUUCUCAGGGGUUUUGUUUGUGAUUUGGUGAGUGAAGAACUUGGAGAUGUUAUUGGUGUUAUAAAUAGAAAGGUACAUGCACUCCAAAGUAGAAGAUAUUAGAUUAGAAACUCCAUUUGUAUGUAAUUUUUAAGUUUUAUACAUUAUGAUAUAUGUAUAAAUCAAUGAGGCUGUCGGUUAAGUAGAACUUUUAAGCUUGAUUGGUGGCACUGUUAGGGUUAGACAUAGAGCCCCACUUGACCAAAAGCAUGUUUACCACUAAUGAUUUCUUGUCAAAACUAAUGAAAAGAGGUACUAUGACCAUUAUUACAUAAAAUAGUAUAAGAUCCAAUAUCGGAAAGUGAAAAGCUUUAGAUGUUAGCCUAGAGAAUAGAGUAACGCAUUAACAUAAAAUUUCAACAGAGUUGGGAAAUCAUCUGGCAAGUUAUUUAAAUCAAAGAAAACAUUUUGUAUAUUCAAAUCUAAUAGUAUAACUUUUGAAUUAUAUGCUAUUCAUAAGUUUUAGUAAAUCUACAAAAUUAACAUGAUCAGUGAUCAAGAUUUACCAUCUAUCAUCGCUAGUCAAGUCACUUUUACAGUUUGACUAAACCAAUGGAAAGUCGUUAAACCUUUAAUUUUUAGAUUCUUGACAUAAUAGUAGACAUUAUGCUGAACAGUUCUAUAUGUAUUAGAUUAAAAGUUUAAAUAAAUUUAUUUAUAUUAAUCUGUAAUUGCAUCUUAUAGAACUUGAACAACAUGUUUCUUUCUUUGUACAAAAACAUUAAUGAAUUUUGAUCAAACACCGGAUUAGAACUUCUGUAUUUGUUUAUAUUUAUGUCUUAUUCUAGUAAAAAUAGGUUUAAGAAAAAUUAUCUAUAAAAAUUCUUUUAGAAAAUUUUAAAUUUUUUUUCUCAACUUGGGAUCCUCCUGAUUUUCUGAAAUGAAUUACUUAAAUUGACAAAAGUUUUAUCCCCGUGGAAAGCGACCUUUUUGCUUUUAACCAACCAACGCUCUUUUUCCAGAUAUGCGGUAGUCGGAACUGUGUUCUAAUUGGCUAAACCGGAAAUCAAAAGUCAAAACUUCUUAACCGUUACUCGGUUUAAUGUCCCACAUGGGUAUUAGUAUUACCUUUGAAUUUCAUAGAACUUAUGUUCAUGCAGUUCUGCUACAGUCUUCGAAUGUUAUUUUCGUACUUAAAGAAUAAUAAUACUAUGAACAAUUACGACAUAAAAUUUUUAGGGGAUUUAAUCAAUCGCCAUCAAACCAAACCGAACCGGGAACUGGUAAAGGGGAUCCAUUUUCGGUUUACUCCCCUUAACUUUCAGCUAAAAAAAACUUUGGUUUCUUUAGUUUAGGCUCACCAAGGUGCAACGAGAUGCUAACCUCAUCUUCUUCUUCAGAACUGCUCUUUAAAGCGACAAGAUCAUCAACUUUGAGUUUCUCUUGCCUUUGACUAGUAGAAGUAGACUCGUUAAACGACAACGGAGCAAUGAACACAUGUUCCUCUACUUCAGGCGUUGGUUUGAUAGCCUCUUCUAUACGAAACUCAGGCGGUAUAAACGGCUCAAAGCUCUCAUCUUGUUUGUCUCCUGAAGCAACCGGGUCCGGUGGUGAUGACUGGCAAACCGUUGAACCAAUGGCUGUAACCGAAGUGUUUCUCUGUCCUCUAGCAGCUGCUUUACACAAAGCCAAAACCAAUAAGGACAUGAAAGUGUGGGAACGUAAUGAAACAUGAAAGAGUUAUAAACCUUCGAGUUCAUGGUUUGAUGUGAUGAGAUCUAGCUCCAAGAGAUCCAAAAGCCGACCAAGAUCGACCCCGCUUGUCCAGUUCUCAGGUUCUCGUCCUGCUAUCAGUUUCAGCCGUCCUCUGUUUGCUGUACCACCCCAAAUGAUCCCAACCGGUCGUGGUUUCUGACCGUUUGGACUAGUUAAGAGUAUAAGGCUUCCACUGUCACCUUCGAGGUCAAAAGUCUGCUGGUUCUCACCAAUGACUAGAAAAUCAGUGAGGAAACAGAUCCCUUUCUCGUCGUUGUAUUCCAAAGCAUAAGCCAUAACGGUUCCAGUGGUGUAUCCAGAGCUUCUUCCAACUUUAACAACUUGUUUACCGAUAAGGGUAUCAAUAGGUGAUUGCAAGUCUAUGACGUGGACGUUGCCUAUCUCACCUAUGCCCUUUAUCACUGUGGUUACAUUGCUCAUACUGAAAUUUUCUGCAAAGGGAAUAAAUGCACCAUCCGCUCUCACAAAUGUUUCUGCAUUGGGAUGGAUACAAAACAAUGGUCAGUACGAAACAAGGAUGUCCAAUGUCCCACAUACAUUGACUUGUAAUCAUGGUUCUAAAAAUCGGUUUAGACCCCGCCGAGGCAUUUGUUGCCGUCACCUCGGUUCUAUCCAAAACGAUUUUCUUAAAAUAUGAUUUUAUCGGUUUAAACUGUUUAGAUUUGUUAAAAUCGGACUAAAUCGAUCUAAAUUAAUUUAACUCUAUUAAAUUAAGUAAUAAAGUUAGUGCAAGUCCACAAAUUUGUAUAUUCUUUUUGUAUAUUUUGAUAAUUCAUUUAAAUAAUUUUAUAAUUAAUCCAAAAACUAAAACAUCUUAUAUAAAUAUAAAAUACAUCAAUUGUUCGUUAACCCCUAAUAGUUUAUAAUUAAUCCAAAUAACCCCUAGUUACCACCUAACAAUUUCUUGAACAUUGCUUGUGAUGGAAAUCAUAACAGGAGUACCUGGAUUUGUAUCAGCAAAUAUGCCGUACCACUGGUCAUCUGUAAUAAACGAUGUUGCUCUCUCAACUGCACCGAGGUAGACACCCGGUCCAAGGCUUGGAGGUAAAGGAUGAAACAUUUUCUGGCUUGGAUAGUCCAAAUCAACUGCCACAUGCCGGUUAGUAAGGAAACCGACCUGAUGGUUACCGGUUCUGCUUCUCACUAUAGCUCCCAACGUUCCAUACGUUUCUUGGCUUGCAACCUACACAAUGGAAAACAAAACUGAGUCUUUACUUUUGAGUUUUUGCAGAAGAGGGAGCAACAAUAAAAAGAAGAAGAAGUACCUGAGAACCAGAGCCGAUGCAUGGAUCACUUCCUCUCAAACCAUCUACAAGUUCAUUAUAAACCUGUUCCUUUGGCGUUGCAGCAGGAGCACCGUAAUAUUGGAACUCCACAACAUCUACAUCGCACCAAACCCCUCCAGGACCCUAUUAAGAAACCAACACAUCACCUAUCAUGCUCAUGUAUGUAGAAUGGAAUUAAAUUUCAAAGAUAACUAAACCUCAAGAGCGGAAGGAAGACACUGCAUUGGAUUAAGCCAUUGCCUAUGAACUUUCCUAGCAACAAACACGAGAAUCGCCGGAGUAUUUGUCAGAACACCACGCGUGAUCCUGAACCCAACUGCAGUACCAAGACUAAACCGGCGCAGGAUUUUACUAUGAAACGCUCUGAUAGUCAUGAGCUCAAGCAAGGUAGUGGCUUGCUGUCCUGAAGGCAACCUCCCAACGAUUUCAGGCAAAACACCUUUCUGGAGAUUAGCAAAGUAGUUAGCUCGGUCUUCCACAGCAUUGUUGAGGCGGCUGAGAGUAGGCCAGGAGAAGUAAGGGGCGUUGCUCUCUCCGUGCUGGAUGUUGAAUGCGAAUGGAUUAAGAGAAGAUGGGCUUGAAGAGGACGGAAGACUCAUGUGGUUGCAGUGAUGGUUGGUUCUCGCCAAAUCCGAAGCAGAGUCAUCUGAUUGAGAAGAAGCUGACUGUCUGAAUCUCUGACCCCAACCUCCCAAAGUCAUAGCUUUUUAGCAAUCUCUACUGAAGCAAAACAGCAACACCGUAACGUCUCAGCUCUGUAACAAAGGAAGAAACAAACUUCAUCAAUGCUUAACACAAUAAAAAAUGGUAUCUUUACGAAUAUUAAUAGCAAUAAACCCAAAUCGUGUUCUAUGAACCCUAGAAGUGGAAUUAUCUUCAAAGCUUUGAACUUUACAAUCGGAAAGAAAAUAAUACGCAAAUCUAAACAAACCCAGAAGCUAAAUCGUUCAAAACAACAAAAACGAUGAUCUGAAUCAAUCGAUCAAGUGAAAGCGCGAAACUCACCUACAGGACAGUUCGUGGGAGUAUCCGAGAGAGCUUCAUGGGGAGAAGGGAGCAAAGAGGGAGAGUUAGCAGGGAUGAGAGAGAGGUAGCUGCUGCAUUUAGAGGGGAGAGAGAGAAGAAUGGAAGAGGAAGAGGAAGAGGAAGAGGAAGAAGACGAAGGAGAGAUAGCAAUGGCUGCAUAAUAAUAAUUUUAUUUGUUACUGUUGAUUGAUGGUGGUUGUGUAUACAGUAACAAUACAAUUAUUUUCCUUUUCUUUAUUUUGUCGACGCAUGGAUAAUUAUUAUCUCGAACAAGGAAGCGUGUUUUACGUAUGUUAACACGUGUGUGCCAUACUGGAUCGAUAUUCGUAAUUCGGAUUUCGCCGAUUCGUACUAAGAUUUAUCUUUGUAUCUCAUCGUGAAAAAAAAAAAAUAUUGUUGUCUUACCAAUCAAAUCUUUUCUUUUGGGUCAACAGACUCAAAUCCAAUACAAAAAUUAUAUACUUUUAAUUGUUUUCCUUAUGGUUUAUAUUAUUUUCCAGCAAUAAACUUUUAAUUUAAAUUUUAAGUCUUGAAUUUUAGCCAAACAUAUAACCGUGGGCUAAAGCCCAAUACAAAAAAUAAAAUUGAAAAACAACAAAAUUUAUCUUCUUAUAUAAAGGGAAAUUGAGAUGUAUAACCUUCAAACAAAUUAUAAUUCAUUUGAUAACUAAAAUACCUAACUUUCAUCUAUAGUAUAUCUAUAUAUAUAAAAUACAGUUUCCUCUCUCCUUAGACAUGCCACAUAGGAUUCCAUGUCAUAAACUAGAAAGCUGAAAACGCAACACGUGUCCUCUAUACAAAACUUAGCGUUUCAUUAACUAGCGAUUAUAUUUUUAUUGGGCUUAUUCUGUUUUUUUUUUUACCCUGUCUAACGGCCCGAUAGACCACAUGAUUCAACCCUAAUUGUGAUUUACGCAAAAGAUGAAAUUUAAGGUUUCUCUGUUCUUUGGACCUGAGGCGACUUUUGAUCUUGGUCUGGUUCACUGAAACGCACCCAGAUAUUUAUUCAUCGUCUUUAAUCCUUUAUUAAUUCAAACACCCACGAUCUAGCCUUGAAUGCGAUCUUCCAUCAUGGUGAGGCUGUCUAACUAAGAAUAUAAAUAGGUAAGUAUUCUUCAUCUCGAAACCAUCUUCUUCUAUCCGCGCCAGUCUAUCAAUCUCUUCAAUCAUAUACUUUUUCUAUUUUUAGUGUUAUAGUUCCUCACAAGAAGAGAGAUCUUUUUUUUGGGUUCUGCUAUUCUUCUUUUCUGUUUCUGAAUUUUUAAUUUAAAAUUGAAUUAAUUUGAUGAUGGUUACACGGCCGAUUGAUACGUGAGUUUGAUAUCAUCCAAAGUCUCAGUUUUUUGUUUUUACUUUGUGGUCUUCUUCUUCUUUUUUGAACCAGAACUUUGUCUUCUUCUUUUUUUUUACUUUGCCUUUUUAUGUUUGUGUGUUUAAAAGUUCUUGGUUGAUCUGUUUAAUUGGGGUUUGUUGUUAUUUUCAGUCUGUAAUCUGUAUAUUUCUUUAUGUCCUAUGGUUCUAUGAUACUGAUUGUUUCUAAAACCAGCAGGAACCAAAUAUCCGUGAAGAAGCUUCGGCACUAUAUUGUCUACAGGAGAUAACAAUAGUGAGUCUCUUUGCUCUUACCUUUGGAAAUCUCUAAAUGUUUUUGAUAAGUUCUUUUAAAUUAAAAAAAAAUUACUACAGAUACGUGAAGGCAAGCGUUUGAAUCACAAGCCAAAGACCAAAUACCGUUUCAGUAAGACAUUUUGUAUUUCUCUGUUUUUGACCUUUAAACAUAUACAAACUUCACCAUAAAAUCUAACUUAUUUUGUAACUCACUAUGAUAUGUGCAAGCUCAUUCAAGGCACCUCUUCAUAUCUACACAUACACUACAUCAGAGUCUUCGGUUGACAUCCUUUUCAAUUCAUCUUCACCUUCUGCUGCACCCGUAACAUCUAUAUAUAGUUAGCUUUUGGAAACGAUGAAUAUUGGUGUACAAAAUGAUAUUGGAAAAGUUAAUGGAGAACUUAAGUUUGCUUUCGUAAAUUCACCAGUAUACAUUAAUUGGGGGUGCAAAAGGGUUCAUAUUAUGGUCUUAUAUCAAAUGAGUAACAGUAUAUAUACAAAGAAUCGUGCAAGCAAAGAUAAGAUCAGGAAAUUGUAGCGAUCGCCGUCGACUCGGUUACACGCAUUAAGAAACUGGAAUGAUUCCUAGGAUUCCGAACAGGACGACAGCAACCGCGAGUGGCCGGCCUAACCCAUCGAAUAACUACUUUAAAUCAAAUUCACCAGAAAAUUAUUAGAAUCACAAAAGUUGAAGAUCGCAAAGCUGGAAGAAGACAAAAGUCAAACUUUUUUGUUCCCUUUAUGAGUUAAUGCGGAAGAUGACGGAGAUUGGUUUUAGUUUCAUAACUUUCGUUAAAGUAACCAAGUCUUUUCAGAUAUGCUAUUUACACGAGAACUACAUAUGGUUUAUGUUAGUCAUGAAACGUCUGAAUAAAAUAUUUAUGAGGAUUAUGAAAUUAACUUCAUUAUCGUCUCUAGAUUUUAUUAAAGUUCAUUAGUGUUUCUACAUACGGAAAAAUAUGAGGUUCAAGUUCUAAAAAAGGAUUUAUCAAAAAUUAUAACAAUUAAUGAUUAAAUAUUUCUAUGAUAAUGUGAUGAAAGUUAAACGUAGAAGGAUGAAACAUGUAGAAUUAUUAGAUCUCAAUCUUUAUAAAACAUUUAUAAUUUAAAAAGCAAGACCAACGAAAAUUUUAAAAGAGUGUAUUUUUUGUUGAAAAAAUAGAGUGUAUUUAAUAGACUUAAAGUAAAGAAAACUAACAAAAUAUUGACAAAAGCCACAACAAAGAAAAACAACAAGAACUAAUACGAUAAGAAAAACAAUAGUUUCAAAUAUAUAUAUAUAUAUAAUAUUUCAUUUGACAUCAACCUAAAAUAAUAUUUUAUCACAUAAUUAAUAAUAUAAUAUCAAAGACAUAAAUAUUAAAAAUAUUUAUAAGAAAAAAUAUAAUCUAAGAUUUUUUUGUAUUAAAAAUUAGUUUACUUAUUAUCAAAAUUAUCAUAAUUACAGUAGAAUAAACAGAGAAAAUAUGUGAAACUAUUAUGUAUUCAUGAACAUUUUAAUAUUAAGAUGAUCAUGAUCUAUAAAAAGAAUAACAAAACAUAAUAAUAUAAUAUCAAAGACAUAUAUAUUAAAAAUAUUCAUAAGAAAAAAUAUAAUCUAAGAUUUUUGUAUUAAAAAUUAGUUUACUUAUUAUCAAAAUUAUCAUAAUUACAGUAGAAUAAACAGAGAAAUAUGUGAAACUAUUAUGUAUUCAUGAACAUUUUAAUAUUAAGAUGAUCAUGAUCUAUAAAAAGAAUAACAAAACAUACACAAUAAAAGUUAAUAUCACCUUAAAUGUUAAGUAAGCUAAACAUUUUUAAAUACUCUUUAACUGAUAUAUUUAUGUAUUUUUGGUUACUAACACGUCCGGAGAGAGAGAGAGAGAGAGAGAGAGAGAGAGAGAGAGAGAGAGAGAGAGAGAGAGAGAGAGAGAGAGAGAGAGAGAGAGAGAGAGAGAGAGAGAGAGAGAGAGAGAGAGAGAGAGAGAGAGAGAGAGAGAGAGAGAGAGAGAGAGAGAGAGAGAGAGAGAGAGAGAGAGAGAGAGAGAGAGAGAGAGAGAGAGAGAGAGAGAGAGAGAGAGAGAGAGAGAGAGAGAGAGAGAGAGAGAUUAUGCUAAUAGUAAAAAUAAGUUUUUAAGUUAAGAAAAUAGUAUAUCUAAUAUAUAUCUCUUGCAAAUGUAAACCUAAAACACAAAUCAUAUAAAAAAUAAUAAUUUUGAUUACAAGUAAAGUAUAUCCCGCCCGUAGGGCGGGCCGACUCUAGUCUAUUAUUAUAAAGAAGUGUUUGUUUCUCUCACAGGCCUCCACGUCAUCAUCCAGAUCAGAAAGUCGAGGUAGUAGGAACUGACACGUGUCCACUAAUUGAUCCGGUGCGUUUAGUUUUCUGUCUACACUUAACAUUCCGUGGGCUUUCGUGGGCUUGAUCUUUCACUCUGUAUUACCCCUUUUGUUUACCUAUUCUCACUGAAAUUAGGGUCCACCUCCGCACGGAAAUUAUUCUCUGCGUUCUCUGAACACCGACAAUGGAGUCUCUUGAAUUUGGGUCACUCGAAUCGACGCUAAAAAUCUCUGUAUUGGUGCUCUCGCGUCGUUUGGUCUCCUCUUCAAGUCAAGAAAAACGUUCAGAUUCAUUGCCUUUAUGUUUCCAAUCCUGCCGACCCACUACGCAGUAAUUAAUAAUCCUCCUCAACCGCCUUUGUUACUCCGAUUUUCUGAUCCUAUAAAUAUGGGUGCAAAUUAUAACAAAUCUCAUAGCUUGCUCCACUUCUUUACGUUCUUAAUAAUCUUUUAAACACAUGCUAUGGCAAUGGCGAACUCCAGAUCCUGAUUUUUGUGUUGAAGUUCGGUGGUUGUAUUGAGGCAGGCGUGACGAUCUUUUUCGUUUUUAGGAGUUUAGUAGUGUUAAGAAAGGAAUGGAGCUCAUUAGUGUUGACAUGAGGAUAGAUCUUUCUGAGCUGCUUCAUUUUGUUGGAAGCUAAAAGGUUUUUUUCUCUACUCUUCUUUCUGUCAUUAAGGAAUUCAAUUAAGGCGACCACUCCUAAUAUUGUGAUUUCAUUUCUGGCUUUUUCCACAGGAGAAACGAACGACCAGGGAAAUUAGACGAAUGCUUACUAACAAAUGAGAGAUACAGAGGGAAAACCAUCUUAUUCAAGUGCAAGAACUAUGUGAAGGCUGAGUGAUUUAUGAGAACAUGUUUUGACAUCAUGGAGAAGUCAGUUGCUUCAGAAGAUCAGUCCAUAGCCUUCCUAAUUCAGUCAGUACUUCUCAACUGAACCGUUAUGAGGAAAUAUCAAUUAAGGCUCAAUGAAUCUGUGAGAAGUCAUUUGGUAUAUAGAGCUUUCCUCUCUCCGUACCAUCGUCAUAUUUUUGUCAUCUAAACAUGAUUCAAUAGAGUCUUUGUUGGAAACCCCAUGCAGGUGAGGCGAUGUACUGUUUGGCGUCGAUUCAGACGAUGUUAGGUAAAGACGAUGAGGAAGUACUCGGUUUUCUGAAAAGGGUGUUGAUGAUCCAAGAAACAUAGUAGGGUUCAUCACCCAAAAAAGAUUGUUACUCUCCAGAAGAUUGUCCAUCUUAUGGAGAAGUAGGAGACGAAAGAUGAGAAAUAUAAGUGUAAAAGAAGACUGGCUUUACAAGGAGAGUCGUAUUGUGAACAUAUUUUCUUACUCUGAUCUUUCUUGAACAAUGGCAGAAAGAUUGGUCUGGUAAUGGCCAGUGAUGUUAAAAAGUUAUUUUUGUUCUGGUAUAUACACUAAUACAACAUCUGCUUAUAUCUGUGAAAUUUUGCAGCAGUUAUGCUUUUAUUGAAUCGAGCUAUUAAUGACUACGUUAUAUUGCAUUUUCCUUUGUAGCUAUUCCCAUCUCAUGCAAUAACAUGUAACGUUAACAUUGUUCAUCUCAUGCAAUAUCAUGCUAUUCAAAAUUUUGCAGCAGUUGUUAAUUUUUCAUGUGGAAGUUGCACUAUGUCGGUUUUGUUGAGUUGGAUCAUAAGAACGUGUUAUCUGGUGGACAAAAGUAUACAAUUCCGGCAGCAAGCUUGCACAGGUGAACAAACACACAAAAACAACAAUUUUUGUCGUCUAAAAUAGUAUUCAAUAACUGAUAAUAUUGGGUGACAGUAAGACCUUGAUACUACCCAACAUUCAGUAAUUGAGAAAAGGCAAGCUAAGAAAUCUAUACUAUACUAAAAGCAAUAUAUAGUGAGCAGAGAGCAUGUCCACGUCGACAAAAAAAAUCGACCAAUAGGAAAACAGUUCUCUGCCACGUCAGAUACACGAUGACAAACCCUUAUUUUUCCAAAAUCGAAUCUCGGACCUUUCUCUUCGUCUUCUCCGUCGUCUUCGUUUCAUGCAUUUACAAUUAAUCGUAAACCCCACGGGCCAUUUGCUUUUGGAAUCUAUGUUUGGAGGCGUCUUUUUUGUGCAUGUGAAUAAUCUUCUCUUGCGCAAAUCUGGAAGUAUACUCAUGAGACGAAGGCUUGCACUGCGACUUCACGUGCCUGAUCUAUACCCUCAUGAGGACGAAGCUCACGGAGGAGCACGUGAAGUCGACCGUCUGCGACGCGGUCGAGAUCGAGAGGGAGUUUGUGUGCGACGCGCUUCCGUGUGCGUUGGUGUGGAUGACCCGUGAGCUGAUGAGUCAGUAUAUCGAGUUCGUGGUGGAUAGGCUUUUGGGUGCGCUUGGGUAUGGGAAGGUGUACGGUGUGGCGAAUCCGUUUGAUUGGAUGGAGUUGAUUCUGCUUCAGGGGAAAACAAACUUCUUUGAGAAGAGAGUUGGUGACUACCAGAAAGCUUCUGUUAUGUCUAGCUUUAAUGGAGGCGGCGCGUUUGAUAAUCAUUGAAACUCAUGGCUAGGUACUAUUGCCAAAUUGCGAAGCCCUUUUAGUCCUUAGCAGCCUCAAGGUUUUUUCUUCUUUCACUCAAAUUCUUGGACUUUCUGUAGAGAUUUGAUUAAUAUAAUGGACUGAUUUGAGAUUUAAAUCUUUGAUUCUUCAGGUUGCUUUGUAUGUUGGUGGUCUUUAUAUUUGUGGAAAGGUUGGAGAUUAUGAUUUAGCUUUUGAUUUGCCUCUAUAGUUUUGAACUCUUUUCAUUAUAUGAACAUGUUUAAAAAAUUUGCAGAUUGGAUGGGAAUCUGUAAUGAAAAUGGGACAAGACACACGAGAACUGUUCUUCUAUGAAACAUUUCUAUAUUACAACCCUCUCCUUCUCAUUGUAAGUCUUUGUCUAAAUCAGAAACUCAAACCCUUAACGUGUGUUUCAUUCCUCUAAUAUAUAUUCAAUUACUUUCAGACAAUGAUGGUUUGGCUCUGGGGUGUUAAUCUGUGGGUGUUUUCUCGAACUGGAGUCGAUUACGCAGCAAUAUUUUAUCUAGGACCAGAUCAUCAUAGUCACAAAGAGAUAUGGAAGGUAUUACAAUUCCUUAGUUACCUACCAUCUUUAUCCAAUGAUUUUCUAAAAAAUCUGAGGGUGUCACAGUGUGCUAGGUGGAUGACGACGACAAUAUUAACUAGCAUGACUGCGUAUCUGUAUCUACAUGUCCUUGGCUGCUUCUCAACCAGUGUAAUAGAUGCAUCUUCUCUUAUUUUUAGAGAUAUUUUGUAUUCAUUGUGUUUCAUAGAGUUUUGACAUUUUUUUUCUGAUGUUUUCCAGAUUGUUUUGUAUCUCUCUGCUGUGAUCAUUCUCAUCACCCCUUUCGAUAUCUUCUACAAGGUAGGUUGAUCUCGACGAUAAAACAUUUCGAUCCAAGUGAUUGCUCCUGCAGCAGAAAACGUUGAGGUACCAACCAAGAAAGUGGAGGAACCCGUUGUGGUUACUGAACAGGCGGAAGAAGUCGUGGCCGCGACAGAGUCUGUUCCAGCUCCAGUCGGCGUAACUGAACAAUCCGAAGCACCAGUCGAAGGAACGAGCAAGGAAGUGGUUGUGGAAGAGGCAGAGAAAAAAGAUGAAGAGACUGAGAAGAAACCAGAGGAGCCAAAGGUGGAGGAGGAAGAAGACAAGACAGAAACUCCGGUCAUUGUGGAGGAGGCAAAAACAGAAGAGAAGGAGGAGGUGACUGAAACUCUGGCGGUUGUGGAGGAGGAGAAGAAGGCUGAGGCAGAGGAAGUUGUGGCUGCUGGUGAAGUCGCCGCCGAGAAGACUGAGGAGUAAAGCGGAAGAAACUAUAUAUGCACCUUUGGUCUCAUUUCGUUAUCUUAUUAAAAUAUUUAUUUUAUCAACAUUUUAUAAGUUUCUAUGUUCUGUUGUGUUUAUUAUAAUGAACUCAGAUGUUUGGAUAAUUUGAUGGUUGCUAUAUUGCUUACAUGCUUGGUCUAGCUUCUUUUUUUUUGUCAGCAAGCAACUACUACUUGCCUACUUGGUCUUAGCUACAAAGUCCAAGCCAGGGCAUGGAAUAUUAAAACCGUUUUGCGUUUACAAUUGGUCAAAAGAGAGUAUAAUUGAUGAUCCAAGUGAUAUACAAAUCUUCAAAUUUCUUUCCGUUUUUCAAAAUGAAAACAUAAUCCAACAUUUCCAAAAAGAACACCGACCAUAAGUGGAUCAUCACAGAUGAUUAUUCCCAGGAGUUUUUGAAAGAGUUAUUAAAAAGUAAAGAUAAUAAUUUCCAACAUACCACUAACUAACAAAAUAUUCGUAGUAUAAAUGGAAAAAACCAUAGAACUAGGGUAUUGAUCAACCAAAAAAAAACUGAAUAGUUAUAAAGUCAUGUUCGGCCCAAUUCACUUUACCGUAUUAUUCAGGCCUAUCUUUAAUCCAAAUUUAUGUUUUGGUUUUACUAUAAAAGUCUAAUUCCAUUCAUUAACUGAGCAUGACUCGCGUUUAACUUAGAAAAUAGUGGUUUACUGGGCUAUGAGUGCGGAACAUCAUAUUUUUUCAAUUCGAAUAUAUAUAUGUGUAUAUAUUGGGUACAAAAAUCCAUAUGAGAGAAUGAAAUUUCGUAAUUAAAAAUUGAUUAAAUAUAAAGAGUAAAAAAACAAGGUGUUAUUAAAUAUACAAACUACAAAUUAAAUAUGCUCAACGCAAACACACAUAAAAGUGAUACAUCAUAUUUGGAUAUAUUUAAAUAAAUAAUUUUAAAUAUAUUAUAUUCUUGGUAAUUUUAAAAUUAAUAAAAAAAAACUAAAUUAUUAAAAAAUUAAUAUACAAAUAAAGCUAAAGCAAUAUUUUGUAACGUCAAAAUAAUAAAUGAAUAAAAAUGUAUUAUGUUAAUAAAAUAGAUUUUAGAUUUUAAAGACUUCUAUUUCAUGUAAUAUUACAAAAUUCAAAAAUUGUUUAUUACAAUUAAUAUUUUACCUUUAGAUAUAUUAAAAUAUUAUUCUAGAUUGAUAUUCAAUUGUCAGUUUUCAACUAUUAUACGUAAAAAAAUAUUAUUAAGUACGCUUAUUUUUCUAAAAGGGUUUUUAUAUUUUAAGUAGGUUAUUGGAGUACUUUUUUAUUCGUGAAUUUAUUCAAGAUGAGAUUCCGAUCUUUUAAACUAAGUUAAUAUAUGUUCUAUACAUAAUUAUAUUUUUUUACAUAACUCUAAAAUCUCGGACUUGAUUCUUCAUAUUUAUUAGCUAAUUGUGUUACAUAUAAUAGAAUACUUACUUCAAACUAAAAAUAUAAAAAAAAAAAAAAUUAAAAAUUAGUUAAAUAUAAUUUAACAUACAAAAAUUCACAUACAAAUAAAAAUGAUAAAUGCAACAAAUUUAAAUAUAUUAUCCGCGCGUAGCGCGGAGAAAAGAUCUAGUCUGUUUAAAAAAACAUCAACUAAUUAAUUACAUAAUAAAAAAAAUAGUUGAAAAAACAAAAAGACUUGGUAAAGAAAUGGCAAGCAUUAAACAAAAAUAUAAUAGACAAAUCGAAAUGUUAUAAAUAAAUGCCAAAAUAGAUGUAAGCUUACUGUAUCCAAAUAAAUUUGGAAAAUCUAACCUAUAUUAAAAGGGUUAUAUGAGGAGUAGAGAGGCUGUCCACGUCACCUUGAAAAAUCAACCAAUGGGGUUUGUUCGUUUGUCCACGUCAAACAAGUUGAUUUUGGGCUUCUAUCUUUUAUUGAUCCGUUCAAAAUAAAAGAAAGCCCAUCCUCAUUAAACCGUAGAAACAAAAUCAUCCAUCGACAGUGGCUUUCGCGAUUCUUCUUGCGAUCUAAAACGGUUUGAUUAAUUGCUGCAUGAUAAAUCCAAUUGAUUCACUUCAAAGGAGAGGCCUCUCCACGAUUCAUCUUUUUCUUGAACUCAUCUUCUCUUUGUAUCCUUAAAUCAUUCUCUGAUGAUCGCUAUAAAUCUCCCCUUCAGGUCUGUUUGAUUCUCUAUUGUUUUUUAUUUGUUAAUCUGAUGUUCUGGGGUCACUCUUACAGUAGGUUUGGUCACAGACGUAGCUCAUGCUUGCUGCUUAGCUGAUGAAGUCAGCCAUGGCGGUCGCCGAGGAAGGUAAGCACGACAGAUGAGUUAUAUAUUUUUUAUGGAGUAAUUGAUAAGAAAUUCAGAAAUAAAUACAUUAGAGGUGAGUUAUUAUAUUUCUGAAUCUAUUUAUUUUAAUGUACUAGAGAAAAAGCCGGCCAGACAAACCGGAAUAUAGCCGAAAAACGCCACUACGAUGAUCUCUAGACUGACUGUUGGCUUUUUCUUGAUAACCCUUCAGAUAUUUACAUCAUCGCCUCAUCGGGUAAGUAUGAAAAAUAUUCUACCAUGUUCAUCUGAUUAGAUUAAUCUAAACUCCUUUGUGUUGACCUGAGGCCUUCUGAGACCAUUUCAAUGUGUCUGCUUAUAAUCAACAGACUGAAAAUAAUUGGUUACUUUGUUGAUAGCCCACAAUGAAAUGUAUUGCUGUCAGCAUAAUGACUGAAGCUUUGGUGGCACUUAUAUCAACACAUUGUGAAUUAUAUUUUAAACUAAUAUAAUCAACGGACUCAGCGUGUUUGUUGCUACUAGGAGCAACCAAAGCUUCAGAUUCGUUUAUGCCCCUGUGUCUUUUCGAUUCACUGAUCUAACAAAAUUAAAUGAGCUAGGAGAGGCCAGUAAGUUAAUCACGAUGGAACAGUUCCACUUUUGAAAUUGCUAUCAGCUGAUGAUGUUUUCUAACACGGACACCAAGUUGCCAGGUAUGUUUCAUUUAUCAUCUCUCAAACUCCUUCAGUCGAAGCUUUCAGUAUCUUUGUCUUAUUUACUCAUCUCUCAAUGUUUUAUGGAUGUUGUUGCUAAAGUUAUGGAUAUCACUACUGCUUACAAUGAAGAAACACAAAGCAUUCACAGGUCAUGCCCACAGCCCACUUAUCCUUCUAAUGUUGGUAAACUCUUUGAAAAAAUUAUGUUGGUGUUAAUUGAUAUGAGUUUGCACUCCUCUCUUCCCAAACGCAGGGAUACCACGUUCUGUGUGAGUGUCUUUGACAGCUUAGCUAUGCAGCUUAAUGCAAAAAAAUUUGGCAAUGAUGUGGCCUUUUUCUUAACGCUACCUUCGGAACCCAUUUUUUACUUCGACAGCGAGAGAACUGCUGGCGAUAGCUACGUCAAAGGGUAAGGUUCUUUGCAUCAGCUUUCUAUUAUUCAUGUGUUUAAGCUAAAAAAAUCCAGUACUGCUACAUUGUGUUUCAGACAGGGCUUUGAGGAGUAAUGACGGUUCUCUCUCAACUGCUUUCGAAUAUGACAAUGUGAAUAAUAUUGAGUCAGUGACACUAUCUGAGCGAAAUGUUUAUGUCCUUAGUUCACCACCACAGGUUAUACUCCAUCUUAACAACACACUCAUUGUUUUAAAUCCGCCUCUAACUAACUCAAUCAAUUGUACCAUGUUCCUACUGAUUUUAUUUCGUUCUCUUUGCUUUUUAAUUUAUCUUCAUUAUCAACUAAACCCAAAAUAUAACCUGAAAUUAUGAAGCUAAUUCAAAUUUGUGAAAUAUGGAUCUGAUGGUAAAGCACUAAAGCUGCUCCAAAAGACAGAAAACCUGUAGCUCCUGACGAUUACAUGUACAUGAAAAUGUGAGACUUCUUACCCUAAGUUUAAUACACACGCAGAAAAAGAUAGAUAUAUAAAGAUGGUACUGAUAUGCAUUAUUGACUAACUUUUUUUUGUUAUCUUCCGAUGCAAUAUGUAACCACUGACCAUUACAAAGCUUCACAGCAUGUUGGAUGGCGAAGCCAACCAGACAGCAGUUCGUAAGCUAAUCCAAAAAUGCUACAUGGAAGAUUCUAGCAGCCGCAGUCUAGGUUUGCUUUCUCAUGUCAGACCCUACUCUUUUAAGGGUUGUUGGUCUUAUAAGGCUGCAUCACUGAUGCUAUGGAUAUAUACAAGGAAGCAUGUAAUUCAAUCCAGUCUAACCGAGUAGAAGCUGAAUGUAUUUAGGAGAAAAGUUAUUGACCCAUUGACCACAGUGAAGGCAUGUGUGAAGAAUGAUGGUGUAGCCAACGCGCUGAUCCAAUACCAGUGGCGUCCAAAGUCGUAUAUCACUGUUUGUAGUUUGCCAGAAGAUUGGGAUCUUGCAGUUUCCACAUCGAAUAGUCCAAAAGCUGAUUUUGGCAUGGCACAUCAGGUGAUUUAGCUGUGGACGCUCACCAAGAAGAAAUCGAAAGAGCUAUCAGUAAAGUGACUGUUGACAUUCAUGGUUCUUUUGUCUCUAUGUCGUCUUCGGUCCAUCCAUAAUAUGAUCUACUCAGGUUUAUUAAAUUUCUGAUUGCCAUCACUUUAUAUUUUCUUUUGAUUUUCUAUUGUAAAUUGGUGUAAGAAAUCAAAUUAAGGAUAUGCACUACAAUAGAGAAGAUUAUUUUGAAUUACAAGACGGUUAGUGGAUAAAUUUGCUAACUUUUUCUAAAUACAUCUACACUGAUCUAUCUUGCUUGAAAGGUACAUUCACGCAAGCUAAAUUAAUUAAAAUGUCCCUCUUUAAAAUUGUUUUUAAUUAUAACCAGAUAAAUGGUUCAGCGAGACGGACUCGACAUCAGUUCGAAAUGGUGGAAAAUACUUGGUGAAUUUUCAUAAAGUUAACAAAAGUAAAUCCUUUUCACUACAAUUACGCCAUGUUCAAACUUACGUUUACAUCUUGACUUUAAAAAUUUAAAUGCAUGGCUUAAAGAUUAUACAACGACACACUACAUUUAGCGCCCAAAAAUUCGGUUUACUCUUUACUAGCCCCGAGCAUAUUUAUCUAAAACCGAAGAACCAGGCUGAACCAAACCAAAAAACGAGGUUCGUUUUGAAUUUGGAUCCUAUCAAUUAUAAUAGUGAAUCCUAUAUCUCUAAAACCAGAAAACCAUAACCGAAUCAUGAACCGAAUGGAUAUCAGAAUAUCUAUAAUAUAGUUUAUAUAUUAUAGACACUAACUAUAUUUAGUUUUACAAUAAUCUAAUAAUUUAAAAAUACUAUUUAUAACUCGAGAUACCAAAAAAUUUGAAUUUUAAAAAUUUAUUUAUCCAAAAUAAUUAAAAUUGUCUGAAUUAUCCUAAUUUUAUCUGAAAACCCAAAACCAAAUCUGAUCUUUAAUCCGAAAAAUCGAUUUUUUUCACUUUUAACCCGAACUAACCGAAAAACCGGAACCAGAUGGAUUUCAAAGUUAUAAGCCGGUUCCCAACUUUGUUAUCCGUGCCGAACUGAAAACCCAAAUAACCGAACCGAAAUUGAACCAAACUUUUUAAAUAACCAUACAGGUCCUAAACCUCUAGAACCAAAAAACCCAAAAAAAACUAAAAGAAUAGAACCAGAAUUGAACCGAGAACCGAAAACCGAAUGUCCGUGACUACUCUUUACUUUUGUUUUUACACUGAUUUUUGUUUAAGCAUUUUUGAGACUACGUCUAUAAAGCUAUCUUUAAAAAAAAAAAAAAAAACCUUUUGUAUGUUAAAGUUCCUUUGUUUUCAUUUAAUUUACCAACACAAUUACCAGUGAAAUAUAAAAUACGGUUACAUCACACACAUGCGAUCUACCUACAUGAACUUCGACGAAUCUCUUCAAAACUAAAAUUGGUUACAUUACAUCCCAACACACAUUAGUUUGGGUCGGUUAGCUCAGAAUUCGAUUAGAUUGGGUCAAUCAAAAUUUUACCAAGGUAAACUGAAAAAAAUAUGGUUCGGUUUGGUUUCCAAAAAUCAUUGCGAUGUAUCAAUAGAAAUCAUUGCACUAAGUCAAUAGAAAUCACUGCGAUGACCAAUAGGCCUCAUUACACCAAUAGCAAAUCUGCUUUCCAAAUUAGACAACAAACCUACCCAAAAAAUUUAUAAAAAAUUACAAAUGUUAAUAACAGAAAUGUCAAAAAAAUCUGUUCUUUCUAUGUACUGUCCACAUCAUACUAAACAGUAUAAGUAUGUUCUCUACAUAAAACAUUUAAGUACACUAUUUGUCUAAAUUCCAACUAAAUUAAUUUUGUUACGAUUAUCGAUUUUUUAUUAUAUUUUUAUUGAAUCAAUUAAUCACAACUACUUAUGUUAUUCCAGUUUAAACUAUGCAACUAAAAAACAAAGUAAUACACAACGGUCUCUAACCACUAUCAAAUGGAUCGAAAAAUAUCAUUUUCUUUCAACAUAUUUUCAUUUUCAUAUUUUUGAAAAUAUAUUCUUUACUAAGAUCAUAAAAUGUUGUAAAUUCAUGUAAGAAUCAAACAUAUGAACCCGGCGCGUAGCGCCAGAAUACCAAUAGUAUAGUAUAAAACUAAAUUUAAUAUCAGUUGUCGAAAAGAAUUAUAUUAAAAGAUACAAUAUUUACAUAUUACCACAAGAACAAAAAUAAAUAUGAAGGGAUAAAGAAGAACUUUUAAGACAAAAUAUAGCAAUCAAAGAAUGAUAAGUAACAUGUAAUCUAGAUAUAUUGAUGGUUUUGUUUUGGCAGUUGCUUGCGGCUGGAGGUGGAAUGUCAGUGGAAGUUUCCAACAGAGGAGUGAUUCCAUUGGCUUAGAACAUCAUUAAGAAGAAUAAAGUCGGAGAAACUAGCACUUACUUGGAUGGAGUCUACCUUCUUUUCACUUGCUUAACUAAAACUUGAAUCCAUUUCUCCAAUGGAGACUGCUCUUACUACUGCAGUAUAGCCCAUAACGACAGUAUCCGUUUUUCUUCCUUCAACAUAAAGAAGAAGUACAACUGAAGAGACGAUGAACAUUGCAAGUGUGUAUGUGACCAAAUUUAGGAUUCUAGAUGUUCCUUCUGAAUUAAAGUAAACCUAUCUUUAUUUCGUAUGUGUCUUUGUAUCAUUUGAAAAGUGCAUAUUUUCUUUAUCUACAGAGUGUGAGAAACUGCAAUGCACUUUUUAUUAUAUUAGCUACUCAAACUCUUUCCUUUGAUAUGAAAAGUAAGUCUGGAUUUGAUGAUCGACUAUAUAAGUUUUUACGCAUACUAUAAACACAUGAGGACUAAUUACUUGGCAUAAAAGAAUAGCUUAUCAACAUUCUUGAACUUGGGGAGAGACAUCUGAGAAUGUAUGCACAGUAUAUUAGGUAUAACCGCAUAAGCUUGACUUAAUGAUGCGUGGAUUCUAUUCGUUAUGUCCCAAAUUUUUUUGUUAUAGCUGGAUAAGUUAGCAAAAAGGCGAAGAAAUAUAUUUUUUUAUUCCAUUCCAAUCGAUUUAAGAGCAAGAGAAAGAGUCCAUACUGCAUUCAUGCAUCUCGGUGGAAAUACCCAUAUAGAUGCAAUGAUUUUUGAAUUGUGACUUAGAUGUUUACGUCUCUCUAAAAUUUUGUGUUUCUUAGAUGUUUAUGUCUCUGUAAGAUUCAACAAAGGUGCUCGGAUUGAGGUAUGUUUAUCCGUGACUUUUCUUUGAGUCAAGAGACUUCAAUUUUAUUCGAAGUUAUUUUUUUUUUCUCUGUAAGGCAGCAGCUACGCUCAAUUACUAAAAAAGGAACAAAAGGCAGAAGCUAGGUGCCUUUUUGACAUCACACCAAACCAGGAAAGGAACUCUUUUAUUCAUAUUUGUUUUUUGAUUUUCACUAUAUGAUUCCAUCCAAAAAAGUAAAUAUAUAUACGCAACAGACUGCCCAUGAAUGAAUAUAUUACAAUUGCUGACAAACAAAUAAAUAAAUAAAAUGUAUAACUAAAUUAUAAAUAAGUGGAGCUUAACAGUUUUUAGUGAAAACUCAAAUACAAAAGAUAUAUGAACUAAAGUUUGAUUAACUUUUCAUUGAGUUUGCUUACCACUCUAUAUAUUUUCUGAUAGUAACAAACAAAUUUUAAAUUUUAAUACUUACAAAUUGUUGUGUGCAUGGUAAAAUAAGAAUAGUUUAAAAUGUUUACUUCUCUAAAUAUUAUAUGUUUACAAAAAAUAAAGCACACAAUCCGCGCGUAGCGCGGACACGGACCUAGUUUCUCUAAUGAUUCUAGGAAUCAUUGUGGUGAGGACAUAUAGCUACAUUAAAUGUUGUAAAACUUCUCUUUUAAUAUAUACUAGAUUUUGACCCGCACGCCCGUGCGAGUGUUUCUUUUAAAAAAAAUAUGAUGCUAUUUGAUUUUUAUGUCACUAUUUAGGGUUGGGCAAAAAAUUCGAAUUCGAAUAAUUGAACCGAUCCCAAUCCGAAUAAAUAGUACUAAAUCCGAACCGGAAUUGAUUAAAUAUCCGAAUAUUCAAAAUUUUGGUAUUUGAAGAACUGAAACCUAAUUCGAUCCGAACCGAAGUAUUUUGGGUAUCCAAAAUAGAUUUAUAUACUUAUAUAUAUUAAUUAUUUUUAGAUUUAAUGAAUAUAAAAACAUCCAUAAUAUAUAUGAUACUUUUAAGUUCAUUUAAAUGCUUGAAAAUAUAUACAAAUAAUCAAACGUAAAUAUCUUAAAUAGUUAAAAUAUACUCAAAACUCCAAAAAUACUUGAGUACGUUGCGUCCUCCUUCUUUGCAGACGCUUCUCGAGGGAACUCCUGAGUCUGCGACGGUUCCGUACACUUCUUCGUCCGGUGCUGAUUCCGAAAGCAAAAGUAAAUGUACCUUUAUCCAUUCCUUUACAAAUGCUAAUUUUUAUUUGUUAGAAAAUUAUGCUGCUUGAUUUAGUUAUGUUCUUGAUAAGCCAUGAAGAGAUGCGUUAUGGUGGGAAGAAAAUAAAGUUAAUUUACGUUCUCUUUGACAGCUUGAUACUCAUUGUUUUCUUUGGUAACUGGUGGGAUGUGGAUUCCAGUAGAUGUAUCGAGGAAUAUCAAAUAUGGUCUCGAUAUGUGGACUUUUAGGCUUGGGAAAGUUUAGGUAACUGUAGAAAGAGCCCUGGAUUGCUUGUUCUGGUAGGUUAAAUUGCUAGCUUCCUCUGUGAAUGUGUUGCUGAGUUUACAUAGAUAAGUAAAGGGAAUCAACUUCUAUUCUUAACAGUCUGGUUGAAGGAGUUUCACCGUUCAUCUCGCUUUAAUUGAAAUGACCUUGGAAGAAUCAUAGGCUAUUUUUUUUUGUUUGGCAGCUAAACUAUUUACAUUUCUUGUCGAUAUUAAUGGUCUGAUGUACUUUUGUUUAGCUGCCGACAAAAGUUCAAUAACUCGGAAGCUGAAGCAUGAUGUUAUUGAAGGAGUCAAUCAACUUAUCCACGAGAUUGCUGGUUGUCAUGAGCAGAUCGCCGAGCAAGCUGUUGAGCACAUACAUCAAAAGUACGUUUCGUCUCUAUGCCAUUAAUUUUCUGUAACAUGCAAUAGAUAGGGGACCAAAAUGCGCGUUUGUUAAUGUCUUUUCUUGAUGAUAACUUAUUUGAUCAGUGAGGUGAUUCUAACCCUGGGUAGCUCAAGAACAGUACUCGAGUUUCUGUGCGCUGCAAAGGAGAAGAAAAGGUCAUUUCGUGUAUUUGUCGCUGAAGGUGCUCCAAGGUUUGGUGACUCCUUCCCCCUAUGUCUCAUCAUUACCAUCGUUCACACCAUUUAACGCAGCUAUGUCUUCGUUUUGCCUUCCUUCCAAUUCUACUCUAUUUGUAUAUUGUUAGGUAUCAGGGACAUCUAUUAGCAAAAGAAUUGGUAGCUAGAGGUCUGCAGACCACUGUGAUCACUGACUCUGCAGUGUUUGCUAUGAUAUCUCGAGUGAACAUGGUACGUAUAUGUUCAAUCCUGCCCAAAUCUAUUUUUUUCUUGUCCCUAAUAGAUCUCAAAUGAUGUGAUAAUGCACAGGUUAUAAUUGGAGCUCAUGCAGUGAUGGCCAAUGGUGGAGUUAUAGGACCUGUUGGAGUCAACAUGGCUGCUUUGGCAGCAAAAAAGCACGCAGUCCCAUUUGUGGUUCUAGCCGGUAGUCACAAGGUUUGAUUUCAAGUUGUUUUUUUGGUUCAAACCAGUGAUUCCUCUCAUAAACCUUAAAACUUUACUUAGAGCUUUUAUAUAUAAUAAACAGCUAUGUCCACUCUAUCCUCACAAUCCGGAGGUGUUACUAAACGAGCUGAGAUCUCCUUCUGAACUGUUGGAUUUUGGUGAAUUCUCUGAUUGCCUGGAUUUUGGAUCCGGUUCCGGGUCUCCCCUUCUUCAAGUAGUCAACCCAACCUUCGAUUACGUCCCACCAAGCCUCGUCAGUCUCUUUAUAACCGACACGUAAGUCUCAUUUGGUUUCCUCUAGUUAUUAGAUUUUUAGAUUGGCCAUUCUCACGUCUCUUGUUUGUUUUGGUUAACAGGGGAGGACACAACCCGUCUUACAUGUACCGUCUUAUUGCUGACUACUACUCCGCUGAUGAUUUGGUGAUGUAGCAGCAAUAAAGAACUAGUUUUUUUGGUCAUUUGACCACACAACACUCACUUGGUUGGGUCGUUCACAAAGUGGAAGGAGGAUACAUGUACAUUGUACAAAACAGUUGCUCAAUGGUAGUGAAUGAGAAAAGGGAAAACAUCCUUAGCGUCUGUGAAAUUGGUCUGGCCCAAGUGUAUUUUUUGCCGUGUUCUACUUCUGCUCAGUCUCAAAACUCUCAAAUGGUGUUUAUUGUUUACUUGACAAACUUUUCGUCAACACAAAACACUUUCUUUCAUUGUCUUUUUGUAUUCUUGCCAAUUACGAGAGAGUUAUCAAUUAAGGUUUUGGGUGCUAUUACUCGAGUAGAAUUAAUCGUUAAACGGAUUCAAAAGACUCAAAGUUUCUAAUGCUGCAUUGGUUUAGUCCGGUCCAGUUUCAGUUUUCUAAUAACCGGUCACGUGAGAUUCAAAACGCAAACCGAUGACACUUGAUUUUCCUUGUUCAAUAGCCCUGAGUGCUGCUAAAACCCUAAACUAACCAUUUUUAACGGCCUUCUCCUUCUCCAAUUCGUGCAUGCUGAUACACAUCAGAAACUCUCGAAAGAUCUCAUCUUUAGCUCGUCAUGCUCUUCAUUCUCCUAAUGCCUACUCCUCCCCAUCUCCCCAACCGUCUCAUGCUGCGGCGGCGGCUCGCGAUGUCGCGCAAUUACUAAAAACCCCAAAUUGGGAGAAAAACACCACUCUCAAAACCCUAGCUUCCCACUUGAGCCCACACAUCGCUUCCCAAGUAAUCUCCCUUCACAGCAACCAAACCGGAACCUGCGUACGUUUCUUCACAUGGGUCUGCAAGCACUCCUCCUACUGCUUCCACCCGAAUCAGAAAACCCACCUCCUGAAACUCAUCGUCUCCUCAGGUCUCUACCAAAUCGCGCAUUGCGUCACCCUCGCGUUGAUCAGAGAGUUCAGCAAACACAAGAGAGAGAUCCUGAGACUAAUGGAUUGUUUCGAUAAUCUGAGAGACGAGGCUGGGUUCAGAUUAAACUACCCUUGUUACAGCGCGCUUCUGAUGUCUUUAGCUAAGCUUGACUUAGGCCUCUUGGCUUACUCGACUUAUAAAAAAAUGGAAGCUGAUGGCUUUCUCCCUGGGGAGAUUGAUUACAGAACAAUCGUCAACGCUCUCUGCAAGAACGGCUUUACUGAAUCUGCAGAGAUGUUUAUGUGCAAGAUUGUUAAAAUCGGGUUUGUGUUAGACUCUCAUAUAUGCACUUCUUUGGUUCUUGGCUUUUGCCGUGUGUUGAAUCUUGGAGAAGCUCUAAGAGUGUUUAACGUCAUGUCUAGAGAGGAAGUUUCUGAACCAAACUCUGUUACUUACUCUAUACGGUUUUGAUCGAUGGGUUGUGUAGAGAGGGGAAGGUUGAAGAGGCUAAUGGUGUUUAUCGAAAGAUGGUUGAGGAUGGGGUGUACCCUAGCGUGGUGACUUACAACGCGUUGAUUAAUGGUUAGUGUAAAGAUGGGAGGAUUGUUCAGGCUUUUGAGGUUCUUGCUGUGAUGGAGAAGAGGGGUUGCAGAGCGAAUGUGAGGACUUUUAAUGAGCUUAUGGGAGGGUUGUGUAGAGUUGGGAAACCGUUUAAGGCUGUGUAUUUGUUGAAGAGAAUGGUUGGUGAUGGUUUGGCGCCUGAUGUUGUGAGCUAUAACGUUUUGAUCGAUGGGGUUUGUAGAGAAGGGUUUGUGAAUGUGGCGUACAAGCUUCUUGGUUCGAUGAGUUCGUUUGACGUUGAGCCUGAUUGUGUAACGUUCACGGGUAUGAUAGAUGGUUUGUGCAAGCAAGGGAAGGUUGAUGUAGCGAGUUCGUUCUUAAGUUUGAUGAUUAGAAAAGGGAUAAAGGUAGAUGAAGUUACGUGUACAGCUCUCAUUGAUGGGUUCUGUAAACUCGGUAAAACGAAGGACGCGUUGUUUAUUGUUGAGACGUUGUGUAAGAUGAGACUGUUGACUACUCCUCACUCGUUGAACGUGCUUCUCGACGUGCUGAGUAAAGGCUGUAAAGUGAAAGAGGAGUUAGCGAUGUUUGGGAAGAUUAAUAAGCUUGGUUUAGUUCCUUCUGUGGUGACCUACACAACACUUGUUGAGGGGCUGAUUCGUUCAGGCGAUGUUAGCGGUUCAUUGAGGAUGCUGGAAGCGAUGAAGUCGAGUGGCUGUUUGCCGAAUGUUUAUCCUUACACGAUCAUCAUCAACGGUCUUUGCCGAUUUGGAAGAGUGGAGGAAGCAGAGAAGCUUCUUGCUACUAUGCGAGAUUCAGGAGUUUCUCCGAAUCAUGUUACUUAUACUGUAAUGGUGAAAGGAUAUGUGGAUAACGGAAAGCUAGACCGUGCUCUAGAGACCGUUAGUGUUAUGGUUGCAAGAGGAUAUGAACUUAACGAGCGUGUCUAUUCAUCUCUGCUACAUGGACUUGCGUUAUCUCAGAACAAGCUAAUAUCAAUGGUUGAAGAGCUAGGUGGAUCAACACGCGAAGUAUAUGGUUUCGUUGUCACACGUCUAUGCAAAGAAGGAAGAAUAGAUGAGUCCAACGAACUGAUCCAAACUAUGCUCAAGAUAGGUGUUUAUAAUGAGAAGGCGAUAGACACUGUCAUAGAAUCUUACUGUGGCAGGAAGGAACAGAGCAAGUGUGUGGAGCUGAUCACACUUGUUCUUGGAACCGGGUUCGUCCCGAGUUUCAGAUCCUUCUGCUUAGUGAUUCAAGGUUUGAAGAAGGAAGGAGAGAGUGAGCAGGCGCGUGAGCUGGUAAUGGAGCUUCUGAGAUCAAGUGGGGUUGUAGAGAAGAGUAGAAUGUUGGAUUAUGUUGAGUGUUUGAUGGAAGGAGAUGGUACUGGUGAUUGCAGUGAAGUUAUUGAUCAGUUGCACUUCAAAGAAAGACCUAUCUUCUAAGUGUUACACUUUUAGAUUUUUGUAUAGCCAUUUUUGGAAAAUUCUUAAUCUUUUGAUUCCCAGUGUUAAAAGAGAACUGAUUCAUUCUACUUUUGGUCAAUGAUAAUGACUGAUGAUGGGCUAAGCCCAAAUAUCACUUAAAGCCCAUUCUUGGAUUUUUUCUCAUUAUAAAUAAUUUUUUCCCAGCUUCGGACCAAAGUUUCUGCUUUCUUGGUCGGGGAAUUGAGAGAGAGAGAGAGUCUUCUUCUUGUUCAAGAACAGACCCAUAUAUACAAAUAAUACCCGUGAUUUUUUAAAAAGAGAGCAUUACAGAUACAUACAUAGAAGGUAUAUAUAUACACAUACCCAUAUGCUAACACAUGGGGAUUUAGAGAGAGAGAGAGAGAGAGAUAAUUUUCACUUUCUUCAUUGUAUUUCCUCUUCUCUCUCUUUUCUGAGAUCUUCCAAUCUCUCUCUAUCUACCUCUCUGCUGUCUUGUAUAUGAUUAUCAAAUUAAGAAAGAAAAAAAUAUCUAAAACUGUUUCAAUAAGAACUACGCUGAUUUUUCUAUUUUCCGACAAGCUGAAAAAACCUUUCUUUCUAAAGUGAAGUUUCGUGUUUUUUUUUUGUCUGAAAAUUUGAUCCGACAGCUCUUUUUGCUAUCUGGAUUCCCUUAAAGGUUUAGCCUUUCGUACUUCCACCUGCGCCAAUUGCACUUGGCGAUCGUCAAGGCUGGUGAUUUUUUGGUCCGAUUGGUUUUUAUCUUAUUAGGGUCUGAUUAGGUCGCAACCCUAAUUUUUGGAUGUCUUAUACUAAUUAGGAUCGUCCGUCCCUUGGAGAUUAAACACUGAUCGAAAGUGUUUCUAUUUGAUUUGGGGAAAUUGGGUUUCUUCACAUUCAAUAAAGAGGCCAACUUGUUGGCGGCUGCCUGCUGAUAAAAGGUGCUUUUGAGCUGUUAACUCCUUAAUCUGAGCUUAAUCUGGAAAUGAUAUCGAUUUCUACUGGUGCCUUUGACAGGUUAGCGACUAAUCUCGGUUGCUAAUUUUAUACUGCACUUGGGAUCUGUGAAGAUAGGAUUGAAGUGGUUUUAUAGAAAGUUUGGAGUGAUUUUAUUUGAUAUGGUGGGCUGGAUCAUAGUCUCUGAUCUGGUCAGGUGCUACUGGGAUAAAGGAUUGAGAAAGUAACGAGAAGAGUGGUUACCACUUUAAGGAACGUGAGGAAGAAGUGACAUGUCUCGUUGCUUUCCAUUUCCACCUCCAGGAUAUGAGAAGAAGAUUAGCACCGAUGAAGCAGACUCUUUGAUAAAGGUUACCCUCAUAGGAUCUACUCUCAUUUGAAUUUGUGGUCUUUCCGGUGUUUCUAAGCUCGUAUGGGUGAAUUUUUUUGGAGAGUGACUAGUGCACACUUAGGUAACACAUGUCUUGCCCCUUAGGCUCUUAGAAUAUGAUGAAGAAAACUUUACCAAGAGACUGGAGUCUAAUCAAUAUCUUAAGAUAAUGGAAGAGAGUGGUGAAUGGCCGAGUUCAUGAGAUUCUUUGUGUUGUCUCCUAGACUUUUAAAGAAUUUUAUCUUGCAAAUGUAGCUAUCUAUAGUGAGAAUCAUGAAUGCUGAAAGACAUAAACUGGUAUUAGAGAAUCAUAAACUCCAAUGAAUUGGCAAAGAUGAGUUGAAAAAAAAAACUCCUAUCUUUUUCAACCUUUAAAAUAAAAAGUAGUAGCUUCUGGUCUGCCGUAGUUGUUCUUCCAUUUCUCAUUCUUAUGAUUUUUUUUCUGGUCCAUAACAAGCUUUUCUGGAUCCUUGACUAAUUUAGAAUGCUGAGGUGCUGAGAUAUUGAAGUGAUUAUGUGGUUUUGAUGCUGGUAGUUUUGGAUGUUAGAUAAUAUGGAUUAUUGGUGUAGGGGUUUGCCUAUUUGACCUGAAGUUUACAGUCAAUUAAUAUACUAAUAUCACUUGGAGGAAUAUGAGAAUUUCUAAGAAUAGUAGCAUCUUGAGAAACUAUUGUAACUAUAAUAAUAUAUAGUUAGUAGGUUAAGAGUUAGUGUAAAGCUAAUAAUGUAUCAGACUAGGUAUGUACUGGAGGUAAUUAAUACUAUGUAUGCCUUUUUUUUAAUCAUCACUUAUAUGCAUGUGUGAUUUUUUUCUACUGGGAUUGAAAAUGCAGGAAAAGCAAAAGAAGGAGAAGAAGAACAAAAAGGAGAAGAAGGAUAAAGAAACAAGCAAAGACAAGCACAAGGAACGGAAGGAGAAAAAAGAGAAACAUAAAGAUAGGAAAGACAAAGACCGGAAUAAAGAAAAGAGCAGAACCUCAGAGGACAGAAAAGCUGCUGGUGUUCUGCCGAACACACAAGACGGAGAGAAGCUUGUAAGAGAUAACUCGCAGAGUAAUGGUAAUGGAGAGUCUAAGUUUAUACAAGACCUGGCAAGAAGGAUCAGAGAUGAAGAAGAAGCUACAGAAAGUCAAAGCGUGGGAAAGAUUAGGAAUGAUGAUGAAAGAAGAAUCAAUAAAAAUUUUGCAAUGGAGAGGAGGCCUGAAAAUGUAUCAUCUUGCAGUGGUCAGAAAGGAACCGAGGAGGUCAUGUUUAAACCAUUGGAGAAGAAAGAUCAGGCAAAGAAAAUGGAACUACAAGAGAAGAAUCACCGCAGAGGAAGUGUGAUUGUGGCUGAUAUGCCACUGGAUAGUAAGAAAACUGAACCGAAGUACACAACACAUAGAGGUAGUAAAGAGGAGGAAACAGAGGCGUUAAACAAAAUUGGUCAGGGCAAACCAAAAGAUGUAGAGGGAGGGCCCAAGUUAAAGGAGAGACAUGUAGAUACUAGUAAUUUUAGAAGGCAGGAGGACCUUUCAAGGGAUAGCAUAAAAAAUCUUAGCUCAGAGGGCAUUCUUGGCAAACGGAAAGAUCUUGAGACAAAUGGGUUCUUGCAUGGUGAGUUCUUAUCAUUACUCUUUUUAUUUAAUGGAAUAGGUAUACAUUUAUAGAUGGUGGGUUCUUACUGUAGUGAGUCAUGUUUCAAGUCUUGACAAUCUGUGUACUACUAUUGUUUGUCUCUUAGCACCUUUUUUUUUAAUUGCUAUGCAGAGAAUGGAUCUAGGCCUAACAAGAUGCUGAGGCCAGUUGCUUCUCCAGUAUCAUCCGUGGAAAAUGGAAGAAAGUUGGGAGAAUGCCAAACUCCUCUAAAACCUGUUUCUGAGUUGCAAGGAACACUGUGUAAUCCAGAGGCCAAGGACCAUAGAGUUAACGGUUUCGUCAAGUCUCAAGAACCCAAAAGCCAUCCAAUUAUAUCUUCUGUGAAAGCGAAGGAGAACGGUGAAGCAUCAGCGAAAAAGCGGCCUCACUCGGACUUAAAGUAUUUGGAUCAGAUACUGAAUGUACCGCCGACCCUAGUUAAAUUAUAAAAGGUAUCUAUACCAAAGAGUUUUUUUGGAAAGGCUUUCGUAUUGGGCCUUUGUCUCUGCAGCCCAAACACUAAGACCUAUUAAACCCCCCGCUUCUCACUAUCUGGUCUUCUUGUUCAAUUCCGUUUCUCUCUCGCCGGAAUAUUCCCUCUCUACUUCAUCUCCUCACCGUUCGCCACCGUCGCAUUCUCACCGGUAAGCACAUCCACAUCUCUUUUCCUUCCCCUCGUAUUCAUUUAAUCUCUCUAUUGCCGCGAAUCGCGACGUGAUUAGGGUUUAUGGAAUCUAACGCCUCUUAGUUUUCGAUUAGGGUUAAAGUAAGAUGCCAGACGUGCAAUCGAUGGUGCUUGAGUUUGUUAACAAGCUCAGGAAACGGUAAUAUCCUCUUUAAACGGCUUGUAAUUUCGUAAAAAAUCAUUUUUGUUAGUUAAUUAAGAGAGUUUUCUGAUUUUCAUUCAAUACAGUAAGAUUGAGGGCUCACAAGCUACAGCGAGAUGCACCGUGGAGCUUCUUAGGUCGGUGAUCUCUCAUCAUCGGGUGCCUCAUGCAAACCAAGCUUCAGCUCUUAUUGAUGCUGUGAAAGCCGUUGGUGCGCAACUGGUCGCUGCUAAUCCUGUUGGUAUGUUGUGUUUCUUUCAUCCUGUGAAGUUUCUCUUUAAAGGAAUGAUUUUUAUUGGUUUUUGUGUAGAGCUUGCGGUGGGGAAUGUAGUGAGGCGGGUUUUGCAUAUAAUAAGGGAGGAGGAUCUGUCUCUUGCUACAGCAGCUGUGGCGGGGUUGGAUUUGUUGGAUGCGAGUGAUGACGAUGAGGAUGUUAAUGGGAAAGGAAUUGGGUAUCCUGGGAUGUCUGCGGCGGUUGUUGCUGCUGCUGCUAGGAGUACGUUGCGUCCUCCUUCUUUGCAGACGCUUCUCGAGGGAACUCCUGAGUCUGCGACGGUUCCGUACACUUCUUCGUCCGGUGCUGAUUCCGAAAGCAAAAGUAAAUGUACCUUUAUCCAUUCCUUUACAAAUGCUAAUUUUUAUUUGUUAGAAAAUAUUACAUUUUGUAGACUUUGUUUCCCCUUUUUGGGAGUCAAAACUAUUAUUCUUGGAAUCUAAACAAUUCUUCAUCUUCAUUUGUUUACUUUACUUCUUUCUAGAGAGACAAUGUAUGUGUUUAAUGAACAAAUAGAAGUGAAAUGUAUUAAGACUCUAAAGAUUGUGUUUGGAAUUGAUAUGAGACUUGGAAGUGUUUAUGAUAUAAAGUAAAAAGAAACAAAACAACAACAAACAAAACAAGUAAACACUCUCAAAUAGGGGAGGUUGAAUCUGCCUUACAAUGCGGCAGUUGUUGUAUGGAUCUUGUCUAGAAACUCUGCUCUUGCUGAACUGUCAUUACAAAACUGACCCAAAACCGCGAUAGUCGCAGUGCUGCUUCCAAACUUCUCAAUCCCUCUAGAGAUCAUACAAGUAUGUCCUGCUUCCGCCGCUACUAUCACAUCACCACCAACAAGAGGAGACAGCUUCUCAGCUAUCUGCCGAGUCAUCCUCUCUUGCACUUGAAGCUUGAACCCGUAAAAAUGCACAAUAGACUUCACUAGCGAGCUUGCAAUAGCGUUGGAUCCUUCGGUGCAAUAGUAGCCAACAUGAACAACUCCGUAGAAAGGAAGCAAGUGAUGCUCACACAUUGACCAAAAAGGCAUUUUCAGCUCACAGUGCAACCUCUUCUCUCUGAUAUCUCCAUUGGCUUUGACAGAGUUAAAGCCGUUUAGCAGCUUCAUCUCGAGGUUAACGUUUUGGAAGUUCAUCAUCCAGUUAAGGAACCGAGAAGGUGUAGCCAUGAGUUCUUUCCUCGAUGGAUCUUCUCCUAAUGAUCUCAGAAUGGUAACAACCGCAGAAACCAUUUCUUGAUCUUCUUCAAGAAAGAGUUUAGACUUAACGCUUGGGCACCACUCUUUCACAGAGCCGUCAGCUACGCCUUUGAACUUCAAGAAACUCAUAAACUCACCCCAAAGACUCGACCUUUCAUCCUCGAAAACACCUGACCCGGAGGAAACCAUUAGCCUCACAAACCCAUCAUCGCUUGACGAGUCCAAGUCCAAGCUUGGGAAGUGAAUGUGAGAGCAUUGCAGAACAACAGCCACACCAGACGGUUUGACCCAGUGCUGUAGCGCAGAGCAUAUCUCAUCAGCCAAACGCUGAGGCUCCUGGAGCCGCUUGGCGAAAACGUCGGCCACUCUAGAGAACUUGCUCAGUCCCAAGACGCGCUGCUCGGACGGGACGUAGCCUAUGUGACACCUGACGUGAAAAGGAAGCAAACAAGACUCGCAGUAAGAGUAGUGGUCGAGGUCUCGAACCACAACGAGUCCUCCCACUCCUCCCGCUUGCCCAACUCCUGAAUCUAGCCCUGCUUCUGGAAACAGAGCGCUCUGUACAUACUCCUUCACUUUUUGCUUAUAACCUGAGCAAAAACAAAAAACAAAAGAAGCCAUCAGAGAAUCAACCAAACCAAACAUCAAUUAAGUAACAAAGCCAAGCCGGAUGAAACAUUCUUGCUUAUGCCCCCAAAUUUAUAUUAAAAAAUAUAUUUUAUUGAAAUCUAUACUAAUAUUGCAUCAAUAACCUGAGCAAAAAACAAAACAAAAGAAGCCAUCAGAGACUCAACCAAACCAAACAUUUAAGUUAACAAAGCCAAGCGGAUGAAACAUACAUUCGCUUAUGCUCCCAAAUUUAUUAAAAAAAAAUAUUUUAUUGAAAUCUAUACUCUAAUAUUGCAUCAAUAACCUGAGCAAAAACAAAAGAAGCCAUAGAGACAACCAAACCAAACAUCAGUUAACUAACAAACAUGGCCGGUUCUGAGCAAAGCCGGAUGAAACAUUUGCUUAGCCCCAAAUUUAUAUAGAAAUCUUUUUUUAAUUGAAAUCUAAACUAAGGCCCCCAAAAUCUCAGGUUCUGGCAGAAACUAAAACAAAGGUUUCAUUAUAGAAAGGAACAGAAACCAACAUGCAUCAAUAACUUUUAGAGCAGCUACUUACUUAGCUAGUGAAUGUUUAUAUAUGUGCAUGCAUGUAUGUUACCUCUGGUGCCUUCACGAAGGGCCUUGGCGACGCGAAAAGGAGUCUUUUUGAUGCCUUCUCUGUUGACAUCUUCGUGAAGACCUUGCAGGAGAAGCUUGACGGCGUCUUGAAUCGCUAAAGUCUCUGGUUGGUGCUCGAAGGGAAGCUCAAAGGAGCCGUUUUUCAAUCCGAUCUCGAGGUCUAGAUUCAAAGGCCCUUCAUCCAAUGACCCCAUCGAAUCACACCACCGGAUCCAAUCGACAAAGAAACAAAAAAUCACUAAUCGAAUCCAAAAUUUGAGAUUUUUCCAGAUGCCCACUAAAAUUCACACGACAUCUCGCGAUAAAAAUGAAAACUUUGAACCCAAAUCCGAAGAAAAUAAAAAUUUGUUUCUGGGUAAUGAAUUUUCCGGGAAAACUAAUAGUUUUCUCGGGAAAUUUUUCAGAAACGAGGGGUUGCCGUUGAUCCAGUAAUAUGUGGAUUCGAAAACAUUGUGAUUCUCUAGCUCAUUAUUAUUAUUUAUAUUUAUAAAGUUAGUUGCCACCACUAAGUUCUGGCGUAUUGGAAAGCGUAAUUUUAAGAAGCAGCUUGCGAGUCUUUUUUUUUUUGUUACUACUAGUUUAGUUUGUAAUCUGUUAAAGUUAUUCAAAGGCGGGGUAAGGCGGCGAAGACUUUUCUCUGUCUAAUCUCUAUCUCACCUAACCCUGUUUUGUCCUAAUUUUAUUUUAAACUAUAUUGUUUACUUAGUAGAUUAAUAGUUUUUUUAAGAAGUUUUUCUCGCCCAGUGGAUUAAUUAAAUUAUUUAGGAUUAUGAUAUCUAUGUUGAGGAAUGAGCUAUUUGCACUUUUAUAUGCUUGAAUAAUUACCCUCAAUUGAAUAUAUAAAAAUUUUAAAAUUAAAUAAAUUAAAAAUAUUAAAUUCGGAUCCAGUUUCUUUCCAGUCAGAUCUCACAUUAGAUUUUGAAUUACAUAUGCUAGAUCUACUUAGGUGACGAAAUUAUUGUUAAACCCAUAAUGAUUAGCAAAAGUCAAAAGGCAAAUAUGCACUAAGAAGUUGUACUAUUUGAUACACUCAACUAUAUUUUGAAAAAUAAAUAAAAUUGUAAGGAACAUUUUUAAAAAAAAAAAGUAAUUAUAUAUCAGUUUUUUAGAAUAAAUGAAUAUAGUUUUAAAGAUAUAUAUGGAGUCAAACAGUUUUUCGAGAAGUGGAACCAAACAUGUUUUGGGGGAGAAAGAUUGCCAAAUUCGAUAGUGGAAGGGCAUUGAUACUGAUUUAGAUAUAAAUGUACGUUCAUUUGUAGUGAUCUGAAAGAGGAUUUGUUAGGAAAUGAAGAAAAGCAUAAAGAGGAAAGUACCUGAGGUAUCCAUGGAAGAAGGAAGGUUGAUUGAUGUUUGCACGAUCUUGUUCCUUAAUAGGUUUGAUAUAUAUAGCGAAAAUAUUAAUUAAUUAAUAGAUAGUAGUAAAACAAACCUUAUUGAAUGAUCAUGAAUUUAAUAUUUCGAAAUUGUUGACAAAAACAAGAAGACUAUUUGAUUUUGUUGAGAUGCAUACAUAAAAAGUUGGAUAUAAUUUUUUUUUUCUUUUUAUGAUUAGUUUUCACUUUUCAUUUACAUAGUAACUUAACGGUAAUUAACUCAUUUUCUAUUUUUUUUCUUCACAAAUUGAAAUUUUAUAUAUAUCGAGUAACAUUACAUCCUUUGUCUAUAAAGCAAGCCAUAGCACAAAGAAAAAUCAUCCCAAAAAAUCGGUUAACCUAACCCAAUCUCUAUUUCCAGCACCAACAACGUACAUCCCAAAAAACAAACCGACGAUAUUAAUUUAAAAUAUAGAUGUGUUUCUUUCAUUAACAAACCACUGGUUCAACCAGCGGGGGUGCCCAGUUACGACAUAAAACUGAGUAAAUCCUAGGUUCUUCACACUCUGUGCAAUGAAAGAGACGCAUCUAACAAAUACAUGCAAUCCAAUCCUUAAUUCCCAUGCCUCAAAAACCUUCAACUCUCUUUGGAUUUCAUUUACCUCAAAUUGAAGAGCUGGCCAAUGAGCAGGUUUAUGAAGUGCCUCAACAAGAUCCCCAAAAGUUGAAACAAACCUCACCUUCUCUUUUUUACUCUUCAUGCAUGCUUUCUAGAGCUAUAACCUGCAAUUUUGCCUCACUUAUAGAUGCUUCUUUAGACUCAUUUUUCCAUUUUACUUAUAAAAAAUGGUACUUAUAUUGAGCAAAAAGGUAUUUUUAUGCAUCUAUACAAUAUUUGUGGAAGUUUUGAUUUUUAAAAAAUCCUGAAAGAUCCAAAACAUCUUAUAGUAACUUAAUAUUUUGUUUUCCAUUAACUAUAGGGUUUAUUGGAAAUGUUUAUAUUUAUUUUGUAGUACAGCCUAGAGCAUUUAAACAAAACCAACCCUACGUACUGAUACUAAAAAUAUCAUAUUGUGAAAGGCACAAUGUGGACAAGUCCAUUAGUUACUGGUUUGCAAGGUGUGUAAAUUAAACAACCGAUCUCUCUGAUAACUUCAAUCUCAACGCAAAAAAAAUAACGAAAGAAAACAAAACUCUGGUCAUGGUUUUGUUAGUUAACUCUUGUAUGUGGAAAAAAGUGAUUAAUUAUUUAGGUGUGUGCCUGUGUGGUAAGAUUUAUUAUCUGUAGAAAGUAGGCAGCAGUAAUCGGUCUGUAUAAAACAUUCCACGUACAGAAUGAUUGCAGAGAAGUUGGGUUAAAGUUAAGUAUCCUUUGUAUAUAUUUUAACAACAUUGUCACUAAUAUGACAGAAAAUCUGUAUGUUUUAGUUAAGUUGUAUAAUUGUGGCAAUCAAUUCAUAAUAAAGUCCCUUAAUUAAUACAAUUAGUUAGUGGGUAUGACAGAAUGAAUUAUAUUUAGUUAACCGUUUGGAGGAAGAAAGUUUGAAUCAAGUAUUCUUUUAAUUUUUUUCCAUGGUAGACCUUUUGCUAGUGUUUUAAUUUUCUGUUUUUUGAAUGGCAUAGUGUACAUAUCAACCUCAACUAGACAAAUAAGCUUUUUGGCACGAGUUUUUCGUAGCUCGACUUAUGAUAUAACACAAGAAGCUAAGCCUAAUAAGGACUUAUUGAGUCCAUAUAAAUAUGGGUUAUACCUACACAUUUUUUUUGGGUAGAAGGUUACACUUCACAUUAAGUUUGUAUGCAGACAGUCCAUAUAAAUAUGGGUUAUACCUACACAUUUUUUUGGGUAGAAGGUUACCAUUUACACAUUAAGUUUGUAUGCAGUAUGUCUUUCUUUCCUUUGUUCAGGCUUCUGCUUCUCUUCAAUAUUUAGAAUCUUUAUCUAUCGCGGUUAUAGAGAACAUUUGGGUGAGAUUUUCUUCCAUGUUAGUAGAACCCAAUAAUUUAUAUAUAUAUAUAUUUUCAACAGUCCUCCAUAUUCAUUCUAAGGACUCAAAUCAUUAUUCGAAGAUUUUUUGAUCUUGAGUAUGGGCUCUUGAUCUCUUUGUCUUCUUUUUGGUUAUUUUGUAAGCUAAGUUAUUUUCAUUGUUUUUUUUUUGGGAUUGUGAUCUUGGUCGAUGGUCUAUGUUGUAUUCCAAUCCAAUUAAUAAAAACGAAAUGAAAAUAAACCAAGAAGAAGAUAAAAUGAGGUUACGCAUAACCAAGUUGUUGUUUGCAGUACCAAACAAUAAAAUUAACAAAUGUUAUUGCGAAAAAAAUUAAUAAAUAAAUGUUAUUGCGAACGUCUAUAUUUGAUGACCACCGAUAAAAAACAGAAGACAAACAUAGAUUUUUUGGGCUUAUUAGUGUUUGCUAUAGGUUAAAAAUGAAUCUAGAUCAUAAUGUGUCAUUAUUACUUUCUAAUUAUAUUUAAUUAAAAUCUACCAUUGUUAGCAAGACUAUCAACAUGAUUUAUGUUAUACAUCCAUUUAUACGCACGCUCAAUCUUAUAAUCAAAAUACAACAUAAUUUCCAUAUAAAGAUACCGACUUAAAAUUAAUAUGAAAAUACAACAUAGUUUCGGAACCAGAAAAAUGUUAUGUUUUUGCAAAUUAUUUGGAAGAUAUCAAGAUACUAAAAAAAAAAAUCCUCUCAGCUCAUAAAUCAUUCACGUACCACAAACGCAUAAUUCAAAAACGGAUAGUCUAGCAUGCAGUGUCAAGAAACAACCAUUUUUUUUUGUUCACAUGGAUGCGGAUCCCCCGAUUUGGUCUAAAGAAUGCGUAUGAAUCUGCUUAAGUUGAUGUCAAAAAAAUGUAACCAUGUUUUCACAAUUUCAGAAAUAUAUAACAUGGUUAUUACACAUUUCCAUACUAAUAUGAAUGAUUUGAAGAUUCUAUUAAAGUGAAAAUCAUAAAAGAGAACUACGAGAAUGAGAUCAUGUUACAAUGUCAUAUUUGCAAGAGGACCUCUUUAAAUACGCCAAAAUCCUAUCACUAGGCCAAUAUUUUGGUUGAUGGCUUAUUGUAAUUGUUGUUGUUAUUUUUAAUUAUGUUUUAUCAGCUAGUGAUAAAUCAUUCUAACGAAUGUCAUUGUGUAUUGGGCAUGCUACUAAAUUUCGAGAACAAUGGGGGUAAUAGUCAUGAUUAGACCAUUGAUGUGACUGGCAAGGAUUUUGACAUAUCUCUACGUAGAGUUGUUGCAUACAAGGUGUAUGGGCAAGAACAAAUAUUAUGCUUUUUAGUAGUUGACGUAAGCUUUAUUGGUAUCUUUUCUAAAGUUUAUUUACCAUUUCAGGAUUCAGUAUGUUAUUUCUUGAAGAGAUUACUUAUUUCUAAGUGUGCAUCAAAAUGUUGCCAAUGAAUCAAGACUAAUUCGACAUUGAUAAUGUCUCUAUCACUAAUUAAGCAAUUUGGUGGAUACAUGCAAGAAUCCAAAAUACCAUACGGUGUGAUACUGAAAUGCGAGGUUGUGAAUGUUUCAUGUUUUUUAGUGUAACCAGCUUUUUAUAUUUGAAAUUGUUUAUGCACGUGGUUGUGUUUGUUGGUGGCUUGAAACCAGUUAUGGCUGAUAAUGAUUCUUAUCAUUAUACAAGCAUGCACAAUGGUGACAAUCAAGUAGUUGUAAGACAUGUACAAGAAAAUGAUUGAAGCACUAAAGAAAUACCAAAAAGUUAACCUCAAUCUUAGCAUUUGAACGUCCCCAAAAGGCUAUUGUAUCACAUAUUCACAUAUCUUGUUUUUUUGAAAGCGUCUCUAUAGAUGCAGCGUAUUUGACAAUGAUAUAUUUUUCAAACCUGAAAAGGAGAGAUAAACUCUGUUAUAAAAGGAUUAUGAGUAAAAUCAGUUAACCACUUCAGUAGUUUCAGCAUUAGCAUAGUUGACACGAUCGUUUCUUGAAAAUCAGCUAAAGAGCAUCCAGAUAAACAAAAUAUUAGUGCAGCACACAUAUCACAUAGACACUCACAUCCAUACUUCCCAAUUGUGUAAUAAGCAAAUGAUGAUCAAACAUCACUCUUUUAAAAGCAUAUUUAAUAUUAAGAAAAAAUAACUUUAAUAAUGAUAAAAUAUAAUAUAUCUACCUCAUUAAACUAUUUUGUAACUAUUUGAUCAAACGAUGUUUAUUUUGUUUUUUAGUUUUUUAGUUUUUUUUUAAUAUCUCUUAAAAAUAAGUAGUAAAAAAUUGUGAUUGUAUUUAAAACUAAUAUUAUAUAAGUAAAAUAUAAUUUAUAGAUAUUUUUUGCUGUAAUUGAAAGAUAUUAUUGUCAACUAAAUUUAUUAAACUCUUAAAAUAAGCAGUAAAAAUUGUGAUUGUAUUUAAAAUAAUAUUAUAUAAGUAAAAUAUAUUUUAUCGAUAUUGUUUUGCUGUAAUUGAAAGAUAUUAUAGUCAACUAAAUUUAUGAAAAAUAAAUAAAACAUUUCAAUAUUACUAAUUAUAAAAUAUUUUUAGAUAAUUAAACAUAUAUUAGUUUAUGUUACUUAAUUAUUUUAUGUAAUCAUCUAAGAAAAUAUAUAGGUAUAUAAAAAUAUUUUUAUUAAUUUGAACUUUUGUACUGUUUAAAUUAUGUUUUAGAAGAAAUAAUAUUUCUGUUUCUAAUAUCAAGAUUAUAUGUGUAAAUGUUUUUUAAUGAAAUCAUUUUAUAUAGAAAUUUAUAAUUUUUAUCUUAGAAAAUAUAUAUAUAAAUAAAGUAUUUUAUUAUUUAAAAAUAAUAUUUUAUGUUAUUUAAAAAUAUUUUUUAAAUUUAAUAUUACUAUUUUGUUUACUUUCCUUUUUUUAUGAAAUCAUAUUAUAUAUACAUAUAUUUUCGUUUUUCAAUUCUUUUUUUUUAACUUUAUAAAAUAUUUCCUUUUUAUUUUAUGUGUAUAUUUUUCGAAACUUUUUAAAAAGGAAACUAAAUAAAAUAAUAAAUAAUAGUAUUUUAAAUGUAAGUUAAUUUAUUAAGGGUAUCAGUGUAAUCAACCAUCGUGAGAGUUAACGUGAGAGCGACACAUAGGAAACUGACUUAUUAUGUGAGCACGGGUAUAAAUAUUUCUAAAGUAAAUAUAUUAUAAUAAUUGAUUACUACUUACAUUUAAUAUUAAAUUAAUUUAUAAUUUAUAUGCAUCAUUUAUAUUAACAAUAUUAUAUUACUUUAAUUUUUAUAUAUGUUAUAUGUAAUCGUUUUUCUUGUUUUUCAGUCGAUUUAGUUAUCAUUUGGGUAAAUUAGAUUGCAUAUAUGAAUUCAACUGUAAUAUUUUUUAUUCUAUAUAUAUUAAAAUUUUGAUUAAUUUCUUAUUUACAUUUAGGUGGUUGUUAUCUUAGAUAUGUAAAUAUAUUUUAUGAAGAUUAUGUAUAACUUAAGAUAUAUUGUGCUUAGAAUGAUUUAAAAAAUAAACUAAAGUGUAUGAUUCCAAAUUACAUAAAUUAAUAUAACGAAACGAUAAUAUUUUGAAGUCUCAUUUAUAUAUAUAAAUUUUACAAAAGAACUAAAUUGUAACAGUUGGUUAAUAUUUUAUUUUCAUUUUUAAUAUUUUUUGAGUUGUCCAAUGAUUUAUAUUUAUAAAAUAAAUUACUAUUCUUAUAAAAUUAAUCGUAGUUAAAUCUAUGGUUUUAAAUAUAAGUUGGAUUAGUCGAAUCAUUCAUGUUGCGAGUAUAUUGAGUUACAUAUAUUCUUUCAAAUUAAAAAUGAAGUAUAAUUAUUUUUUAUUAUAAUUAAGUCGAAUGUGCAUGUAUUUUCAUAACAUUUAUCAAAUUAUAUGUUGAUGUUUUUUUAAAAAAUAUUAAAAAAUAUAGGAUUAUCAAUAUGAAGUUGCAUGCGUAAGUAGCUGAUACAUUUUUGAAAGCUCAUGUACACAUAUCAAUAUUUACAAUAAUUAAAUAAUUUUAAAAAUUCUAAAUAACUUUAUGUUUUUGAUUUAUUGAAUGAAAACUAAAAUUUAUUUGAAUAAUCUUAAAAAUGAGAAUUCAGAUUUGCUUUGAUAUUUUGAUUAUGAUUCUAUUAAGUUCCACAAAUACAAAAACAUAAAAUUUAAAAGCAUAUUUAAUAUUAAGAAAAAAUAACUUUAAUAAUGAUAAAAUAUAAUAUAUCUACCUCAUUAAACUAUUUUGUAACUAUUUGAUCAAACGAUGUUUAUUUUGUUUUUUAGUUUUUUAGUUUUUUUUUAAUAUCUCUUAAAAAUAAGUAGUAAAAAAUUGUGAUUGUAUUUAAAACUAAUAUUAUAUAAGUAAAAUAUAAUUUAUAGAUAUUUUUUGCUGUAAUUGAAAGAUAUUAUUGUCAACUAAAUUUAUUAAACUCUUAAAAUAAGCAGUAAAAAUUGUGAUUGUAUUUAAAAUAAUAUUAUAUAAGUAAAAUAUAUUUUAUCGAUAUUGUUUUGCUGUAAUUGAAAGAUAUUAUAGUCAACUAAAUUUAUGAAAAAUAAAUAAAACAUUUCAAUAUUACUAAUUAUAAAAUAUUUUUAGAUAAUUAAACAUAUAUUAGUUUAUGUUACUUAAUUAUUUUAUGUAAUCAUCUAAGAAAAUAUAUAGGUAUAUAAAAAUAUUUUUAUUAAUUUGAACUUUUGUACUGUUUAAAUUAUGUUUUAGAAGAAAUAAUAUUUCUGUUUCUAAUAUCAAGAUUAUAUGUGUAAAUGUUUUUUAAUGAAAUCAUUUUAUAUAGAAAUUUAUAAUUUUUAUCUUAGAAAAUAUAUAUAUAAAUAAAGUAUUUUAUUAUUUAAAAAUAAUAUUUUAUGUUAUUUAAAAAUAUUUUUUAAAUUUAAUAUUACUAUUUUGUUUACUUUCCUUUUUUUAUGAAAUCAUAUUAUAUAUACAUAUAUUUUCGUUUUUCAAUUCUUUUUUUUUAACUUUAUAAAAUAUUUCCUUUUUAUUUUAUGUGUAUAUUUUUCGAAACUUUUUAAAAAGGAAACUAAAUAAAAUAAUAAAUAAUAGUAUUUUAAAUGUAAGUUAAUUUAUUAAGGGUAUCAGUGUAAUCAACCAUCGUGAGAGUUAACGUGAGAGCGACACAUAGGAAACUGACUUCUCAAAUAAUAUUAUAGAGAUAGUUCAUGGGUCGAAGCCUCGAAUUACCAAUAUUAAUCGUUCUUGAAACAACAACGACUAGAAUAAAACACAUAAACAAGUUAUUAAAACGAUUAUAAAAGUUUUUACUCAAAUUUUCAUCCGUUGGCGUUUAUUCCAUUGACUGAAAAUAGUAACAGUACACACCAAAAAAUUUGUGUGAAAAUAGAAAACCAUGGUAUUAACUUUUUCCCCAGGAUUUAUAAAUCAAAAAAUCUUCCCUUUCCACUUUCCAGGUGCAACUCAUGCAGGUAGGUGGAAGGCUAGGCUGGAACUUUCAUAAAGCAACAUCUUCAAAGUGUACCACGAUUUGAAAGAAGACACGUUUCACCUAGCUCAUCACAAAGUUGUAUACAACCACUUGUAUUCGACCACGUUGUUAUUAAUCCCGUUACAACGAACCACCUGGAUACCCAUCCGUCAUAUCAGCUGAGACUAGUCGCAACGUAACAGCGCUUUUCCUGAACUGGUCCGUCUAUAACCUAUAUUACUGUGUCUUUCCGUCAUUGUGGGACCGUCUUUAACAUAUCCUCACCACGUUUCAGACCAAGAGUAGCGUUCGUGGUCGUGAUUCACGGAGUCAAGAUAUGGAGACGCAGGAAACUGAAAAACCAACGUGUCCUAGUCAACGCUAGCAGGCUCUCAGGGUACACGUGCCAUAUGCAUGUCCAACGUGCUACACGUGGUGGCCUCGGCACUUUCCGCUGGUUUGUAUGUAACCAAUGGGAAGUAGAUAGAAACCAACAACGGAAAAUGCAAUUAUGCAAAACCAUUUAUCGAUAAUCCGAGAUUGUAGCGAUAAUAAAGUUUUUUUAACCCUUCUCUUAAUUUACAAACUAAUCAUUAAUCAUACGUGUAAUGAAAACCGCUCAUGUCCACUAUCAUCAUCAGACAAGUGUCAUGACAUUGAGGCUUCCCAAUUCUCUUUUUAUUCCAAAAUUCCAAAAUAGAUGAAAGCUUCAAAAACCUUUAAAAACAACUAUUAACAUCUCUUUUCUCAACGUUACACGGUUAUUGAAUCUUCAUCAAUGGCAACAAAGCUUGGAAAAGACGAGGAUGCUGCGGUCGAGCUUGAGCUAUGUCUUUCUCUUGGAGGCCCCUUCAAGAAAGCUCAAGCGUUAGAGUUCUGUACGGAUAGCAAACCUAAUAACGCCGUCAGAUGUGUGGAGGAUAUUGACGUUGAUCUUAACGACGGAGCGGUGAGGCAUGAGAUCAAUGAGACGAGGACAAAGGAAACAAGGAAGGAACGGGAAGGGAAGCAGCAGCAGAGAAGCGGAGGAGAAGGAGAGUACAAGAGGAUCAGAACAGAAUGUAAAGAAGUCACUAACGGCGUGGAUCAGUUUGAUUUGAGCUUCAGUGGAUUGGGCAACGGGUACAGGUCGGGUCAAUAUAAGGAAAACAGUAAAGCUGCGACCAUCGGGUCACCCAUUUGCAGCUCGUCCGACGUAUCUGAUCCAAGUAAAUAUAUAACAUUUUAUCUACCAUACAGACUAUUAAAAUUAGCCAAUCUUGUCAAAUUCUUGGGUAUAUAAAAUAUUUCACAAUGAAGUGUUACUAUUUAACAUUUAGACGAGAGAUAUUUUAAGAAACCUAUUUAUUUUUUAUGACUUUGAAAUUGACUAGUUGAUAUUUAAGAUCUCUUUUAUAGUAAAAUAAACAAAUAUUAGAAAUGGGUUAGAUGUAUUAAAGAAUCACGAGAAUUAUGGUAUUUGCAUGAAUAUACUUCGGUGUUGCAGUUAUGUGACUUAUGCCCCAUGUUCAGGUGGAAGUUGUGAACUUGGGAUAAAUUCUGACCAAACCAAACCGGUUAAAUCUCCGGUUAACAACAUUACAACCGAUACAAACGAAGGUCAAGAAGAUGCGGUGGUAGUUGAGACCCAAGAAUGGUCCAGCUCUGUAGCCAAAGAGACAGGGAAGCCUCCAAAGCCGCGUUCCAAGGGUAACGGCAGUAUGCCUCCGUUUGCUCAGAUGCCAUGCGUGACCAGCACCGGUAACGGACCAGAAGGCAAAACUGUUAAUGGGUUUCUGCAUCGGUACACAAAAUCAGAGAUCAGUAUAAUAUGUGUCUGCCAUGGAACGUCAUUCUCGCCGGCUGAGUUCAUCAUUCACGCCGGUGGAACCAAUGUGUCGCAUCCGUUAAGGCAUAUAACUGUUGUUCCGUCAAAGUUUUAACUAGCUUUCUUUCGUGGGGUACCUUGUGUUUUGUUUUUUUUUUUUGUAUAUAUUUAGCUGAUGAUCUUUUCUUGAGUUCAAAGGGACUCUUUAUCUGAUCCAAGUAAAUAUAUAACAUUUUAUCUACCAUACAGACUAUUAAAAUUAGCCAAUCUUGUCAAAUUCUUGGGUAUAUAAAAUAUUUCACAAUGAAGUGUUACUAUUUAACAUUUAGACGAGAGAUAUUUUAAGAAACCUAUUUAUUUUUUAUGACUUUGAAAUUGACUAGUUGAUAUUUAAGAUCUCUUUUAUAGUAAAAUAAACAAAUAUUAGAAAUGGGUUAGAUGUAUUAAAGAAUCACGAGAAUUAUGGUAUUUGCAUGAAUAUACUUCGGUGUUGCAGUUAUGUGACUUAUGCCCCAUGUUCAGGUGGAAGUUGUGAACUUGGGAUAAAUUCUGACCAAACCAAACCGGUUAAAUCUCCGGUUAACAACAUUACAACCGAUACAAACGAAGGUCAAGAAGAUGCGGUGGUAGUUGAGACCCAAGAAUGGUCCAGCUCUGUAGCCAAAGAGACAGGGAAGCCUCCAAAGCCGCGUUCCAAGGGUAACGGCAGUAUGCCUCCGUUUGCUCAGAUGCCAUGCGUGACCAGCACCGGUAACGGACCAGAAGGCAAAACUGUUAAUGGGUUUCUGCAUCGGUACACAAAAUCAGAGAUCAGUAUAAUAUGUGUCUGCCAUGGAACGUCAUUCUCGCCGGCUGAGUUCAUCAUUCACGCCGGUGGAACCAAUGUGUCGCAUCCGUUAAGGCAUAUAACUGUUGUUCCGUCAAAGUUUUAACUAGCUUUCUUUCGUGGGGUACCUUGUGUUUUGUUUUUUUUUUUUGUAUAUAUUUAGCUGAUGAUCUUUUCUUGAGUUCAAAGGGACUCUUUAUUGGUGAAUAUUGUAGUUCUUGUUUUUCCAUUUCUGGUAUGAUUUACUUUACUAAUUUAGUGCAUUUUUUUGGUUAUGGAGAAAAGCUUAUUUGAAACUAUUCUAUUAAUUGCAUUUGCGAGAUAAUUGAAGAGUAAAAAAACUCGGCGAUUAUACUCUUAAAAGACAAAAACAUUCAAUGUAUAAUAAUGGAUUAGUUAUAGUACCAAUGAUAUUAGAGAGAUUCUGAGGUGGACUAUUUUUAUCAGUGACUAGCAUCGUAUAGACAACUUCGUAUAGACAACUGUUAAUUUAGAUCAUGAUUAAUCCGAGUUUUUAGGUACGUAUGGUUAUUAACCAAAAAAUGUAAAAAAAAAUGUCAAAUAAAUUUAGAAUCCGGGUUAAUUAUGUUCUCUAGAGAGAUAUUAAAAAAAAACUGUUAAUUAAGGGAUUGUAACCGUAAGUUGUUUGGAAACGCGGUUUAACUUAUACAAGGUCCACGUAGGAUAAACGCUUCAUCGUGAAAUGACCAUUAUACCCAUAAAGUGAAGCCCUAGCGAGACAGAUUGAUUUUAGGACAGCUUAAAGGUUGAAACUUUGAGUGUGGAGGCGAGAUCUCUGAGUUCAAAGGUUCGAUCUUUUACCAUCAAUGGUCGAGUAUUUUAUUUAAUUGUUAUAGUUCUUUGUGAUGCAUUUACUUUGGUGUUGGUCUUUUUUUAUUCUUAGUAGUUUUUCUUUCCAUGUUGAUUUUGAGUUGUGGUGGAUUUGGUCGUAAAGUUGCCAGAUGAUGAUUUGAAAUAAUUGCGCAAGGGUUAUGAGUUUCAGAAAGAUUGGAGGAUUGAUUACUCUGAUCUGAAUGAACCUGUGACAAAAUCAUUUUCUUCUUCUCGAACUCUGAUGGCAACUGCUGAUCUAUUUUUUUAAAAAAGUUUUCAUCUUUGAAUUUGUGUUUUUGAGUUUUAAAAAGUUUUUGAGUUUCAAGAAGAUUAUCUUAUGAUGAUGAUUCAUGUUCUGCACCUCUUGUAUUUAGGAACUGAGAAAGUACAUUGACUUAGCACUUAUAGUGUCUUAAACAUUGCAAUAAUUAAAUUUUACAUAAUAUUUGUUUCAAGGGCAAUGAAGCAUGUGGUGAAGAUCUUGAGCCUGCUAGUGGCAGUCUCUGCCUUUUGGAUUGUUGUAUUGCAGGCUGCAAUUGUUCCACAAAGUCAUACAUUGUUGGUGAGUAAACGAGCCUGGUUUGAUUUGUCUUAUUUUAGUUAAUCUACUGUUCUUAACCAGCUGAAAAUUUUAUGGUUGUAACAAAUGUUUUUUUUUUGUUUUGCACCAGCUACCGAUUUACUUUGUAGUGUCACUUGGAUGCUAUGGUCUGUUAAUGGUUGGAAUCGGGAUAAUGCAGUUCCCUACCUGUCCUCAAGAAGCAGAUCUCUUGAACCAUGUACUAUCUCUGCCCUCUUUCUUUCUUUCGUAUGUUGUUAAUAUUGAAUCUUUUUUACUAACCUGUUUUAGCUGGCAUUGCAGGAUAUUGCAGAGGCAAAAGACUUUUUAAGCACAAACGGAAUAGAUAUUGGAACGUAUUGACACAUUUUGUAAUAUUCUUCUUGUUGACUCCCUAGCAUUAACAUGUUUCUCAUUCUGUAAUAUUUUGCAAGUUGUCUUGUUUAGAUGCAAGUUGUGAACCCCACUACUUUGUAAUACUUCAAAGAUUGUCGCUGGCUAGCCUUCAAAGUUUUAAUAUUAGUACUACAGAUAGUUAAAAAUGGUAUUCGAAAUUGGUUAGAUUUGUAGUAGUAACAGAGUCAACCUAACAAUUUGAAUUUCCUAAUUUUUAAUUUAAAGAACUGUCACUUAUCAAGAUACUCUGAUGAUGAUAUUCAUCGAAAAAACAAGUCUUCAGUGAUUUUAAAUGUUUUGAGUUACUCACAUUACAAACAAACAAUUCAUGAACAAACAUGUCUUCACUUUUACUAGCCAAUCUUCUCAAUGAUAGAGUGGAUAAGACAAUUUUUUGAACCUGCAAAGAAAAGGGAAAAGAAUCAAGACUAGAACAACGAAUGAUUCUUGUUUCAAAUGGACAACACGCAAUAUAUAGAGAAUCCGACUUACUGGAGAUUGUCUCUAUAUCAUUAUUCAUUUGGUGGUCGGAAGGAAGACUCGGAUGAGGUCUUCAGCAGUCACAUCCUUCCUACACGUAGGGCAUUUAGCUUGACGAGAGAUGGCUUCCUUUAUGCAACUUUUGCAGAAAAUAUGACCACACUUUGUUGACAUCUCCUCAGUAAGUGGACACAUACAUAUUGGGCAGUUAAACUUUGGUUCGUCUACAGGUCUACUGGAGCCGCCACCACAGACUUAUUAGACUUCCUCUGAACAAGACAGACAAAAUAUGUGAGCCUAAGUCCCAAGAGCAAAACAAAAGAAAAAACCAUAACGCUGCUUACCGAAUCUUUUGGUUCAACAUUAGCUUGUUCAGAUUGAUGCUGUGUGCUUGCUCUAGUAGUACCACCUGCAGCACCUAUACAAAUGUUUACCAUUAGAAUCCUUGUAGGCUUGUAACUAUGCAAGAUACCGCAAAAAUAGGGAUGCUAAGUUCACCUGAAUCUAAAUCAACUACUAAGGUUCCUCGCCGUGAGCCUCUAGAUUUGUCUCUUUUGGCCUUGUCACAAGAAUGAAACUGAGUGAGUAAGCUUGUACACAGACACAAAUGUGUUGUUAAAGGGGGAACAUAUAAAAGAAUUAAGAAGAGAGCAGACUCGGUCAAAAGCAGAAGCAGUUGAUUCAACAACAUCAUCAUCAUCAUUUUGAUCUUCCUCGUGGUCGGUUGGUAUCUGACCCACUAUGUUCGCCUGCUGUUGCCUCCUUAAGCUUCUAGUAACUACACCCACCCUCCGAGAACUCAUAGCUAAAGCCAACAUGAAUAUGAGACACUACUACUGAGUUAGUGUACCGUUAUCUCAACUUUAAACCAUCAACAACAACAAAAUCAAAAGUCUUGUCACAUUACAUAAGACUUUUGUCUGGAUUCAGAAAACUUGGGGAAAGAAAAUUCAAGAAACGGUUAAAUGUAGAGGUUCAAGACGGUAAAGAAACCCACGAGAACUAACGAAGAGUGAAAGCUUGUACCUUCUGAUCUCAACGAAGAAGCAGGAGGUUGGAGAGUGGAAGUUGAAGAAUGCAGUGGUAGAGAGAAAAACUAAAGUGUUUUAAAAGGAUUAUUAGCCAAAGGGUUUUGUUAUAAAUGAUCUUUGGAAAUGAAAAAUCUCAUUCACUUCACUUUUUGUAUUGUUCGAGUAACAAAGGACUUUUACUGGUCAUUGUGUGACGCUUCCUUUACAAGCUUUUAAUAAGUUUUGACUUUUGAGAGUGUUUGAGCGUAUCUGUGUGAAUAACUUCAGCCUUCAGGAGCAGGCAGAAAAAUAAAAAUAGAAAACGCCGACUGUGGGGAUCGAACCCACGGCCACGGGAUUAAAAGUCACGCGCUCUACCACUGAGCUAAGUCGGCUAUUGGAAACUUACUCAGAUUAUUUUAAUAAGUAUUGAAAUCAUAAAAUCGACGUAAUAGUAGAGCAGAUAGUUGAUGGGAAGAACAAGAAUAACAAAGAUGUGGUUGGUUACACUCAAACCUAUACUCAAUACUCUCUGUUCUAGACCUUAUUGUUGGGAAACUCUAACAUGAAGCUGGUGGUUUUGUGUUCUAUAAAGAGGUUCAUCAAGACUAGAGAAGCAAGGUCCCUACCCGAGAAUGCCUUCUUUCAUCCAUCCAUCAUGUCCGUCAGCUACUUCUCUUACCAACAUUGUUUUGCUGUGUACUCGGUUAGUUUCAUGGUCUCUACUACUGUUACCACUACCAUAAGCUUCUUCUUGUUAUUUGUUACUCAUGUGUUCAUACUUUCUUGGACAGCCGUUUUUCCUUCCUGUUGCAGGACACGUUGUCCUUACAGCAGCGCUACGGGAAUGCAGAAGAUUCAGACAAGAGAAGGCAAAGUACUAGACAUGGCUAACCAGAAAGAAGGCGGACUAGGUCCUUUUAGUCACUUGGAACACUAAAGUAGUUUAACUUUUCUGAGUCUUCUUACGCGUUUGCAUUGUGUUUUAAAUUUCAAAAGGAAUAAGAACAUGCGCUCUCACAAGAUGACACCAAACAUAACGUAUAUUACAUACUUCCUCCACUUGAAAAGCGGUCGAAUAUUUCUCGAGACCCAAUGAUUACAGAAAGCUAUCAACCGAAGCACCAGCCUGAAACCAACAAAAGAUAACAUCCUAAGAAACAGUAGUGGGCAGAAGAAAGGUAAGUGAAUCACAUUACCUACUGCGACUUCUUCCUGGUAGCUUGAUUAGAAGCUCUUGAAACUACAGGUUUUGGUCUUGCCUUGACGAGGAUCUACUAGUUAUCAUCCCAUCGGUUCGGUCGGGUUGAGAAUUAAACAAGGAAAGAAUUAACCGGAAUAAACCGUAUUGGUUUAAAUUUUAAGUGAAAAUGUGAUUUAGCCGGUUCGCUAUUUUUUUCUUGCCAACGUGAUUCCUUUUUGUUUUUUUUUUUAAGAACAUAAGAUUCCUUCCUUCGUUGUAAUGGUUUUGUUUGUGCAAAAGUUUUUUAUGUGGGGGUUAAGGUUUUUAUAUUAACUAUCACUUAAAAGAAACUUUUUGAAACUUAUUAUAAAGACAGAGCGAGCUAGCUUUCAGUUUCAACCUUCUUCACUAAGUCUUCCAUGAGUGAUACAACACUGGUUAAAAUGUCUCAAGUGGAGGCUCUAUGGGAGCGGCUAGUUAAUGCUGCGUUACGAAGGGAUAGAACAGGAGAAGCUGGUGGUGGUGGUGGUGGUUGUCCUGGUGAGGGCAGAGACAUAGAUGAUAUUCUGAGAGCUGCUGAUGAACUCCAAGCUAAUGACCCCGUCAUAGCUAGGAUCUGUAAGUUGUUGCUUGUUUUCUUCUUAUUCUUCCUCUGUGCAAAGUUGUGACUAUUUCCUUUUUUUUUCUUGCUGCAGUAUGUGAGCAUGCUUACUCGCUUGAACAAAAACUUGACCCUAAUAGUGAAAGCGUAAGUGUUUUACAAUUUAGAACCGGAUUGAUGUCCGUUAUUAAGGUAUAUCUCUUCUUCUUCUUCUUCUUUGGUUGUCUCAUGGUUUUUGUAUACUCAUAUACUGUACAUUGUUCGACCUUGGUUUAUUUCAGCAAAGAGAUGAAAAAAGAGAGGUUGAGACCAUAAAUAGAAGUCAAGAUAUUAACCGCCUGCAAGGUUUUUACCAGCGGUACAGAGAAAAGAACAAUGUUGACACGUUAAAGGAGGAAGAAAAGCAGCUCUGUGAGUCAGGCGCUUUCACUGACGAGUAUGUAUACUAACCAUAAAAUAACAUAUUCUGUCAAUUUUAUGUUCAUGAUCACAGGGCCGGAUUUGGGAAAUUAGAAGUUACAAACAUUUCUUAUGCUUAUGUAAAUCUUUUAAAAAAAAUUUGGAGGGCCAAAGUCAAUGUUUCAUUAGGCUUGGACUAGAUCCGGCCCUGGUUAUCUUAGUUCUUGUCCAAACUCUGUGUUGAUAUUGCCUUUCAGGCUAGAGCAGAAAACAGUAGAAAGGAAAAGAGUCUUUGCCAACCUUAAAGUUCUGGAACAUGUGUUGGAGCAGGUUUCAAAAGAGAUCUUUGAAGAGGUUGUUUACAUUACUCAGUCCACUAUUGGUGAAAGUAGCUCUGUAGAUUUCAGUUAAUAAUAAUCAAAGUAACUUUGUGCUACUACAGCUGAAGCAUGCUAAUGAUUCAGAUGCUGCAAUGAGUCAUGAGGACACAGUUGCCUACAACAUUGUUCCUUUUGAUGCUCCUGUCACGGCAAAUGCCACGACGGCUUUCUGUGAGGUGCAAGCCGCAGUUACAGCGUUGAAGUAUUUUCCAGGCCUGCCAAAAUUGCCUGCUGAGUUCCCCCUUCCUGCAACAAGGAAUGCUGAUAUGCUUGAUUUUCUUCACUAUAUAUUUGGGUUUCAGGUUUGUCUAUUUGAGAAGCUUUCUUUAUUAGGAAAUCAUCUUUCACAUAUUGUGUGUUUAUGUUCUACUUAUGGCCUCAGAGAGACAGCGUCUCCAAUCAGCGUGAACAUAUAAUUCUUCUUCUUUCUAAUGAGCAAUCCCGCCUUAAUAUUCCUGGAGAAACAGAACAUGUAAGUACCAAAGGUUUUGAUUUUUCACAUGAUUAAUUUCACAGAAGUUUUUGGAUAAGAAGUAGAUUAUUCAUGAUUUUGCGGUGAGUUACAUUUUAAGAUCUAAUGAGUAACUUUUUUUCUCUUAUGCUCUUUCUCAGAAACUUGAUGAUGCUGCAGUGAGUAAUGUGUUUUUGAAGUCCCUAGACAACUACAUUAAGUGGUGUGAUUACCUGUGCAUUCAACCUUCAUGGAGAAAGUAAAUAAUCUCAUCUUCCUUGUCCUUUCCUGCUACAAACUCUUGCAUGCUCACUCCGAUUUUUUUGUAAGAUGCAGUUUAGAGGCUAUAAGUGGAGAAAAGAAACUGCUAUACCUCUCUUUGUAUUUCCUGAUUUGGGGUGAAGCUGCCAACAUACGGUUCCUUCCGGAAUGUUUGUGCUACAUAUUCCACCAUGUAAGUUUUGAUAUGUAUGCAGAAUCUCCUAAUGUUCUGAAUUGCUACUGGUUCUAUGGUAAGUUUACUAACAUAUGUUGUUCAUUUGAUAUUAUGUGCUCAUGCUGAAUAUUUGUUUUGUAGAUGGUAAGAGAAAUGGAUGAGAUCUUACGCCAGCAGGUUGCUCGUCCAGCUGAGAGUUGUAGACCAGUCGAUAGUUGUGGCUCUGAGGAUGAUGUAUCAUUCCUUGAUCAUGUUAUUUCUCCACUGUAUGAAGUUGUAUCAGCGGUAUGCUCUCUGAAGUCUUCUUUUCACCGCCUUUAGAGAGUCUCCUUUGAUCCCACAUAAUGGUGCUUUUUAGUAGAGAACAUACAUCAUGGAAUGUAGCAAGACAAUGUUUGCUAGAUUAGGAAAAUGAUUGGGAUAUAUAGUCAUUUACUACUGCUUUUAGUUGGGUAAUGCAUGUAACUCUUUGUUUCAAUGAACUUGUAACCAGUGUGCAAUUUUGUUUUAUUGUGUUAUUUGAGAGGGGCUAUUACAUUUUCUGGUAUUCCUUAAAGAUGUGAUAUAUGUUUCAUUGCAGUAUAGUUUGUAAUUAUAAUCAAAUAGUAGUUGGUUUUCUAGUAAAAAAUGUCCUGUUGUAUCAUGUUUGAAUAUUUAUUUUUAAGACAGUGUUGGUUUGAUUUAAUAGUCAUGCUAUAACAUGGGCUAUUAUAAAAAUGUUGGUCCGUGCAGGAAGCUUUUAACAAUGGCAAUGGCCGAGUACCUCAUUCAGCUUGGAGAAACUAUGAUGACUUCAAUGAGUACUUUUGGUAAAUUUUUAACAUCUUUGUCUGCUGAGUUAAUUAAUUUCCUUCUCUGUUGGCUAACGUGUUUGAUUUUUCUAGGUCGCUUCAAUCCUUCGAGCUUGGUUGGCCGUGGCGAACCAGUUCAUCUUUUUUUCAAAAACCUAGACCUAGAGCAAAGGUUUGUGUUAGAGGUUAUUGUAGUAGUGCUUGUGGUUUUGUUCUUCGGUGAGAUGACCAUCAUCUGAUGUCAUUGUAGUUCGAGCUUAAACCCGGUCGAGAAAAACAUCGAGGAAAGACUUCCUUCGUUGAGCACCGUAGGAGAUGGAUUACAUCCCUCCACAAGGCCCAUCAUAUAACAGGCCCUAGCCCGACAAGGUCGAUCGAGCUUAGUCGGCUUAGCGGCUAGAAACGUCAGCUCGACCCUAGAGUAUUUUAAGCCGGUCAGCUGAGCCGAUCAGCUAUACUCGGCUCGGACGAAAUAGUAUCGAGGCCCACAUACUCGGCCUUUGGGCGACAAGGCCCAAAGGAUAGGCGCGAUUAGGGCAUCACGCGCGAGGGUACUAUAAGAGAGGAGGAGGAGGCAACGAGAGAGAGGACUUUUGGACAAAUCACACACUAAGCGGCUAGAUUUAGGGUUUCCUAAUCAUCUCUUUGAUCUUGUCGUUUAAACCUCUGAUCUUGUCUCCUUACCUUUCAUCAGUCUUGUAACUCAUUGUCUUGAUUCUAAUAAAAACGUCUUUAGUCACCCCAUUUUCUAAGUUCUUCAUUCUAAUCAACCGAAUCCUGUACAAACAAGCACCGAACGUUUUUGCAUCUCUACCACAGCUUCCAUCGGCUAUGGAUAUUCCUCGCUAUGACGUUUCAGGUUUGUUGUAUGUCUACAAAAUGCUCUCCUGCUAGUACCACACUCUUAGCAGGCUUCUUUACAGGCACUGGCCAUAGUUGCGUUCAAUGAAAAAAGCCUUGCUUCCAGGAAGACUUUGCGUGAGAUUCUCAGCCUGGGACCGACUUAUGUUGUGAUGAAGUUUUCCAAGAGUGAGUCUUAAAACCUCAUAAUAAUUUAUUUUAAUUUUGAGUAAUAUUAUGUUUGAGUGAAGACAAAAGCAUAUGCUUAAUUAAUGUUAUAGGUGUUCUGGAUGUCUUCAUGAUGUAUGGUGCUUAUUCUACUACAAGACGUCUGGCUGUUUAUCGCAUGUUUCUCCGUCUCAUUUGGUUUGGUCUUGCUUCUGUCUUCAUAUCUUUCCUCUAUGUGUAUGUGAAACUUCUUAUGGCACUUUUCACUUUUUUUGGGGGGUUAGUUUUUUGCAUUCCAUUGUGUGAUAGUUGGUUGUGUGUGCAGGAGAGCACUUCAAGAAGAUAGCAAACCAAAUUCUGAUUCAGUCGUGUUCACGCUUUAUGUGAUUGUCAUAGCCAUCUACGGUGGUGUUCAGUUCUUUUUUGGUGUCCUGAUGCGCAUCCCAGCUUGUCACAACAUUGCUAAUAAAUGUGAUGGGUGGACUGUGGUUCGAUUCUUUAAGUGGAUGUGGCGCCAGGUUUCUCUUUCGUUCAUGGUUAAUAUUUGGAUCAUCUGGUAAUAAUCUCUGAUGCUUACUUACUUGAUUGUAUUUUCAGGAGAGACACUAUGUUGGCCGUGGCAUGUAUGAAAAGACAUCUGAUUUUAUAAAGUAGUCUCUUCACCUUAAUUAUUUUAGUUAUCUGUAUACUGGUGACUUCAAAUGUUGGUCUAGGUAUGUACUACUAACCCAUUCGUAUGACGCAGGUACUUGCUGUUUUGGCUUGUUGUUCUGUCUGCAAAGUUCUCGUUUGCGUACUUUCUUCAGGUUGGUUCUUUUGGCGGGAAGCAUAAUUUGUAACGAUAUGUUUGAUAGUUGUACUAAAGAUUGUGGUUACAUGUGACAUAUAUAAAUGUUACAUCAUAAAAUACUACUAAUAUUUCUCUUGCUGGUGAAUUUGCAGAUAGAGCCGCUCGUUAGUCCAACAAGGAUGAUAGUGAAACAUGGUAAUAUUCCUUAUUACUGGCAUGAUUUUGUGUCAAGAAGUUAUAAGUAUGAAAUAGGUCCCUCAGGAUAUGUUAUUAGCUCUACUAUUAUAGGUUUCUUGCUGAUACAUGUACUGAUGAUAAUCUCAAAUAUUUCAUUCUUUCUAUGAUAUUUCUUUAUCUGGAUGCAGGAAACUAUAAUGCUCUGACUGUUGCCAGUUUAUGGGCUCCUGUUGCCUCUGUAAGUUCAAUAGUCUUUUACAUAAAGGGUUGACACUUGUUUUGCUGGAAGAAAUCACUGAAUCAAGAAGUAGUUGUUUCUAGAGAAUCACUUCAGUUUUGGGAUGAUUUUGUUAUUAAAAAAAUAUUUUACCAAUUUUGGUGAAAUUUAUUAGGAUGAAUGUUUUCACAGAUUAAUUUUUAUUUCAUUGUACUGUAACUUUAUCUUUCAUAUAAUGCAGAUAUACCUGUUAGACAUCCAUAUAUUCUACACCCUUGUUUCUGCUUUUUUGGGUUUCUUUCUCGGUGUGAGAGAUCGUUUGGGAAAGGUAAGUGUGGUUACACUUUUCUUUUGUCUUAGAAAUGUCAAAAUCAAGAUAUUUUAUAAAUGUUCAUACACUGUCUUUAAGAAGUUAGGGUCCUUACGUUGCGUUGCCAUUUUCACAGAUAAGAUCUUUGGAAGAAAUUCACAAGCAAUUUAAGAAGUUUCCAGGGGCCUUUAUGAGGGCUCUUCAUGUCCCUAUAACCAAUCGGUUAUGUUCCUUUCCAUUUUUUUGUCAUUUUACCUGCACAUCUCACUUUAUAUUUGUUAACUAUUAUUAACAUUUUUCUCGUCUUCAUUACCUUUCGACUAUAAUCUAAAUUAUGUGCAGGUCUUGGGAUCCUUCUCAUGAGGUAGUGAUGCUGCUUCCCUCUCUGUUUUACAUUUUUGCAGUACUAUGUUAGUUUCUUCUUCUCAUAUUUGCAUGUGUUUAUCAAUUCAAAGGUUGUGGAUAAGAAGAACAGAGUAGAGGCAGCUCACUUUGCUCCAUUUUGGAACCAAAUAAUAAAAUGUCUACGAGAGGAAGACUACAUCACUGAUUUGUAAGUGCUUUAACUAAGCUGUUGUGUCUCAUGAUUUCUCUUAGCUUCAGCUUUCUUUAUAGUUUCAUCAUUGUUACCAAUUUUUCUCAUAUGAAACCAUUUCCCUAGUGAGAUGGACUUGCUCCUGAUGCCCAAGAAUUAUGGAAGUAGACUGGUUCAGUGGCCUCUCUUUCUUCUUUCCAGCAAGGUGAGUUUUGUUCCCCUCUUCUGUAUUAAAGCUCAAUGUUUUAGUGUGGCUAUCUGCUUCUAUAGGUGGACAUUAGUUUCAUAUUAUCUACUGUAGAUAUUAUUGGCCACAGAGAUUGCUGCUGAGAGUAAGUCACAAGAGGAGAUUGUGAAGAGGAUCGAAAAGGAUGUCUAUAUGAAGUAUGCUGUUGAGGAAGUCUAUUACAGCCUUGAACGUGUCCUAAUAACAACGCUGGAAGCCGAGGGGAAGAUUUGGUAAUGGGUUUUGUCAGCCCUAAGAUGACUUUGCUGGAUAAGUGAUGAUAUUUAUUGUGAAUAUUAUUUUGUAGGGUGGACAGAAUCUUCAGAGACAUCCGGACCAGCAUAACUAUGAGAACUAUACAUCUUGAUUUUACGUUGAAGAAACUCUCCCUUGUUAUCACGAGAGUGACUGCACUCUUAGGGGUCCUGGUAUUCACAUUACCAUGCUUAUUAUUAUGUCUUUGUCAGAAAGUGUAACCGGUUCUUAAUUAUUAUUAUUAUAGUAGUAGUACUAAUCUUCAAAAUAUUGUACUUUCCAUUGUUAUAUUAGUACUGAUCUUCAUAUUUUUCUUUUCUUGGACAGAAAGAAAAUGAAACACCGGAGAAUGCAGCAGCGGUUACCAAAGCACUUCAAGAUCUCUACGAUGUUAUGCGGCUUGACAUAUUAGCUGUUGAUAUAAGGUACAUACAAACUCGAUGAUUUGGCAACAAUCCUAUCAAGCUUUUCUUUUCUUUGCUUCCAAAAAUAUGUUGCUUGGUGCAGGGGUCACUAUGACACGUGGAACUUGUUAACGCGAGCAUCGAAUGAAGGUCGGCUGUUUACAAAGUUGAACUGGCCUAAAGAUCCAGAAAUGGUACAGUGAUAAUAUUCAUUGUCAAAGGCUAUAACUGCACCGAUUCAGUCGUUUACUUCUUUGUGGUUUACAGAAAGCUCUCGUCAAAAGAUUGUACUCUCUACUUACCAUCAAAGACUCUACAGCGCCGCAUGUUCCUAGAAAUCUUGAGGCCAGACGCAGACUUCAAUUCUUCACCAAUUCUCUUUUCAUGGAUGUGCCACAACCAAAGCCUGUCCACCAGAUGUUAUCCUUCAGGUAUUUCAUGUUCCACAUUUCCAUCAUUUUUUCCAAAUAACCUCUUACUAUAUCUUCCCUUUAAACUUUUUUUUUCAGUGUCUUCACUCCAUAUUGUUCUGAGGUUGUGCUGUAUAGCAUGGCUGAACUCACUAAGAGAAAUGAGGAUGGGAUAUCAAUCUUGUUUUACCUUCAGAAAAUAUAUCCAGGUGUGACAUUUGCCUAGCUUUUUUUAUGUUUCUUACUGUUAAGUUGAUUCUGCCUUAAAUUUUGUAAUUACCAUCAUAGAUUGAUGCCUAAUAUAUUCUCAAUAAAUAUAUUUUUGAUGUUUGAAUAAAAAUUAGAUCAAAAACUAGUUUUCAUUAAAAUUUGAUAAUGUUGCAGAUGAGUGGAAAAAUUUUCUCGCACGAAUAGGAAAAGAUGAAAAUGCGUUAGAAGGUGAUCUACAUAAUGAGAGAGACAUACUUGAACUUCGAUUUUGGGCUUCGUACCGUGGACAAACGUUAGCUAGAACAGGUAGGUAAAACAAAUCGCUGCAUUUUUUUUCUUUCUUGGGGAUAACUGUUUCACUUCAAGAUCUGAUAGCUUAUGUGUGUUAUCUGGCAAUAUUAUAUCUGCAGUUCGAGGGAUGAUGUAUUAUAGGAAAGCUCUCAUGCUUCAGUCUUAUCUGGAAAGAAAAGCUGGAAAAGGUAAGAUCAGGCUAAGUGCUUUCUAUAGACAUAUAUCAUUUUUGGUCAAGCUUUUAUUCUCAAGGGAUAUCUCAUCACCAGUUACAGACGAGGAAUCCACACUUUAUGUUAAUGACCCAACGGAUGCUGAAGGAUUUGAGUUAUCUCCUGAAGCAAGGGCCCAAGCAGAUCUAAAGUUUACAUAUGUUGUCACAUGCCAAAUGUAUGGAAGACAGAAAGAAGAUCAAAAACCUGAAGCUGCUGACAUUGCACUGCUGAUGCAAAGGUAAUAAUUAGACACCUUUUUCUGGUUUUCUAUACCUGAAAGUCUAGAGCUUCUGCCUGUCAUUGUGUUAUUACAAAGCUGAUCUGUUUCAUUUCUUUUGUCAGAAAUGAAGCCCUUCGCAUUUCCUAUAUCGAUGUUGUUGAUACUCUUAAAGAGGGUAAAUCUCAUAAAGAAUAUUAUUCAAAACUUGUGAAGGCCGACAUCGAUGGAAAGGAUAAGGUAGACCGUGAUCAUCUGUGAAGUUGAUAUAUCGGUGUUUUAACUAGUUUAUAAUCUAUGUUUUGAAUCUUUCAUCGAGUCAAAGUAUGUGAUUUAGAAAAACUUUUGACUCGAUAAAAGACUCAAAACAUAAGUUAUAAACUAGUAAAAACACCAAUACAGUAUAUCAGAAGUACAAAACUAGUGUUCUUGUUUCCUAAUGUUCAAAAGAUGUAAAUAUGCUUUAAGUUCAAAACAUGUAAAAAUGCUAUAAGUGGUUUUAUUCUGGCUAUGCAGGAAAUUUACUCCAUAAGAUUGCCUGGGGACCCGAAACUUGGUCAAGGCAAAGCUGAGAAUCUAAACCAUGCCAUUGUGUUUACUCGCGGAAAUGCUGUCCAGACUAUUGAUAUGAAUCAAGUUAGUAUGCAUCCAUUUUUGUUUUAAGUACCUUCUUUCAAGAUCUUCUAUGCUUUUGUUAUAGUUAAGUUUUCUGGAAGUUUAUAUAACAUAAGCUUUGUAAAGAGUAUAUUGAGUUACAGUUUGAAGUUGGACAUCUCAUCACAUUGUGAAUGCACCUGAAUCUUCUAUGAUGGUUACAUGCCUGCUUUACAUUCUUUUCUUGCUAGCUAAAUGCAUCUUCAACCUUUAUUUGUUAGGAUAAUUACUUUGAAGAAGCCUUGAAGAUGAGAAAUAUUUUGGAAGAAUUCGAUCGGGACCAUGGUAUUAGACCACCUACCAUUCUUGGAGUUCGGGAACAUGUAUUUACUGGAAGGUGUGAACACCAGACAAUCGUAUAUCUUUUUUUUUCUUAUUUUAAUAUACUUCAUGUUACAUAACUGUGUUAUGAUGGAUGCAGUGUCUCCUCCUUGGCCUCUUUCAUGUCCAGUCAAGAAACUAGCUUUGUAACUCUUGGCCAACGAGUAUUAGCCAAACCCUUGAAGUAAGCUACUACCUACCACCAAUAAGUUUACCUUUCCUUGAAUUAAACUCAUAUGGAGUGCUUAUGUGUACUCUAGGAUCCGCAUGCAUUAUGGUCAUUCAGAUGUCUUUGACAGAGUUUUUCAUAUUACUCGUGGUGGUAUUAGCAAGGCCUCUCGGGUCAUCAAUGCUAGUGAAGAUAUCUUUGCUGGUAAAAACCGAUUCGUUAACUGACAAGAACAUAUAAAAAUGGUUAAAAAGUUAAUGUGGAGCCAUUUUGAUGCUAUGAUUUUUCAGGUUUUAACUCAAUUCUACGUCAAGGGAAUAUUACUCAUCAUGAGUAUAUUCAGGUCUGCACUUUAAACUCUUUACAAUUAAAAAAAAAAUGAACCGUAUAUAUAUACAUAUGUACUAAUUUUAUUUAUAGGUGGGCAAGGGGAGAGAUGUGGGGCUCAACCAAAUAGCUCUGUUUGAAGGGAAGGUUGCUGGUGGUAAUGGUGAACAGGUUCUUAGUAGAGAUGUAUACAGACUUGGCCAGCUUCUUGAUUUCUUUAGAAUGAUGUCAUUCUACUUCACAACAGUUGGCUUCUAUUUCUGUACAAUGGUAUGUCCGUCCUCUUGUAACUGGAGCUGUUACUGAAGUUUAAUACUGAUGAUUAGACAUUUUACAUGGUCUCUUGCAGUUGACGGUGCUUACUCUGUAUAUUUUCUUGUAUGGGAAGGCAUACCUGGUAAGCAUGGUUACCUAUUCUGGUUAAGAUGCUGGGUGAAGGUCUCUAAUCCCCUACUUGUGUUUGAAAUUGGAUAGGCGUUUUCUAGAGUUGGAGCUACUAUUCGAGAAAGAGCUAUUCUCGUGAACAAUACUGCACUUAGCGCCGCCCUCAGUGCUCAGUUUCUGUUUCAGAUUGGUGUCUUCACUGCUGUGCCAAUGAUUCUAGGCUUUAUUUUGGAACAGGGUUUUCUCCAGGUAUUUGACUAGAAUCUCCUUGGAGACUGACAUCUGUUCUGAAUUUGCUCAUUCAUCUACAGAACAGUGAAGCAUGUGUUUUGAACCAGUGAUCACUGAUGACAUAUCAUUUGGUGAAAAUGAACUAUUUUACUUUUGUGUGUUUUGUUUGAAAGUAGAACUUGUUUAUUUAACAAUCUUUCAUUUUGUAGGCCAUUGUAAGUUUCACAGCUAUGCAGUUUCAGCUAUGUACUGUCUUCUUCACAUUUUCUAUUGGCACAAGAGCCCAUUAUUUUGGACGGACACUUCUCCACGGUGGUGCUAGUGUUUGUCAACAGUACAAAACCACUGGAAGAGGGUUUGUAGUCAAGCAUAUCAAAUUUUCUGAGAACUACCGUCUUUAUUCCAGAAGUCAUUUUGUUAAAGGGUAUGUAUCUCUCCUCUUAUACUCUUUGUGUCUUAUGUCUGUCUAUACAUUUCAAUGGUAUGUUUUUUUUCUCAAGGAUGGAGGUUAUACUCUUACUGGUUGUCUACCUUGCUUGUGGAAAUGAUGAGGCUGGUUCUGUUUCGUACAUUCUCCUGACUGUUAGCAGCUGUUUCUUGGCUUUCUCUUGGCUCUUUGCUCCUUACCUGUUCAACCUUUCUGGGUUCGAGAGGCAAAAGUAAGUAGUGCGUGUCUGGUUUAGUGUUGUGUUGUUGAGCAACAUGUUCCUUCAUUGAGCAAGAUUUGUUUUCUCCUUUCAGAGUGGUGGAAGACUUCAAAGAAUGGACAAAGUGGCUCUUUCACAGAGGUGGUGGGAUUGGUGUGGAAGGAGCUGAAAGCUGGGAAGCAUGGUGGGAAGAUGAACUGGUAAGAACUCUCCAUUUCCAGAUUUUGUAACUCCUGUUAAAUCCGGGAAACUAAUAUCUUAUCAACAGUCUCACAUUGGGACCUUGAGUGGGAGGCUGGUGGAGACCAUAUUAAGUCUACGAUUCUUUAUCUUCCAGUAUGGUGUUGUCUACAAACUGAACGUGCAUGGAUCAGAUACAUCGUUUGCGGUACAGCGUUUCCCUUUGCCUACACUUUAGCAUAUCAUAGGAUAUAAAGGUUACAGUGAAUUUGGGUUUGAUGAUGUGUUGAAUGUGUGUAGUAUGACCUGACCUGGCUGGUGGGAUUAGAUAGGAUUUGUAUGAAUUUUCCUAGUCUUGUUUAUCUUCCAAUGCAUUUGUAACUUUUAGUUGUAGAGUAUAACUUACCAUGCAAGAAACACCAUUUCUUGUACUAGUUGAAAAGUAGCAAUACUCAUUUGUGAUUUUGUUAUGUUUCUUUAUGAUCUUUGCUGUGAAGGCAGCUGCUUAAUAAUAUAGUACUUAUACAUGUGCAGGUGUAUGGUUGGUCAUGGGCUGCAUUUGCGGUGAUUUUAGUUAUUUUCAAGGUUGGUUUAUUCAUUUUCUAAUAAACUUAAUUCUCUUUGAGCAUAUUGCAUUACAUGAUUCUGAUAUAUCUAACAUUCGGAUGUACAUUGAAACAGGUCUUUGCCUUCAUUCAGAAGAUUUCUGUCAGUUUCCGUCUUGUGCGUAGAUUUAUACAGGGCCUUGCCUUAUUGGUGUCUCUAGCUGGUAUAAUCGUAGCGGUUGUGCUGACAGAGUUGUCAGUGACAGACAUAUUUGCUUGUGUAUUGGCCUUUUUACCAACGGGAUGGGGAGUCCUUUCUGUAAGUUUCCUUCUUUCUCACCUUGUUACCUUUAGUUUCCAAUCUCUGGGAGUUCAGUUUAACAAUGUACUAUCUCUUGUUGUAGAUUGCGUGUGCUUGGAAGCCAACCAUUAAGCGGAUUGGGAUGUGGGAAUCAGUACGUUCCCUGGCAAGACUGUAUGAUGCAGGAAUGGGAAUGCUUAUAUUUCUUCCUGUUGCGCUCUUCUCGUUGUUCCCGUUUGUCUCUACCUUCAGACACGUAUGAUGUUUAACCAAGCGUUUAGUUGAAUGCUAUCAGUCUAUAUAAAUGUGUUUUUCUUUAUUAGUUUUAUGAGUUAACGAGUGUAGUAGUAGUAGAAAAUGAAUGAGAGCCUAUUUGUAAAAUUUGAAGCAUUUUAAGACUUUUGUAGAUUCAGUACAUGUUGCAAGUCAGACUUUUGUAGUAUUGUUGUGUACAUAUGUUGCGGGAAGACAAAGCGAAGAUCAAACUGCAUGUGAUUCUUAUGAUGAUGGUGAUUCGACUGGUCUCCCUCUGAUCUUCGCUGCCAAUCUUGAUAACAAUUGCUUAAGCCCACCUGCUUUCUUUCCUGCAAGAGAAAACAAUACAAUCAUAUAAACACUAGAAUCCAUGUCAAUUUUGCCAUCUGAAUUGAAAGCCUCAGUUUAUUUUGAAAAUCCUCAGCCUAGAGCAUUUAGUGACUAACCUUAGCUUUUGAGAAACCUUUCCUCUGCACCAAUUCUACACUGAUAAUCUACGGUUCAAAUCUCAGAAAAUCCAAAUUAUCAAAUAAAAGUUACAAGGAUUGAAAUAGAGUUCAUAUCAUGCUACCAAAAAAAAAAAAUCGGUUCAGUUUGGUAACUUUUUGAUUAACACUAAUAAACUGAAAAUCGAAUAACCCGACCUAAACUGAAUAAACCGGAAAUCCAUGCCCAGACGUGAGACCAUAUAAUUACUCAACAGAUUGGAUCGUAUCUACAAGAUAAUAGUUAUUUUACAAACUGAGCUAUGUGACAACUACAUAUUAUGUCGAGAGAAUCCUCUGUAAACAUGCUACUAUAUGGUACAAAAUUAAAGGAUGGGCAUUGGAUGAAUAAUUGACGCGAGUGGAAACUGACUUAAAUGAUUUCUAAUCCAUUAAAUAUAAAGUCAAAUGGCUCAGACUGGAAUGUAUAGAAUUUGGUUUACUACCGUGUGUGAACGUUCUACACAAUACCAAAAUCAUAGAUGGAGAAGUCAACAUUUUUGUACUUUUUUAUAAGGAAAGCAUGACACUGACUUUUGUGACGCAUUUGACAUACUGCUUUUGGGUCAUUGGUGACGUAAUUAUACUCACAGUCGUCGCAGACCAAACCUAUUAAAGUAUCCAAGGAAUAAAAUACAAAGCAGAAAAACACAAAACAUUAUGGUUAGAUUCUCCACCAGAGAAAAUUGGAAAAGGGUAAUUCAUAUAAACAGAACGUCACUGUAAAACUAGUUAAGUACCACAGUUAUAGAUAAUCUAUAAUACAAAUCUCCAAAAAAAAAAUCUCAAUAUUAAUAUGUUGGAAUAAAUUUCGGUCUCAUAUGAUUGUUGCGUGUUAAAUGAUAAUUUGCUUAAACGGUAAUCACUAUUUAAACGGGCACUCUGAACCUUUAUUUCUCACAAAACAUCCCAACGGCAACAUAAAGAAAGCCGCUCCACCACAGUGAAAAGCUCCGCCACAACCCCCGUGGAAACGAUGUCGUUUAGCGACGGUUCUAUCACCACCUUCCUCGGACUUCAACUUCUUCUGCUCUUCUUCUGCUUUCUUUCUCCGGCAACCUUCUCUGACGCUACCAUCCCCUCCACGUUGGACGGUCCGUUCACUCCGGUGACGAUUACACUAGACACCUCUCUCCGGGGAAAAGCAGUUGAUUUGCCUGACACCGAUCCACGUGUCCAACGCUACGUCACCGGCUUCCAGCCGGAGCAGAUUUCUCUAGCUCUUUCCUCCAAUUACGAUUCCAUAUGGGUCUCUUGGAUCACAGGUUCAUUUUUCAUUUUAUCACCAACUCUUUUACUUUUUUUCAGUUACUUGUAUAUAAAGUUAGGUCUUGUGGCUCUGUUAAACAAAAGAUAAGAUUCUUUUACUACAAGUUUGUAUUUCACUAAUGAAACUCUUGUUGUGUCUGAAAGGUGAGUUCCAAAUCGGUAUGAACGUGACGCCAUUAGAUCCGACAAGUAUCGCCAGUAUCGUCCAGUUCGGUACUUUGGGGGAUUCACUGAUUCAUACAGCCACAGGAUCUUCACUUGUUUAUAAUCAACUUUACCCUUUUGAGGGCCUCCUUAACUAUACUUCUGGAAUCAUACACCAUGUUCGCAUUACAGGUUCUUUUACCUUUCAUGAUUUUAGCUUAUAUAUAUAGACCACCCCAUGUGUUGCAUACUGUGUGUAUAUUUUAAAUGAAAUGACAACCCUUACUAGAAUUAAAACAACUGCUUUUGCUAGUUGUAAAGCAAAACCAAAUGAACAUGUAACGCUUUAGUUUGCAAAAUAUUUUGUAAGAAGUCAGAAUGUUCUAGCUUUUCAAAUUAUUGUUUUAAAGGUUACAUAAAAGUACAGAUAAAAGAUUAAUGAGUCAUUUUUAACUUUAUUUUAAUCAAAAAGUUGACAAUUUGGAGGUCAUACCACCUAUAUAAAAUUUGAAGGCCAAAUAUAAUAUAUAUAUUUUUUUCAAAUAGAAUUAUUUAUCCGGCUAUGCUCAGAUUCGACCAUACUAAACAAGUUAUUAAAUCGACUCUUGAUAAUGAUUUGGUUUUUGAAACGCAGGGCUGCAACCAAGUACUGUCUAUUACUAUCGAUGUGGUGAUCCUUCACAUGGUAUGAGUAAGAUACACCAUUUCAAGACAAUGCCUGCUUCUAGCCCCACGAGUUACCCCAGCCGAAUAGCAAUUGUGGGUGAUACUGGUCUCACUUAUAACACAACAGCUACAAUUAGCCACUUGGUUCAGAACUCUCCGGAUCUUGUUUUAUUGGUCGGUGACGUGAGCUACGCAAACUUGUAUCUAACGAACGGGACUAGCUCGGAUUGUUAUUCUUGCAAUUUCUCAAAUACGCCUAUACACGAGACGUAUCAGCCGCGUUGGGAUUAUUGGGGUAGGUUUAUGGAGAAUCUGACUUCUACAGUUCCUCUAAUGGUGGUUGAAGGAAACCAUGAGCUUGAGUUGCAAGCUGGGAACAAAACAUUUGAAGCUUAUAGCUCAAGAUUCGCUUUCCCUUAUAUAGAAAGUGGCUCGACUUCGAAGUUUUAUUAUUCUUUUAACGCUGGUGGGAUUCACUUUGUUAUGCUUGGUGCAUACAUCGACUUUGAUAGAUCAGGUUUGAUAUUCUUAGACUCUGACCUCUAUGUUUACAUGUUUGUGUGCGUUUUUACUAAGGUUCUUGUUCGGUUUUUUGCAGGGGAACAAUACGAGUGGCUAAAGAGGGAUCUUGCUAAAUUCAAUAGGUCGGUAACUCCGUGGUUAGUAGUUACUUGGCAUCCACCAUGGUACAGCACUUACACAGCGCAUUACAAAGAAGCUGAAUGUAUGAAAGUAGCUAUGGAGGAGUUGCUUUACUCUUACGGUACCGACAUUGUCUUCAACGGACAUGUAAGAAAAGAAACACAACCUUUUCUUUUUUUCCAGAGCAGGUUAUGGACAUAGCAAAAUGAACAUUAGCAUAUAGUUUCUAAAAUAUUAGUGGUUGAUAUAUAUAUAAUAUUUUAUGACCCCAAAUGAUUAAAAAUAUAUGUUUAGUAAUCGUUUCAAGCCUCAUUAAUUUCUCCAUCUUUUGAUUUGGUAUAUAUAACUGACAUUUUUUCUUUGUGAAAACAUGUUUCAAGGUUCAUGCUUAUGAACGGUCUAACAGAGUAUACAACUACCAACUAGACCCAUGUGGUCCAGUUCACAUAGUGAUUGGUGAUGGAGGUAACCGUGAAAAGAUGGCCAUAGAGCACACCGAUGAACCCGGUAAAUGUCCUGACCCAUUAUCCACACCGGACGCAGCCCUGGGUGGGCAAUUUUGCCCUUCCAACUCCACCACGACUGGUGCGUUCUGUUGGGACCAGCAACCUCCUUAUAGCGCCUUGAGAGAAAGCAGCUUUGGCCAUGGAAUCCUAGAGGUAACGGUUUUAAGUUUUUAACUAACUCCUAAACGCUUGAACCACAUUAGGAUUAGACUCAAAUUUAAUCUGAUUAAAUGCAGAUGAAGAACGCCACAUGGGCACUAUGGACAUGGCACAGGAAUCAAGACACAAACAGUCAAGUUGGAGAUCAGAUUUACAUCGUGAGACAACCUGAUCUAUGUCCCCCUUACAAUGUCACAACCUGAUUGAUUAACCAUUGCUAAGCUUGAAGUUUAAACGGAAAUGUUCUAAUAAAUGAUUUGGCUUACAGCCUCAUCCAGUGAGCGAUUUUUUGUUUGUUUGUUUGUGUGUUUACACUGUUGAUUGUAACAAGUAUUUUAUUUAAUACUAAAAAAUUCAAUAUUUAUAUUAAAAAAAGGAGGGAAAAUAAAGUUUCAAAAAAAGUUGUUAUUACUAGAAGAUCUCAAGGAACUCGAGGACGAAGCUGCUGCAAACAGGACAAUGACCUUUCUGAGCACUAAGCUCUUUAGAACAGAGCUUACAAAACGUGUGACCGCACGGCGUAAACGUCGCGCCUUUGAUGUUCACCUGACAAACGCAGCAGUUCACCUCUCCUUCUCCUCCUCCACCUCCGCCGCCAUCUUCUUCCUCCUCCUCUUCCUCGUCUUCUUCGUACUCUUCCUCUUCGUCGUCCAUGGCGUAGCUCGCUCCCGUUAACCCCAUCUGCCUAUCCGUCUCUUCCAGAAGAUCCAUCAGCGACAUCGUCUGCUUCGGCGCCGCAUCUGCUUUCUCCGCCGCUUCUCCCUCCUCGCUGUCGUCUUCCUCCUCCUCUUCCUCGUCGUCGCUUGACGCCGCCGCGGCUUCCGCCUCCGCCGCCUCCUGCGCCGCGACGGCUUCCCUCGCCGACAUCUGCCUCUCGUCGACGAACUUGACGACCGGGUGGCGGAGGAUCUUGUCUUCGUCUCCGUGAUCUCUGACGGAAUCGUGCCGUGAAAACUGAGGCUUGAAGCUCCUGUUCGGCGGUCCGUCUCCAGGGAUGCUGACGUCAGCGGAAUAAUCGUCGUGGCUUUUACCCGACCCGACCCGCAUCGAGGGUCCGCGCGUGAACGCCCCGCGUCCGGGUGGAUCCGACAUGGGAAUAGUAGCGUUUGGCCGGGGGUGUUUGGGAUUGGGGAUAAGGAUAUCCGAGGCGGGGAUAUGGAGAGACGUGGUCCAAGCGGAACCGGUUCGUUUGAGACGGAGCUUCUCGCGGAAAAUCUGCCACGUGGUCCGAUCUUUUUGGCCUUCCUUGAUGUAUUCGUCGCGUAUGAUGUCGAAAAGCGUUUGGGUCGUUGUUGUUGUUGAUGUUUGGUGAGGUGCAAGAGAUUUUUGCGGCAAAGGCGGUGGCGACGGUGGAGAUGAUGGUGGUGGUGGUAUAACGAUCUCGCCGCCAAGAACAGCGUCUAGAGAUAAUCCGGCUAACGAGUUGCUACGUUUCUUUAAAGCCGACAUUUAACUCCACGCCUUCUCCCGCCACCUUUCUCCAUCAUCGGAAGCCGAUAAAUUACGGUUAAUGAAGUAGUAAAAAACGAAUUAUUUACAAAUGAGUAUAAUAGACAUGUGUUGUUCAAAAAAAAAAAGUAUAAUAGACAUGUUACCUCUUGCAUCGAAUUUAGAGUGUGUUGAACAUCGUUUUUGCUUAUACUGAAAAUAUCUUAAAUUUUGGUAAUUGUGUUUUUGUUGGAUUGACUUUUAACUUUUAUCAUAUAGACUGGUUUUUAUUGUUCUUACCUCCUUAAAUUAAAACAAAUUUUAUGUGGGUGAAAGUGUUUUAAAAUGGAGAAAAAGAGCAAAGAAGAACGAGUCUUAAGGUGAAGAAAUGAUCUAAAUUAAGGAUGCUUCCAUAGUGUUUGUUAGUCCAAAAAAUAUUAAUCACUUAUUUUAUUUAUAAUGAUGAUCACUGUGAGUUAUCAACUUGUUUAAGACAUUCUAUGGAGAUGAAACAAACAAGAAGUCAAUAUGUCCGAGUGGUUAAGGAGACAGACUUGAAAUCUGUUGGGCUUCGCCCGCGCAGGUUCGAACCCUGCUGUUGACGUUAUUUUUAAAUUUUUAUAUGAUCUACGUAUAAUAUAUCGACGUAUAUUUUAUAAAUUAUAAUUGUAUGUAUAUUAUAUAACAAACUGGUAGAUAAUUACAUUUUAGUGUCUGUGUCUUUUAGGAAAUUUGCGUUUUCUUUGGUCCUUUUUAUUGUUUUGGGCAUAAUUUUUAUGUUUUUUUCAAUUACAUUUUAGUAGAUAAUCACAAUUCGUAGGAUUAAUAUAGAAUUCAAUUAUCGAUUCUACGAAUAAUGAGGUUAUGGGUCUUGUUAUUGCAUUUCCUAAGAAUGGUUUAGGCUGUUAAGUUGAGGAUAUUUUAACGCUAUACGAAAUCCAAAAAUAGUCUUUAUAGUAGUUAGUUUUUUGUUUUCAAGACUUUUAUUUUUAAAUACGUAAAUGUUCUUUAUCACAACAACGAUUACAUAUAUUCAGUAAAGUUAGAGGUGUUCAAUCAGAAUAUCAGUUUUGGUUUUUGUUUGUUUUUUUGGCUUCUCGAUAUUUCGGUAUUUAAAAACAAUUUCCACAUUAAAAUCAAAUUUAUUUUGGUUUGACUCGGUUUUUAUAUAAUCGGUUUUUGAUUUAUUUGGUUUUAAUCCAAAAAAUCAUAAAUAUAUAUACAUAUAUAUAUAUAUAUGUAUUUUAUAAUUUAUUAUAAAUUUUACUUUAUUUGAUUAAAACACGAAGAUAUUUAAGAAUUUGAAUAGACUAAUUUUUACUAUUUAAAAUAAUUAGUAACUAUAUUAAGUUAAUAAUAAUAAUAAUAGUUUUUAUAGAAUAAAAUAAGAAAAUAAGAAAUUCAUAAUAUUAUUAAAUAACUAAAUAUUAGCACAAAUUGUUUGCAAAAAAUUAAAAAUUAGGUAUUGAUUAAAUAAUUUUUUUAAUAAAAUUCAAAUAAAAUAUUAAAUUACUAAAAUCAACAUUAUAAGUAUGAAGAUCAUAUUCGUAAAAUAAAAUAUAAGAAAAUUGUAUAUAUUAUUAAUUAUAUUAUAUAAUUUACAUAUAAUUGUACUACUAUUUUUUAAUUGACCAGUUUAUUUGGUUUAUUCGGUCUGAUCGGUUUAUAUACCAAACCAUAUACAUAUACCGCAGUUUCUUGAAAAUAACAUUCAUUCGCUAUUUUCGGUAUUACUAAAUCCAAACCAUUUUCUCUAUUUCGGUUCUGUUUUGUUUUAAUUGGUUUGGAUUUACUGGAUUGAAUACUCUUAUAAAGUUUAUAUGGUUUGAAGGUAACGUUUUGUUUUUGUGUUUUGUGAUAAGCUGUAUAAUUUAUUUAUUAUUGCAGAGUACAUAUAAUACAAAAUUGGUCAUAGUUUUGUAUUUUUGUUUUUUUAUUCACCUGAUGGUCUUUUUUUAGUUAGUUAGUGAAUUAUAGUUUUUUUAGUGUUAUUGGGCCUAAUUUCCCUAUUUAUAAUUGGUUGUUAAUAAGCGUCCUAACUUAUCUUCCAUUAUAUAUUUUUUAACUAUUAGAAUGAGAGUUUUAGUGCUCUGAAACGAAAGUAGAGUUUCAUAUAAAAAUAAUUGAAGUAGCAUUCGGUGAGUGUCGCAAAACAGAGCUAAUCUUUUUUCUUUUUGAUUCCAGAGGCUUAACAGAGCUAAUCUUAUUGAUUCCAAAAUACAAAACCGAAACAGUCACGUCUUUGAUCUUCCAGAAUCAUCCCACUGCCUUCAGAUCAUGUUGUUGUCAAAUGUAAGGCAUCACCGUGAUUUCCACGCAAUCUAGAUGAAACCACUCCAAGAGUUUUAGAUGCUGCAACGACUGAAGGAAAAAGCUCUCAAGCUUUGACCUGAAAUUUAUGAAAAAAUAUUAUAUGAGACAAAAAAGCAAACCACCUGUGUAGAAUCUACAUCAAAUUACUCACAGAGUCCAUGAGCAUCUCCACAAGUGUCUCUGCAUUAGUGAAAACAAUGCAAGAAGAUCUAUUACUUCCACUCUAAGGUUGUGGUUCUUUCCUCCACGACUACUCAAUCUUGGGAAUGCAUUCUCAUAGCUUUUGAGACUGAGAACGUCUAGGCAUCCAUCUGUUUUGAUCCACAGAGGCUCAUUAGUUUGUGUAAGCCUAAGCAAUUCUUUCAUAGCGGUCACAUCAAUGUUAAUCGUCAGACACUUAUCCAUGUCUGAGAUAACCAAUAUACGGUAAAUUCGAGGCAGUCAUUGAAGAACAACUUCCUGGAAGAAGAUUAAAAUCAAGCAAAAGACCAUUGUGGAGUAACUGUAAUGGAGAAACGUGCAUCUGGUUUAGUAGUGGUGGGAGAUGAAAAAAUGGCCUCUCAUGAUUUAGCUGCAAUGCUUGAAACCCUCUCAAGCUGCCAAAAAAGAUGUUAGUGGAAGUUUAAUCUCUAAGAUCAAUCACAAUGCAUGAAAGAGGUUUCAUAAAGAAAACGCUAGAAACUCUUCUCUAAGCUGUGCAGUUUCAACUGAAGCUUCUGUUCAUCAAAGCUAAGUUGCAUCAUCUGUUUCUCAUCUGAAUGUCAGACACUCAUCGAAAGCCCUGCAAACAAAAUCAUAAGACAACAUAAAGAAAGAACUGGAGAGAAUAUUUGAGUAGAGAAUAAGAGAGAAUACGUUUCAAGCCGUUGGAUCUGGUGAGGUGAGUAGAAAAACGAUUCUUCUUCAUUGUCUUCUUGAGCGCACCUCCUCUUCACAUUCGGACCUUCCAAAAGCAAGACGUAUUGGGAGGAUUGAUUGAAGGAUCUUUUAUGGGCAUCUUGAUCGUCCGAUGAAUUGUGAGAACGAUCAGAAUAAGAAGCACUAAACUGAAAAUAAGUUUUUAGUAUUGUCAGGAGUUGUGAGAAUGAUGUUAUCAGGGAUGAAAGCUGUCCUUUUUAUAGAUGGAGAUCCACCGUCUAGAAGAGAUAUAAGAUCCCAAACAUUGAAUGUUUUAUCUUGCUGAGUUAAGAAGGUUGUUAAAGGCAAUGAUUCAAUGAAUCAGGUAACGUUCUAAAGUAGAGGAAGGAUCAUAAGAUGAAACGACAAUCGAACCGGACACAUAGAUUUUGCAUGACGAUUCAUCUCACUCAACCUCCUGAAACUCCAUUGAUGGCUUAGGUUGUCAAGGCUGAAGAAGACGAUGAACCCUAGUUUUAGAAAUCGACAUGGCGAAGAUCUUGGUCUCUUUGUUUUAAGCUGGGCUGGCAAGCUUAUAUUUUCUAUUGAAACAAAAGCCCAAUACAUAAAAACCUUGUAUUGUAUUUCAUUUAAAUGAAGUUUUGCGUUUUAAGAAAACGUGACACGUGUCAACAGGACAGGCUUCGAAUUGAUGAGCUGGAAUCCUAGGUGGCACACCCAGGAGGGAUGGAAAGCCUAUUUUAUAUAUAAAGAUCUCCACCGGUAAGCCUCAUUAUCUUUGAUCACCGUAACCCAACGCUCACUGAUCUCAGCCCAAUAAGAUUGUUGUAUUAUCCUUGAUCACCGUAACCCAACGCUCACUGAUCUCAGUCCAAUAAGACUGUUGUAUAAAGACACUGCAAAACCGUUAAGCCCAAAGUUAAUACUCUCUAACAAUUUUUUUUUUAAUACUCUGAAAAUUUACAGUGUUUUACAAUUAUUAUUGAAAAAAAAAAGAAUAGGAUAGCACCAAACACCAAGUUUUUGUUCCCAAACUUCUCAAAGUCACAAAAAUAAGUUUCAUUAAAGAGGUAAAUAUAUAUUUAUACCUCUUGGGUUAAUUAAUCAAAACCUUAAGGUUUAGAGUUAAAGGGUAGGGUUUUGGAAUUACGGUUUAAAAUUUUAUAAAACUAAAAAUAAAUACUAAAAAAUUUAAAAUAAAAAUUUUAAAAAGAAAAUAAAAAAAAAUUUCGAAAAAAAAAAUUUCAUAAAAAAAUUUUCAAAAAAAAAUUUCGAAUCUGAAAACAUAUAAUCUGAAACUAUAAAAAAAUUUCUUUUUUUCAUUUUUAUUUUAUUUUUAUUUUAUUUGUUUUUAUUUAUUUUUGUUUGUUUAUUUAAUUUAAACUAAGGGUAUUAAAGAUAUUUUAUCUUUUAAUGAAUGUCAUUUUUAUAAUUUUCUCUUUCUAAUGUUAUUUUUGAGAUAAAAAUCCUUUAAUAAAUGUCAUUUUUCUAAUUUUCUCUUUCUAGUACCAUUUUUCUCUUUCUAUAUUAUUGACAAUUUGUCCAUUAUUAUUUUUGGGAUAAUUACAUUAUCGAUAAAACCGGUAAGCCCAAAGUGUUGGCCCAUAUAAUAUCACACCGUCGUCUCUCCUUCACCGCGCAUGAUUCUCCAACUACUACACCUCGAAUCUUCUUAUUAGGGUCACACGAUCUGAAAGCCGAUCACUGCCGUAGAAUAAGUUUUCGUGCUGCGCAGAUUCUCGCUCUCUCACUUGAGGUAGUCUUCUCUCUCAAUUCAAACCUUAUAUCAAAUUGAUAAAAAAAAAAAAUUAAUUUGAGCUGAUACUCAAUUUUUAUUGAUCCAGCAGAUCUUUCCGGUAAGGGGAAAUCAACAACGUAGAGGGAGCUUCUCUUAUACGUUUAGAACUAGAUUAAGUUUAUUCCAGAGGUUAUGAAGGAAUCUAGGGUUUGUUAAUUGAUCUGGUUCUAGUCCAAAGCUUCCAACUUUGAUAGUAGUUUCAGGUUUUAAGUUGUGUAAGCAAUAAUGGGUACUGAGAAUCAAGGCUAUCCGAGUUUUCCAGCUAGGCCUCCUCCUCCUCCUUCGUCAUCCUCCUCUCCGUUUGCAUCUGCUCCGCCGCCAGGUGGAGCACAGACUGUUGGGUUUAGACCACCUUCUUCCCAACCUACAAGGCCUUUCACACCUUCUGGUCCUCCUAUGGCUCCUCCACCUGUGGGUGUGAUGAGGCCUGGGCAGUCUCCUUUUGUUUCUCAGAUUCCAGGGAGUAGACCUCCGCCUCCAGCUUACGGAGGUCCUCCUGGUGGCGGCGGCGGCGGCUCUUUUCAGCGUUUUCCAGCUCCUCCUCCUCCGUUCCCGGGUACUCAAAGCCCUCCUCCUAGUGGUCCUCCAGCUACUCAAACUCUUGCAGGUCACUUGUCGCCUCCCAUGUCUCUUCGCCCACAGCAACCAAUGGGACCUGGAGGAUAUGCUUCUCCUCCUGGUCCUGGUUUUCAACAGUCGGUGCCUCCAGUUAAUCCGUCUUACUCUGGUGUUGGACCAUAUUUUCCUGGUUAUCCCAGUAAUCAGGCUCCUCCAGUGUCAUUCCAGUCUUCAUCUCAGGGACCUCGGCCUACAUAUCCUCCUCAGACAGGAGGUUUUGGUCAGCACCCAGGACAGCAGAACCUGCAUCCGAGCUAUGCACCUCCUACCAGCAACGUCCAAGGCUUGGCUGAAGAUUUCAAUUCGCUAUCCCUGUCAAAUAUUCCGGGAUCGCUUGAGCCAGGACUUGAUCCUUCCUCAUUCCCAAGACCACUGGAUGGUGACGUGGAGCCAAAUUCAUUUGCUGAAAUGUACCCUAUGAAUUGUCAUUCGAGAUAUCUACGGCUGACAACUAGUGCUAUACCAAGUUCCCAGUCUCUGGCGUCGAGGUGGCAUUUACCUCUAGGAGCUGUGGUUUGUCCACUUGCUGAGGCUCCUGAAGGGGUUAGUGUUCGUCUAGCUAAUUAAUUCUUCUAAUUUCUUUCUUGUUUUGAUGAUCUGGAACUCUUCACGUGCUACAUAUAACUUUUCACUUGUUUGCAACUUGUCGUUUUUAUCUGUUCAGGAGGAAGUACCACUUGUUGAUUUUGGCUCAAGUGGCAUCAUCCGUUGCAGAAGAUGCCGUACCUAUGUGAAUCCUUAUGUGGCUUUUACAGAUUCUGGAAGGAAGUGGCGGUGCAACAUUUGUUCUAUGCUUAAUGAUGGUAAUUUUUCCAAAUCUUCAGGAUUUGUUUGUUAACCAAGUGCUAUAGAACGUCAUUGUUGUUUUCUCUGGCUUUCCUUGAUGGGAAGGGUUGUCUAAUGUCUAUUAGGGACUUCAGUGAAAUUAUACUAGGAACUGUUUUUGGUGUUGCGUACGUUUGUUCUUUUUUGGUGGAAUGUCAUCUUUGUCGUUAUACCUGUGAAUCUGAUGUGAACUUAAUAGGGAAGGGCUAUCUAUUAGGGAUCUUAGUAGAAUUAUAAUAAAUUGAUUUGGUGAAAGCUACAAGGAACAGUUUUUGGUGUUGUGUAUGUUUUUUUAUUUGGUGGUGGAAUGUCAUCUUUGUUAAAUUAUCUGUGCAUCUGAUACGGACUUUUACCUAGUCGUUGGAAUGUCCUUUUACUUUCCAUAAAAUUAUUUGAGCGAUGGCUUUAUGCUCAGUCCUCUUAGGCAUAUAUGCUUAUCAGAUGAAUAUUCAUAGCUAUGGGUCAAACUUAUUGUUCAGUGCCUGGUGAAUACUUUUCACAUUUGGAUGCUACUGGCCGAAGAAUGGACGUGGAUCAACGGCCUGAGCUGACCCAAGGCAGUGUUGAUUUCAUAGCUCCAACAGAGUACAUGGUUCGGCCUCCGAUGCCGCCAACCUACUUCUUCCUCAUUGAUGUUUCGUUUUCGGCUACUAAAAGUGGGAUGCUUGAGGUAAGCAUGUUGGAUUCUAACUUGUUGUGCAUUAGAAUUACUUUGUAAAGAACAAUCCAUGUGCUUUUAUCUAAAUACACUAAGUAUCAUUGGAUCUAAGUAUCAAUGGAUCUAAGACUAGAUUAGAUUCUCUUUUUUAGAUCUUACACUGACUUUUAUCUCCUUUGGCAGGUUGCUGCUCAAACGAUUAAGUCUUGCCUGGAUAACUUGCCUGGUUAUCCCAGAACUCAAAUUGGAUUUAUUACUUAUGACAGCACUUUGCAUUUUUACAACCUGAAGGUAAGAGAAUUGUAAAUACGCAUGAAUUUUUGUUUCGAAAUAUUUUAGCAUUUAUCAUGUAUUAUUUUUGGACCUUGGCAAUGCAGUCAUCUCUGAGCCAACCACAAAUGAUGGUGGUUUCUGAUCUGGAUGAUAUAUUUAUCCCAUUGCCGGAUGAUCUCCUUGUCAAUCUAUCUGAAUCUAGAAAUGUGGUGGAAGCCUUUUUAGACGGUCUGCCUCUUAUGUUUCAAGAUAAUGUCAAUGUGGAAUCGGCUUUUGGUCCAGCCGUCAAAGCAGCGUACAUGGUUAUGGUUAGUUACUUUGCUGCCAUUUGAAAUGAAAAUUCAGUUUAUGUCAAUGUCCUAUAUGCAACCUCAUCUGAAAUUUGUAUCAGUUUGUAGUUGACUCUGUUUUCUCUCUCCAUUUCAGAACCAACUUGGUGGCAAGUUGCUAAUUUUCCAGAACUCGUUACCUUCUCUUGGUGCUGGGCGGUUAAAGUUGCGCGGAGAUGAUCCUCGUGUCUAUGGAACUGACAAAGAAUAUGCUUUAAGGGUAGCUGAAGACGCCUUCUAUAAGCAAAUGGCUGCCGAUUGUACCAAGUUCCAGAUUGCAAUUAAUGUUUAUGCAUUCAGUGAUAAGUACACUGACAUUGCCUCCUUAGGUACGAAGACGUUAUGAUUAUCACCGUUUUAUUUAUUUCAGGUGUUCGGAGUCAGUUAGUGGUGGCUUCUCCCGCCGUUCAAUAUUGCUGUUUUAAGUGCGAAAUUUAUGUAUUAAAAUGCAUUGGUUUUGUGUAGGGACUCUGGCAAAAUACACUGGUGGACAGGUGUACUACUAUCCAGGCUUCCAAUCAUCUAUCCAUGGAGAUAAGUUAAGACACGAGCUGGCUAGAGACCUUACAAGGGAAACUGCCUGGGAAUCCGUCAUGCGAAUAAGAUGUGGAAAAGGUUUAAAAGUUUAUGAUACAGUAUUCAUUUUUGUUACCUGUUAUGGCACUCAAGAUAUGCUAAAUUCGUUGGUAUCCUACAUGUCAUCUUAUAUAUUUUGGCCUGCAGGAAUUCGUUGCUCGUCCUACCAUGGGAACUUCAUGCUAAGGUCUGCCGACCUGCUUGCUCUUCCUGCUGUUGAUUGUGACAAAGCAUAUGCAGUGCAGCUAGCUCUGGAAGAGACAUUGCUAACAACCCCGACUGUGUAUUUCCAAGUCGCUUUACUGUAUCCUUUUGAAUAGUGUAUAUUUAAAACAUACUUGAGUUUAGAUUUUCAGCUGGUACAACACAUCAUGUGGUUUUAGUAAUCCUUAACAGAACUAAGAUAUACUGCUUCUUGCGGAGAGAGGCGUAUAAGGGUACACACAGCUAUUGCACCAGUGGUUACAGAUCUUGGAGAGAUGUAUAGACAAGCAGACACUGGCUCCAUUGUCUCUGUAUAUGCUAGAUUAGGUAAGGGAUACAUUCAAGUUUUUCCCAGUAGCAUUAUACAUUACUUUGGAUGUUAUUUGAUAACUGUUUUAAUUCUGCAGCAAUUGAGAAAACUUUGUCCGCAAAAUUGGAUGAUGCACGGAAUGCUAUACAGCAAAAGAUUGUUAAAGCCCUCAGAGAAUAUCGUAAUCUUCACUCGGUGCAGCAUCGGUUGGGGUCUAGAUUAAUAUACCCAGAGUCUCUGAAGUUCUUGCCAUUGUACGGAUUGGCAAUUUGUAAGUCCACACCUCUUCAUGGUGGACCAGCUGAUGCUUCACUUGACGAACGAAGUGCGGCAGGCUUCACCAUGAUGGCCCUGCCUGUCAAAAAGCUAUUGAAGCUGUUAUAUCCCAGUUUAUUCCGUGUUGACGAGUGGCUCUUAAAGGUUUGUGCUUCUCUAUCUCAAUGUACAUCUUUUCAGAAAAUUCAUAAAAUCAUUAAUGAAUUUGACAUGUUUGCAGCCAUCGGCAGACCAUGAUGACCUCAAGGACGUAUUGAGGAGAUUGCCUCUGGCUGCAGAGAGUUUGGAUUCUAGAGGCCUUUACAUUUACGAUGAUGGGUUUCGAUUGGUGUUGUGGUUUGGCCGGAUGCUUUCACCUGACAUUGCUAAAUGUCUUCUUGGGACUGACUUUGCAGCAGAGCUCUCAAGGGUAUGCUCUUUCAUCCACAUACAUGUUAAUUUAUUAACCAGCGUUACAUCUAAUGAUCUAUUUGCUUCCAUACUAAUUCCUCAGUCUUUCUUUGUGGUGGAUCUUUAGGUUACACUGCAAGAACAAGAGAAUGGGAUGUCGAAGAAGCUAAUGAGGCUGAUAAAGAAAGUGAGGGAUAAUGAUCCGUCAUACCAUCCCAUGUGUUUGCUAGUGAGGCAAGGAGAACAACCCCGAGAAGGCUUCCUUCUCCUCAGAAAUCUCAUUGAUGACCAGAUGGGCGGUUCGACUGGUUAUGUUGAUUGGAUGCUGCAACUUCACCGCCAAGUCCAACAAAAUGCGUAAUAGUUCACAAUGGUACGAAUUAAGAAACAUUUAUUCCAUGUCAUAACAGUCACAUGUUCAACGCAUCUUACGAAGCAGUUUUUUUUUUACAGACAACUUGAGUGCCAAGAUUGCGCCUCUCUGUAACAAUUAAAGAAACUCCUGAGCUCAAAAUCUUCUUCUUAAGCCGUCUAAGGUGUCACAAGGUUUAAAGAAUGCGGAUCAUUGCGGUCUGCUUCGUUGGGCUUAAUGUGUUUUGGAAAAUAAAGAAGCACUAGUUUGAUUUUUCUUCAUUUGUUUUUCUAUAUAAUCUUUUUUUUUUCCUGCUCAAUGUCCAGGCUUUUAUCUGCUUAACCAUAAUGGUAGAUUAGUCGUUUUUAUUAUUCCUUUGUUGCAUUUUUUUUCAAAUUUUCUUGUGCCUUUGUAAUCAGAUUUAUUUUGGGUGGGGGAGUUUACAAUCCAUGAAUCUAUUAAUCAGGGAUAUUGACAAAAAUUAAAUUACUUUGACUCCAUUAAGAUGGACACCACAUAUGAAUAUAAUCUGUAUGAAUGUGGGUAUAGACUAAAGGGAGUUAAGAUGUUGAUUGACCAUUUUAUAAAGAGAAAUUCAAAGAUUCUGGUCGGUUUAACCAGAACCGGUUAGGAUAAGAAACGUGUCAAUUAAUUUAUUUGGCGGCACUUUCUAGAAGCGUACAACAGAGUUAGAGACCGUGUGGGGCUCUCCCUUCCGCUUAUACGACGCCGUAAGACGAAUCUUUGAAAUGUUCCAAUCAGGUUGCCUUUAUUAAAUCACCUCUCUGAACCAUUGCUUUCAAAAAAAGUUUUCAGAUUUGAGCUUACCGACAAAAAAAAAAAAGAAAUUCCGAGCUUCCUGGAGAAGAAGCAGCGGCGACUUGCCUUUCAUUCGUUUUCGUAUGUGAUCGCUCCCUCGCAUCAAGAUUCGAAAUUCUUCAAGAUUUGGUCUUCAAGAUUCGAAAUUCUUAUGUUCGAUUUGUAAAAUAUUUGUUUUUGAGGUUUCUUUGUUCUUCUGUUUCAGGUGGUUAACUCUGUUUCUGAGGAUAUUUAGAGAUAUGGCUGAGGUAUAGUCUCUCUCUUUUUCAUCUCUUGUUAAAAGUUAAUUGGUAUCUUGCUUCGUUUGUUAAUUAGAUUCAAUGUGAGAUAUGUCAGGAAGCGCAUAAGGUUACUCUGAAUGUCUACGACCUGAGCAGAGGCUUGGCUCGCCAGCUCUCUGCUUCACUCUUGGGAAAAGUCAUCGAAGGUGUCUGGUCAGUUCCAUCUCUCUCUCUCUCUCUCUCUCUCCUACACACAUUCUCACAAGUUAUCAAUUUGAGUGAAAGGUGAAAACUUUAACCCUUUUUGCUGGGUUUAGUCUUCAAAGGCUUACCCCUUUCUUGAACAAGAUUUGCAAAAUUAACCUACUUUAGAAUAUUGCCAUGUCUCUAUGCGUAUUAAAACCAUUUAGGCAUUAACUGUUACUUUGUUAGGAAGCAGUUUGUAGUCUAAAGCUGGGCUAUUCCUUUUCUCAGGCACACGGGAAUAGUUGUGUAUGGGAACGAGUACUUUUUCGGAGGAGGGAUACAGCAUUUACCUGCUGGUACAACUCCGUACGGAGCACCACUACGAAGCGUAGAGAUGGGUGAGACACAUGUUCCUAAAGACGUGUUCGAGAUGUACUUGGAGGAGAUCAGUCCUCGCUACACCGCUGAGUCCUACAAUUUGCUUACUCACAACUGCAACAACUUCAGCAGCGAGGUGUCUCAGUUUCUUGUUGGUAAAGGCAUCCCAGACUACAUUCUCCAGCUUCCCAGUGAGGUCAUGAACAGCCCCAUGGGUGGUCUUCUAAGUUAGUAGCUCUUAACUUGGCUAAACCUCUCUUGACCCCUUGGAUCCUAAUUUUUAUAUCCUUAUUUGCAGUGCCUAUGGUACAAAACCUGGAAGCAACUCUUAGAGCCGGCGCUGUUCCUAACGCUCCACAGUUUAGGCCUCAGCCACAACCUCUUGGAGCUUCUAGCAAAGACGAAGGUCCAAAACCAUCUAACAAACUUGAGAAAGCUUCCGAGUCACCGGUUGUUGUUCAACCUUCGGCUAGUAAACAGAAGGUGAAAGAGGACCCAUUGGGUGAUGCUAGGACCAAGAUUCAGGAAGAGAUUACUCGUGAGUUUGCUUCUCUCAUGGCACAAGGCACACUGAGAGCAAGUGAAGCAGCUACUAUAGCUACCAAAAGAGUGAUGCAAAAGUAUGGGCAUCUCAAUGUAUCUGCUUAGAGUCAUAACAAAACAGAAUGAAACCGUUUAUUAUUGCAAUUGUAUUGGAACCGAGGCCAUUGAGUUACUAUUUCUCUAGCUGCAUUUGUAUUCAACAAUUUAGAAAACAAUUAGGACACUAGAGUCUCAGGUUCCAACUCAAUAGCUGUCUUUUUGGAUUCUGAAGGAAUAUUAAUGCCUGCAAAGCCGACCAUUACAGCAGCAGCUCCAAUGUAGUCGGUGAAGCUUGGUUUGUUCCCUGAUAAGCUGUCUACAUUGCCUGCCAAUGGAACCUGAAUGGUUAGCCCAGCCGUCGCCACCGUGGUUGUUGUCAGAAGUACUGCCUUCCCCCAUAGGUAGUCACUGAGCACAUUAUCUAACAAACCUGAAAACGCAAGACACACAUCAGCAUCCCAACAUUUACAAGUUAUGUGGUUUGGCAUACCUUUGCCAACAACUAGACCAAACUGUUCCAAGGUUAGCGCGUCGAAGCGUUCUCGCUUUGUGAAGUUGAGUAAUAGAGCAACAGGUAGGAAGAUGAAGAAGUUGAAGAGACCUAGAAACCCAAGAAGCUGAGCCAUACUGAAGCUGCCACUUCUCUCAUCGUCAUCUGGAAGCUUUUUGCGUAUAAGAGUGAUGUAGACAGCGUAUAGCGCCGCUGAGACCAGAGAGAGGAUAUCUCCAAGAAGUGGGUUUUUAGCUGUUGCAGUUGAGUCAGAUUCUGAGUCACCAAUACUCACAAUGAUGGUACCAAACAUACAAAGAAGAACGCUGAAAAGUUUCAACCAGAUGAAUCUCUCUCCCAAGAAUAGUAGUGAUACUAAAAAGGUGAAAAGGCUUGAUGCACUGCUUAAGAUUGUAUUUGACUGCAAACUCACAAAAUGAAAAUGUCUUAGGAUGAUGUAACACCCGUCUCAAUCUUUUUUGAUGCUACUUAGGGCAUCUGCAUUGGGAGGCCCUUAAGGCAUCCCUUAGGGGAAAAGGGUGGGAACCGAGGAAGAAAGAGAAGGGAAAAGCCCUUAAGCAAGGGCUGUCCCUUGCUCUUCAAUAACCAAAAAAAAAAAAAGUAAAAUAAGGGACUCUCUCUCCCUCUCUCUUCAUCCCACCAAUGAAGAUGCCCUUAUGCUAAAAUGUCGAAUUAAACCGAAUUAUAAAAACAUAAAUUGUCGAUCGUCGAAUCGUAUAUGUAAUCUUGAUAAUUAUAAUAUCAUAAUAAAUCAGCUUUAAAAUAUAUAAAUAUAUAUAUAUAUAUAUAUAAAAACAUUUUUUAUUCAUUUAAUAAAAAUAAAGAGAAUGAAAUAAUUUUAAAAUUCACUAAACGAAAUAAACAGCAUCCAAAGAUUAUAUAAAACUGAAAUAAAAUCACUAUGAUCCUUAAAAAAAUCUCAAGUCAAGCAUAAGAGUUGUUUCAGAACAGAGCAACACAAGAAUGAGUUCUCAAUGUACUUACCGUAACUGUCGUGUACUUGAGAGAGAGAUUGAAAGUGAGCUGAGCCAUUGCGCGGAGAUGAUCCUCGUGUCUAUGGAACUGACAAAGAAUAUGCUUUAAGGGUAGCUGAAGACGCCUUCUAUAAGCAAAUGGCUGCCGAUUGUACCAAGUUCCAGAUUGCAAUUAAUGUUUAUGCAUUCAGUGAUAAGUACACUGACAUUGCCUCCUUAGGUACGAAGACGUUAUGAUUAUCACCGUUUUAUUUAUUUCAGGUGUUCGGAGUCAGUUAGUGGUGGCUUCUCCCGCCGUUCAAUAUUGCUGUUUUAAGUGCGAAAUUUAUGUAUUAAAAUGCAUUGGUUUUGUGUAGGGACUCUGGCAAAAUACACUGGUGGACAGGUGUACUACUAUCCAGGCUUCCAAUCAUCUAUCCAUGGAGAUAAGUUAAGACACGAGCUGGCUAGAGACCUUACAAGGGAAACUGCCUGGGAAUCCGUCAUGCGAAUAAGAUGUGGAAAAGGUUUAAAAGUUUAUGAUACAGUAUUCAUUUUUGUUACCUGUUAUGGCACUCAAGAUAUGCUAAAUUCGUUGGUAUCCUACAUGUCAUCUUAUAUAUUUUGGCCUGCAGGAAUUCGUUGCUCGUCCUACCAUGGGAACUUCAUGCUAAGGUCUGCCGACCUGCUUGCUCUUCCUGCUGUUGAUUGUGACAAAGCAUAUGCAGUGCAGCUAGCUCUGGAAGAGACAUUGCUAACAACCCCGACUGUGUAUUUCCAAGUCGCUUUACUGUAUCCUUUUGAAUAGUGUAUAUUUAAAACAUACUUGAGUUUAGAUUUUCAGCUGGUACAACACAUCAUGUGGUUUUAGUAAUCCUUAACAGAACUAAGAUAUACUGCUUCUUGCGGAGAGAGGCGUAUAAGGGUACACACAGCUAUUGCACCAGUGGUUACAGAUCUUGGAGAGAUGUAUAGACAAGCAGACACUGGCUCCAUUGUCUCUGUAUAUGCUAGAUUAGGUAAGGGAUACAUUCAAGUUUUUCCCAGUAGCAUUAUACAUUACUUUGGAUGUUAUUUGAUAACUGUUUUAAUUCUGCAGCAAUUGAGAAAACUUUGUCCGCAAAAUUGGAUGAUGCACGGAAUGCUAUACAGCAAAAGAUUGUUAAAGCCCUCAGAGAAUAUCGUAAUCUUCACUCGGUGCAGCAUCGGUUGGGGUCUAGAUUAAUAUACCCAGAGUCUCUGAAGUUCUUGCCAUUGUACGGAUUGGCCAUUUGUAAGUCCACACCUCUUCAUGGUGGACCAGCUGAUGCUUCACUUGACGAACGAAGUGCGGCAGGCUUCACCAUGAUGGCCCUGCCUGUCAAAAAGCUAUUGAAGCUGUUAUAUCCCAGUUUAUUCCGUGUUGACGAGUGGCUCUUAAAGGUUUGUGCUUCUCUAUCUCAAUGUACAUCUUUUCAGAAAAUUCAUAAAAUCAUUAAUGAAUUUGACAUGUUUGCAGCCAUCGGCAGACCAUGAUGACCUCAAGGACGUAUUGAGGAGAUUGCCUCUGGCUGCAGAGAGUUUGGAUUCUAGAGGCCUUUACAUUUACGAUGAUGGGUUUCGAUUGGUGUUGUGGUUUGGCCGGAUGCUUUCACCUGACAUUGCUAAAUGUCUUCUUGGGACUGACUUUGCAGCAGAGCUCUCAAGGGUAUGCUCUUUCAUCCACAUACAUGUUAAUUUAUUAACCAGCGUUACAUCUAAUGAUCUAUUUGCUUCCAUACUAAUUCCUCAGUCUUUCUUUGUGGUGGAUCUUUAGGUUACACUGCAAGAACAAGAGAAUGGGAUGUCGAAGAAGCUAAUGAGGCUGAUAAAGAAAGUGAGGGAUAAUGAUCCGUCAUACCAUCCCAUGUGUUUGCUAGUGAGGCAAGGAGAACAACCCCGAGAAGGCUUCCUUCUCCUCAGAAAUCUCAUUGAUGACCAGAUGGGCGGUUCGACUGGUUAUGUUGAUUGGAUGCUGCAACUUCACCGCCAAGUCCAACAAAAUGCGUAAUAGUUCACAAUGGUACGAAUUAAGAAACAUUUAUUCCAUGUCAUAACAGUCACAUGUUCAACGCAUCUUACGAAGCAGUUUUUUUUUUACAGACAACUUGAGUGCCAAGAUUGCGCCUCUCUGUAACAAUUAAAGAAACUCCUGAGCUCAAAAUCUUCUUCUUAAGCCGUCUAAGGUGUCACAAGGUUUAAAGAAUGCGGAUCAUUGCGGUCUGCUUCGUUGGGCUUAAUGUGUUUUGGAAAAUAAAGAAGCACUAGUUUGAUUUUUCUUCAUUUGUUUUUCUAUAUAAUCUUUUUUUUUUCCUGCUCAAUGUCCAGGCUUUUAUCUGCUUAACCAUAAUGGUAGAUUAGUCGUUUUUAUUAUUCCUUUGUUGCAUUUUUUUUCAAAUUUUCUUGUGCCUUUGUAAUCAGAUUUAUUUUGGGUGGGGGAGUUUACAAUCCAUGAAUCUAUUAAUCAGGGAUAUUGACAAAAAUUAAAUUACUUUGACUCCAUUAAGAUGGACACCACAUAUGAAUAUAAUCUGUAUGAAUGUGGGUAUAGACUAAAGGGAGUUAAGAUGUUGAUUGACCAUUUUAUAAAGAGAAAUUCAAAGAUUCUGGUCGGUUUAACCAGAACCGGUUAGGAUAAGAAACGUGUCAAUUAAUUUAUUUGGCGGCACUUUCUAGAAGCGUACAACAGAGUUAGAGACCGUGUGGGGCUCUCCCUUCCGCUUAUACGACGCCGUAAGACGAAUCUUUGAAAUGUUCCAAUCAGGUUGCCUUUAUUAAAUCACCUCUCUGAACCAUUGCUUUCAAAAAAAGUUUUCAGAUUUGAGCUUACCGACAAAAAAAAAAAAGAAAUUCCGAGCUUCCUGGAGAAGAAGCAGCGGCGACUUGCCUUUCAUUCGUUUUCGUAUGUGAUCGCUCCCUCGCAUCAAGAUUCGAAAUUCUUCAAGAUUUGGUCUUCAAGAUUCGAAAUUCUUAUGUUCGAUUUGUAAAAUAUUUGUUUUUGAGGUUUCUUUGUUCUUCUGUUUCAGGUGGUUAACUCUGUUUCUGAGGAUAUUUAGAGAUAUGGCUGAGGUAUAGUCUCUCUCUUUUUCAUCUCUUGUUAAAAGUUAAUUGGUAUCUUGCUUCGUUUGUUAAUUAGAUUCAAUGUGAGAUAUGUCAGGAAGCGCAUAAGGUUACUCUGAAUGUCUACGACCUGAGCAGAGGCUUGGCUCGCCAGCUCUCUGCUUCACUCUUGGGAAAAGUCAUCGAAGGUGUCUGGUCAGUUCCAUCUCUCUCUCUCUCUCUCUCUCUCCUACACACAUUCUCACAAGUUAUCAAUUUGAGUGAAAGGUGAAAACUUUAACCCUUUUUGCUGGGUUUAGUCUUCAAAGGCUUACCCCUUUCUUGAACAAGAUUUGCAAAAUUAACCUACUUUAGAAUAUUGCCAUGUCUCUAUGCGUAUUAAAACCAUUUAGGCAUUAACUGUUACUUUGUUAGGAAGCAGUUUGUAGUCUAAAGCUGGGCUAUUCCUUUUCUCAGGCACACGGGAAUAGUUGUGUAUGGGAACGAGUACUUUUUCGGAGGAGGGAUACAGCAUUUACCUGCUGGUACAACUCCGUACGGAGCACCACUACGAAGCGUAGAGAUGGGUGAGACACAUGUUCCUAAAGACGUGUUCGAGAUGUACUUGGAGGAGAUCAGUCCUCGCUACACCGCUGAGUCCUACAAUUUGCUUACUCACAACUGCAACAACUUCAGCAGCGAGGUGUCUCAGUUUCUUGUUGGUAAAGGCAUCCCAGACUACAUUCUCCAGCUUCCCAGUGAGGUCAUGAACAGCCCCAUGGGUGGUCUUCUAAGUUAGUAGCUCUUAACUUGGCUAAACCUCUCUUGACCCCUUGGAUCCUAAUUUUUAUAUCCUUAUUUGCAGUGCCUAUGGUACAAAACCUGGAAGCAACUCUUAGAGCCGGCGCUGUUCCUAACGCUCCACAGUUUAGGCCUCAGCCACAACCUCUUGGAGCUUCUAGCAAAGACGAAGGUCCAAAACCAUCUAACAAACUUGAGAAAGCUUCCGAGUCACCGGUUGUUGUUCAACCUUCGGCUAGUAAACAGAAGGUGAAAGAGGACCCAUUGGGUGAUGCUAGGACCAAGAUUCAGGAAGAGAUUACUCGUGAGUUUGCUUCUCUCAUGGCACAAGGCACACUGAGAGCAAGUGAAGCAGCUACUAUAGCUACCAAAAGAGUGAUGCAAAAGUAUGGGCAUCUCAAUGUAUCUGCUUAGAGUCAUAACAAAACAGAAUGAAACCGUUUAUUAUUGCAAUUGUAUUGGAACCGAGGCCAUUGAGUUACUAUUUCUCUAGCUGCAUUUGUAUUCAACAAUUUAGAAAACAAUUAGGACACUAGAGUCUCAGGUUCCAACUCAAUAGCUGUCUUUUUGGAUUCUGAAGGAAUAUUAAUGCCUGCAAAGCCGACCAUUACAGCAGCAGCUCCAAUGUAGUCGGUGAAGCUUGGUUUGUUCCCUGAUAAGCUGUCUACAAUGGCUGCCAAUGGAACCUGAAUGGUUAGCCCAGCCGUCGCCACCGUGGUUGUUGUCAGAAGUACUGCCUUCCCCCAUAGGUAGUCACUGAGCACAUUAUCUAACAAACCUGAAAACGCAAGACACACAUCAGCAUCCCAACAUUUACAAGUUAUGUGGUUUGGCAUACCUUUGCCAACAACUAGACCAAACUGUUCCAAGGUUAGCGCGUCGAAGCGUUCUCGCUUUGUGAAGUUGAGUAAUAGAGCAACAGGUAGGAAGAUGAAGAAGUUGAAGAGACCUAGAAACCCAAGAAGCUGAGCCAUACUGAAGCUGCCACUUCUCUCAUCGUCAUCUGGAAGCUUUUUGCGUAUAAGAGUGAUGUAGACAGCGUAUAGCGCCGCUGAGACCAGAGAGAGGAUAUCUCCAAGAAGUGGGUUUUUAGCUGUUGCAGUUGAGUCAGAUUCUGAGUCACCAAUACUCACAAUGAUGGUACCAAACAUACAAAGAAGAACGCUGAAAAGUUUCAACCAGAUGAAUCUCUCUCCCAAGAAUAGUAGUGAUACUAAAAAGGUGAAAAGGCUUGAUGCACUGCUUAAGAUUGUAUUUGACUGCAAACUCACAAAAUGAAAAUGUCUUAGGAUGAUGUAACACCCGUCUCAAUCUUUUUUGAUGCUACUUAGGGCAUCUGCAUUGGGAGGCCCUUAAGGCAUCCCUUAGGGGAAAAGGGUGGGAACCGAGGAAGAAAGAGAAGGGAAAAGCCCUUAAGCAAGGGCUGUCCCUUGCUCUUCAAUAACCAAAAAAAAAAAAAGUAAAAUAAGGGACUCUCUCUCCCUCUCUCUUCAUCCCACCAAUGAAGAUGCCCUUAUGCUAAAAUGUCGAAUUAAACCGAAUUAUAAAAACAUAAAUUGUCGAUCGUCGAAUCGUAUAUGUAAUCUUGAUAAUUAUAAUAUCAUAAUAAAUCAGCUUUAAAAUAUAUAAAUAUAUAUAUAUAUAUAUAUAAAAACAUUUUUUAUUCAUUUAAUAAAAAUAAAGAGAAUGAAAUAAUUUUAAAAUUCACUAAACGAAAUAAACAGCAUCCAAAGAUUAUAUAAAACUGAAAUAAAAUCACUAUGAUCCUUAAAAAAAUCUCAAGUCAAGCAUAAGAGUUGUUUCAGAACAGAGCAACACAAGAAUGAGUUCUCAAUGUACUUACCGUAACUGUCGUGUACUUGAGAGAGAGAUUGAAAGUGAGCUGAGCCAAAAACCAAAACGGACAUAUCAAAAGGCUGACUUUAGCAACUCGCAUACGUGUCCAGCGUCCCUUCUCAUCUAAUCCAUUACCAUCCUCUCUUACAACAACCCCUGAUACUUCAGAUGCAUCUGAAUGCACAACAUCUUGUCCGAGCAAGGCUUCCUUUUCUGAUUCGGCUAGUUCAAGUAAAUGAGACCUUUUGCUUCUCCAGAACAGUAUACUACCGUAUGCAUCUUCUAGAUAUCGACUGAUCUCAAAGAGGGGAAGAUAAACGACGAACAAUGAGUUGCAAAUGAAAGUGAUCAAGAAGGGAGAAACGCCAGCGUCCACCACAGACUGGACUACAAAGCUGGAAGCAAUCCAAAUCGUGGCAAUAGCGAGUAUGUACGUUAGACCUAGUACCCAUCUCCAUACCUCGCCUGACAUAGCUCUUCAGAUUGAACUCACCUAUCAAGAAUUCAAGAUCGAGAGAGGGAGGUAGCUAGAGAGAUUGUGAGUUUGGAGGAUAUUUUGGGCUUAGAUAUGGGCUCUCUGACCAGCCCACCUUUUGUCUUACUUAUAAACCCAAUCAUGUUUAAGGCCUUUCAGGUUUAUGUACUGACGAGAGGGUUUCUUGCGUCACACGUAACAAUAAUCAAGAGACACAUAUACGACUAUUCAUCCGAUCAUGUAUCCUCUUCGAAACAUAGCUUCAAUUUCUACCUUUAAUAUUGCAUUCUACACUAAUGUUGCUAUUUAGCUGCUCUUUAUGAGCUUUCCAUGCAUGGUGUAACGAUAUCAAAGCUCCUAUAAUUAUUAAUCAUUUUUACUCGAAACAAAAUAAAUUUAUUGUAAAAUAAAGUCUAUGAAAACGUAAAAAUCUUAAAACCAAGAAUCGAAAACCAUGAAGUUUUUCAUUCUAUAGCUAUGAAAACCGAGCUGGAAUAUAUAUAUACACAAUGAAACAAAACAGAACAAUAUAUAACACACACAAAAAAGAUAGUAACAACUUCUAUAACUAACUUAAAAGGAAAGAAAACAACCAAACCCAAAAUAAAAAUCAAGAAACAAAAAAGAUAUAAAACUUAAAAUCAAGAAGCACUAGGGUUCCGAGAAUGUGCUGCACUGGGGUUUAGAGAAUGUCCUGCACUCGUGUUCCGAGAAUUUGCUCUCGAAGCAACUCCCCACUCCAUUGCCUCAGCCACGGCUCUUUCCCGUUCCUUCGGCGCCAUAGAAUCCUCACCGGAGGUUUCACCCGACGGCUGAGGAGGACGAACUUCGUCGUAACGUGGAACUGCUAUAGUGCCAUCAGGAGCGGUUCCCAAGAAACCUAGAGCGGUUACAACGUCGCUUAUGAGUGGCCGUAGCGUUGCCUCUUCCUGUAAACACAUUGCUGCUACCGCUACGGCUUGGUUAAGAGCUUUCUCCGGGAACACUCCCUCUAGACUUGGAUCAGCUAGUUCCGGGAACCUACUUGGUUCUUUGAACACAGGUUGUGCCUAAAACACAGAAUGAUUUUUAUAACCAUUUUAAUCCGAAGGGUUUUCUAUAAUCAGGGCAGGGAGAAUUUAGAGAAGUCACAAACAUUUAAUAAGAAAAUUAAUAUUCUUUCUUCAUAAUUUGAAAAUCUAUAUAUAUAAUAUAUGUACAUAAUCUUCAAAAAAUAUUUAAAAGUUAAGAAUGUUUCAAUAGGUUGGUUGUGACUAGAUGCGACCUUGUAUAUAAAAGGAACAAAGAAAUAAAAAAACUCACCCAAGUAACUAGAUUAUGUUCAUCUUUAGGUCUAGUCGUAUCAAUAACUCUUCGUCCAGUUAUCAACUCCAACAACACAACUCCAAAACUAUAAACAUCAGAUUUAAUGGUUAGCUGACCGGUUCGUUGAUACUCUGGAGCACAAUACCCAUAAGUUCCCAUAACUCUGGAGGACACAUGUUGUUUGUCACCGACAGGACCUAGCUUUGCUAGUCCAAAAUCUGAUAGCUUGGCGUUGAAGUCAUUGUCCAAAAGUAUGUUAGAUGCCUUGAGAUCUCUGUAGAUCACUGGAGGAUCUGCCUUGUCAUGCAAGUAUUCAAGACCCAUGGCUGCUCCUAGCGCAAUUCUAAUCCUUGUGUCCCAAUCCAACGGUACUUGGCCCGGUGUUAGAUCUAUAAGCAUUUCAACAAACAAUUAACGUUGAGACUAAUCCAAUAAACCAGUCAUUUGAUACCGAUCAUAGUUUUGUAAUUUUACCGAGGAGAUGAUCUUCAAGUGAACCACGAGACAUGUACUCAUAGACAAGAAGUCUUUGAUCUCCAUCAGCGCAAUACCCAAUGAGAUUCACGAGAUGCUUGUGAUGUAAAAGACUUAACAUCAAGACUUCCACUAUGAAUUCUUUGUUCCCUUGCUGCCCAUUUCUAUCUAACUGUUUCACUGCCACAAUCUGAAUCCAAGACAACCAAGUUUAACGUAUUCAAGUUUCUAUUAAACUGAUUUUGUACAAUAGUAUGUACGAGUGUUUAAAAAAAAAUAGAAAAAUAAUACAAUAGUAUGUACGUUUUCAAAAUAUAACUAGUUAAACCAAAAUGAAAGACAUCUAUUUAACACUUAAUUAGAUAUUAUCUACAAGAUCACAUUCACUAUUCGUCUGACCAAAAAUUAAACUCGAGAAAGAUCCUUAAGACAAGUUAAUUAGUAAUAACCUUGUCACAUUUUUCGAUUUUUCCCUUGUAAACCCUUCCAAAACCGCCUUCACCGAUCAGACAUUCUUGUCUGAAAUUCUUGGUCGCAGUAGCUAGCUCCCUGAAGGUGAAUGUUUUUGCAGCAAUGUUGUUUGUCACUUCUUUGUUUGCAUCAGCGUUCUUGUUCUGCUCAUUUCCAGUCUUAUUAAGCUUUGGAUUCUCUGUAAGCACCACAAAGGUUACUGAAUCUAGACUUCUAAAACCCUAGUUAAUAUAUAUUUUUAAAAAAUAUAUGUUUUCCAAGCAUACCAGGGUGUGUUUUGUUGUUGUCUCUACCGGUCAACUCACCAUUUCUCCGACGGCUGUUAUCUGAAUCUUUGGGAGCUUUUUUCUUUUCAUGGAAAUAUAAACAUGAAAAACAAUUCAUUUCUUCUCUAGUCCCCUUAAGAAGAAACCCUUUCUCUAGCAAAAUUUGAUCUCUCUUUUUUUCUUUUUUUUUUCUUCUUCUUGUAGAUCAAUUAUGACAUAGGAAUGUAACACUCUAUUUUUGUUCAAUAAAUGCCUGCACUGACAAGAAGAAAAUUGAUAAUUUCAGAUAAAGCAAGAAUUGUCUGGAAAAUAAACGUGGGUUUGUUGACAGAAAGGAAAGCAAACCUUAUAAUCUCAUUCAUAAACAAUGGUUGCCUCUAUCCCAAUAAACCCUUAAGGGUUCCCUUUUUUUUUCAUCUUAUUUAACGUCAAGAUCUAACAAAACCUAGCUCAAGAAAGUUAAAAUCAACUCCAAACCGUCAAGAUCCGAAGCGAGGAAGAGUCUGCGAUAAAAUUGGAGGGAGAAAACUGGAUUUUUUCUUCAGGUUUAGGCAGCUGAUUUUUUCUUAAUAUAGACAAUUAAACUAUACUGUUUAAUUAAUGUAGUAAGUAUAAGAAAUGGGGUCCAUAUAUAUCUCAAUGAUCUCAUGUUUGUGUGCCUCACAUUUCUCAAUGAUCUCAUAUUUGUGCAAUCUUAUAUAUUAAAACAGAAGUCGCAAUCUUCAAUCAUGUCUGAUUUUUUUAAAAAAUGAAUUUAAUGGACAUAUUCAUAGAAAGUCAUGUUACAUUUAAUAUCUAAUCUUAUCAUUUAAAUUUUGGACCUACCAGAAAUUUUUAUUGGGCUAUCAAUAAUUGGAUUUAAACAAUAGAUGAUCCAUUGGAUUUAUAGAUAGUAUAAAUUAAAUAGAUAUAAUUUAAUGUUGUAAUACUAUACCUCCAUAUGUUAAAUAUUUAAAUAUUUAUCGAUGUUAACUUUUAAAAUUAUAAAGAUUUUUUUUUAAAUAACAAAAAUUAUAUUAUCUAACAAUGAUUAAUAUUUACUACCUUAAACCAAUGAAAGCAAAUUUUAAACUAUAUAGUUUAUUUUAAAAAUUCAACAAAAACUAAAUGUUUAAUUAUUUACUCGAUAAUAUAAAUCUAUGAAGCGAAAAGUUUAUUUUUUAAAAAAUUUCUAAAUUUGUGAAAUGUUACAAUAUCUUUGAAUAUGACAAUAAAACAAUAUUUUAUUAAUCUUUAUAUAUAUAGUUACGAUUUUAAUAAUGAAAUAAUAAUUCAGAAAUAUACAUAUAGAAGAAAAUACAAAUACAUGUUAAAAUUUGAAGAAAUGCAACUAAAGGGUUGGAUAUUGUUGUUGGUGGCACGACUAGGGAUUCUAAAAACAAAAAUGCGAAUAAUUGUAACAUUAUUAUUUUCCCCAAAAUCUCUUUUAGAAUUGAGAACAAAUAAGAAUAAGAUAUUUAGAUGAAAGGCAGCAUGAAACCUGUAAAUGGCUGGAUAUUUAUGCUUUUUUCUGUUGCCUCUUUUGCUUACAAAAAUAAGUCAACAAUCUUCUCUAUGAGGCUCUUGGCAGCUACGAUUGAGAUACAUAUCCAUUAGGAUGAAACAAUUCUCUUAUCCUGUAACUAUCAUCAUCCACAUAUAAGAAAUAAAUUGAAGAAGACUGAUUUGUUCGCACUCUUGAAUUGCUAGAUACUUUCUAACAUAAAAAUUUGCCGACCAAUAAAAUCAUUUAUCUAGUAAUGUCACAAACUUAUGAAUGUCAAAGAGUAGGCCCUGUGAGGUAAUGAAACAACGCACCAGCUUUGUUUGCACGCGCGGUGUAUCGUCUUCAAAGAAAGACAUCGAUCUGACCAGAAGAGUAUAAGUUAUACUUUCUCUAAUGUGAUUCAAUUUACUUUCACUUUCCAAAAUCUUUCGAUAUAAGACUAUCUACAAUGGUUCACCAUAUUUUCACUUUAAAAUAGAUUAACUCUAUAACAGAACUGUGAUAUACUCCAAUAGUAUUCUAUUUUCGAGUGAAAAAUAAAAUAAUAAACAAAAAAUUUAAAAAUGAACUAUUUGAAAGAAUUGUCAAAAAAAUAAUGGUAAUAUUAUAGAGUGAAAAAUAAAGUACCUUUGAAGCAUUUUUGCUAUAAAUUCUAUUUUAGGGUGAUAAAUAAAAUGGGGGUUGGAGAUGCCUAAAAUUUAGAAAAAGAGUGAAGAUAUAUAUAUCCCCUAUAUAUUAAUUGAGAAUCUUAAUUUUGUAUUAAUUAAAAAAAACUCUAAAUCCUAGGUGGCACUCUAAAUGCCUUCUAAAUUCCAUUUCAAAGAAUUUUAGAGCAUCUAAUAUAAAGUAUAGUUUAAUCUAAUGAUGUCACAUUAUUUCAUAAUUAUAUAACACUAGAGAACAUUAUAUUAACCUAAAAUAUAUAAAGUGUGUAUUUUUUCCUUACAUAAAAGCUACAGAAUUACCUAAUAUGAUUUACAUAUAUAUGACAAUUAAUGAUUAUGAAUAAUAAAGAUUUGAUAACAAUUUUUGCAUCCUUCUUCAUUUUUGUUUAAAUUUAUAUUAUUAAAAAAUUAAACAAUCACAUUAACCAUAUAAUAAAAAAAAAUAGAUUUUUUCUUAUAUGUUAUAUUUUGAAUUUUUUAAAAUGGCUUUAAAUUACAAAAAUGAGGAAACCUUAUAUGUUAUAUAUAUUUUUUUAAAUGACUUUAAAAUGCAAAAAUGAGGACACUUUAUAUGUUAUAUUUUUCUUAUAUGUUAGAAUUUUCUUAUAUGUUAUAUUUUGAAUUUUUUUAAAACAAUUUUAAUUUACAAAAAUGUAAGUUUUCCUUAAGUAAAUGACUAAAAACAUUAAAAUGACAUGUAUCAAUUCGAUGGUUGAUUUGAAAGCUUUCAAAACUAUAUGGAAGAUAAAAGUCAAAAUAAUUUAACUGUGGAAACAAUACUGUUCACUUUUUUCAAGAAUGUGUUCGAUGGAAAAAAUAAGGUUUUUAUGUCAUAAUUUGUUUAAUGUUCACUAGAGAACAUUAUAUUAACCUAAAAUAUAAGAAGUGUGUAUUCUUUCCUUAAAUAAAAGUUACAGAAUUACCUAAUAUGAUUUACAUAUAUAUGACAAUUAAUGAUUAUGAAUAAUAAAGAUUUGAUAACAAUUUUUGCAUCCUUCUUCAUUUUUGUUUACUUUUAUAUUUUUUUUUUAAAAAUAAACAAUCACAUUAACCAUAUAAUAAAAAAAUAGAUGUUUUCUUAUGGAAGAAACCUUAUAUGUUAUAUAUUUUUUUUUAAAACGACUUUAAAAUACAAAAAUGAGGACACCUUAUAUGUUAUAUUUUUCUUAUAUGUUAGUUUUUUUCUUAUAUGUUAUAUUUUGAAUUUUUUAAAACGACUUUAAAUUACAAAAAAGUAAGUUUUCUUUAAGUAUACGACUAAAAACAUUAAAAUGACAUGUAUCAAUUCGAUGGUUGAUUUGAAAGCUUUCAAAACCAUAUGGAAGAUAAAAGUCAAAAUAAUUCAACUGUGAAAACAAUACUGUUCUUUUUUUUAAGAAUGUGUGCGAUGGAAAAAAUAAGGUUUUUAUGUCAUAAUUUGUUUAAUGUCCAAUCCAAUCAACUCAUGAUGUAUUAAUUAUAGUUUUGUUCCAUUAUUUUUAAUAGAAAUUGAUCUGAUUCAUCGGAAAUAAAUUAUAUAAUAACAACAAAAAAUAUUUUAUAUAUAUAAAUAAAAUGGUCAAAUAUAUAAAAGAAACUAUCGAUAAUAUAUACAAAUAAACUCACUCUGCGCAAGACGCAUGUCUCAUCCUACUUAUCCUAGUACACAUGUAAAUUGUUUGGAUUUAUCAUAAUACCCAAAAGCCUAUAAAUUUUAACGUAACAUCGUCAAACAGCGGGGGUGGUGGCGCAGUUGGCUAGCGCGUAGGUCUCAUAGCUAUCUGAGUAAUCCUGAGGUCGAGAGUUCGAGCCUCUCUCACCCCAAUUUAUUUUUAAUUUUUAUGUUGGACUCAAACAGUGUCGGGUCAAUUCAUCCAAUUCGGGUCGUAACCCAAAUCUAUUUAAAAGCAAAACCCUAAUUUCAUCUUCCUCUCUCCAUAAACCCUCUUCUUCCUCUUCUUCUCAGUUUUGUGUGUUUCUAGCCAAAUUAAGAUGCCGAAAAAGAGUACAAGUAAGCUCUCUCAAUCGAAUCUCAGUUCAGGGUGUUAAUUAAGAAAGGUUCUUUUAUUGAUUUUAUUUUUUUUGGAAUUUUUGCAGAGAGCAAGAGCAAGAGGGUGCCCUUGAAGCAGAAGCACAAGGUCAUAAGAAAGGUGAAGGAGCACCACAAGAAGAAGGCAAAGGAAGCUAAGAAGCUGGGCCUUAACCGUAAGCCCAGAGCAGAGAAGGAUCCAGGCAUCCCCAACGACUGGCCUUUCAAGGAACAGGAGCUUAAAGCCUUGGAAGCUCGACGUGCUCGCGCUCUGGAGGAGAUUGAGCUGAAGAAAGUGGCUCGCAAAGAAAAGGUAAUCAAUCAUUCUUCAAUCUUUGUUAGUGAAAAGCUUUAGUCUUUUUAGGUUACAGCUGUUAAAGACAUGUUCUUUGUGUUAUGGGUGUUGGUUAAUUGAGAAAGGAUAUCAUGAAGUGAUGUUUAUGUUGUGAUCAAUGUUCUAAAAAUUGCUAGGUGGUGGUUAGGCCUCUUAUAGAGGAUUAUUGUUUAGUCGGGCGCUUGGGCCGAUUUUUUGAACGCCUAGACCGAUUUUUAGAAAAAUCGGUUUGAAAAAUCGUUUAGUUCAUACCCGAUUUGCCGCCUAGACCGAUUUUUAGAACAAUGGUUGUGAUCUCUCUUGAUGAAUCUAUUUCAGGCGAAAAAGAGGAAACUUGGUUUGGUUGAGGAUGAGGAUACCAAGACAGAAGAAGGGUAUGGAGAGGGGAAGAGCGGAGAUGACUCAACUAGACUUGUCAGUGUUCGUGGUGAGUAGUGUUAUUGUGUUUUUGAUUUGUAUUUUUUUUAUCUGCCUAUAACAUUCCACUGAUGUCUAUUUGUUUCAUCAGAUAACUCUGAGAAUGCUUUCAAGAAGGAGCUUAAGCAAGUCAUUGAAUUGUCUGACGUCAUUCUCGAGGUUCUUGAUGCACGUGACCCCCUCGGUACGCGUUGUAACUCCAUGGUGGCGGAUGCUGGUCCUAAUAAGCACCACGUGUUGAUUCUGAACAAGAUUGGUAAGCUUUUCUAUAUAAAGUCUCUGCUCGUGCCGUUGGUGUCAUUAGACUCAUUACUCUUUUGUGUAGAUCUUGUUCCUAGAGAGGCUGCUGAGAAAUGGCUUAAGUACCUCAGGGAAGAAUCUCCAGCUGUUGCAUUUAAAUGUAGCACCCAGGAACAGAGAUCAAACUUGGGGUGGAAGUCAUCAAAGGCAUCAUCGAAACCAAUCAGUAUUUUGCAGACGAGUGAUUGUCUUGGUGCAGACUCUCUUAUCAAACUGCUGAAGAACUACUCGAGAAGUCAUGAGGUUUGCUUUGCUUUUCUCAUUAAUUUAUACUCUCACUGAGCUUUGGAUUUAUCUUUUCUUUUUGGCAGUUGAAAAAAUCUAUUACGGUUGGUAUCAUCGGACUGCCUAAUGUAGGGAAGAGUAGUCUUAUCAACAGUUUGAAGAGAGCUCAUGUUGUCAAUGUCGGUGCUACCCCUGGACUGACUAGGUCUCUUCAAGAGGUUCACUUGGACAAAAACGUGAAGCUGUUGGAUUGUCCUGGUGUUGUGAUGCUCAAAAAAUCUUCGGCGAAUGAUGCUUCUAUAGCUCUCCGGAAUUGUAAAAAAAUCGAGAAGUUGGAAGAUCCAGUUAGUCCAGGUAAUUUGAUACAAAUCUCAAAUUUGAUAUGGAGUUAUAAAUCUCAGUGCCUUAACUGUGAUUUUCUUGCUUUGUGGGAAACUUAGUGAAGGAGAUUCUCAAGCUUUGUUCAACGCAAAUGCUGGUGACUCUGUACAAGAUCCCAAGCUUCGAGGGGGUUGAUGAUUUUCUUUAUAAGGUUGCUACCGUGAGGGGCAAGCUUAAGAAGGGUGGUCUUGUGGACAUAGAAGCUGCUGCGAGGAUUGUGUUGCGUGAUUGGAAUGAAGGCAAGAUUCCAUUCUAUACAAUGCCGCCGAAGAGGGAGCAAGGUGAACACUCAGAGUCAAAGAUUGUGCCGGAGUUGGCUAAGGAGUUCAACAUCAAUGAGGUUUACAGUGGUGAAUCCUCUUUUAUUGGGAGUUUGAGGACUGUUAACGAGUUCAACCCUGUUGAGAUUCCUUCGAAUAGUCCUCUCAGUUUCGAUGAAACUAUGGUCGAGGUUGGUUAAUGAACUAUUUGCUUUGUAACCUUCUCGGUCUGGUUUAACAUGUGGUAUGUAUCACAGGAUGAGUGUAAGACUCAGACGGAAGAAGAAGAGGCUGGGAUUGACAGUAAUGAUGGUGAUGAGUCUAUGGGAGGGGAAGAGGAGGAGGAAGAAACAGGGAAGUCGAAAUCAGAGACGAGCAGGCAGAACAGGAAGCUGUACUCAGCUGAAAGCAUGCUGAACACAAAGAUGCAGAAGGCAGAGAAGAAUAAGAGGAAGAAGGCUAAGAAAGCAGCAGGUGGUGAGGAGGAUUCCAUGGAGGGAGAUUAUGAUUUCAAAGUAGAUUACGCCAAGAACAAAGGUACAACAGACAUGGAUGAAGGAGAUGGAUUACAAAUUGAGGCUGAACUAGUUGAUUUACCUGAAGAAUGAUUCAACUCUUUGAAACAAACAACACUUUUAUUCUCUUUAUUAUUUGCGUUUAUGAUAACUAGAUUUUUUAACGCGGAUAAGAUAUUAUAUGUAUUUCUCAAUUCUAAAAAAAUAAUGUAUAAUAUUGUAUUACAUUAUUUAAAGAAUGUAAAAUAAGACUACAUAACAUAAAUAUAUUUUUUAUUUUUUCUUUGUGAAAAUCAUUAUGUUGUUUGAUUGUUGUACUUAAUUCACAUUUUUGCAUAGAUAUUUGUGAUAGAUGAAUAACUAUAUUUUUAUUAUCAAUAAAUAAUAUAUAUUUAUUAUAUAAUAUAAGAAAAAUAAAAUUAUUUACUUUUUAAACAAACUUGUCUCAAGUAGGGGACUCGGUUAUAGACAUAUCAUAUUUGAAGGAGACAUUUUUACAGUUAUCAAUCUUUUUAACAGUGAAGAAACAAAUCUGAAUAUCAAAACAAUAUCUCAUACGAUCUCUUUGUGGAAUAACUGCUCUGAAGAUAUUGAAUUUAUGCAUAAAAAAGGACUGGAAAUGAAUGUGCAUAUGUGUUAUCUAAGUCAGCUUUACAAAGUACUAUUCAUAGUUCAUGUAUCAUUUAUGUACAUCCUAUUUUUUUGUCCAUCUUUUCUUAAACAUCUUGAAAUAACUGAUGCUAAUUAAUAAUAAACUUUUGGCUUACCAAAAAAAAAAAUCAAAUUUGUCUAAUUAUCGAUUAAAUAUUUUAUUAAUAUUGUCUAAGAAGCUUUCAAGUGAUAUCAUAGUUUAAUUUUUAUUAGUUUUUUAGUUAAUAUUUAGAGUUUUUUGUAUUUAAGAUUUUUUCCAUAUUACCCUUCUAUUUCUUUCACAUAAUUGAUAUAUAUAUAUGUCAUAAAAAUUACCAUCAAAUCAGUUUUACUUAUUUAUUAUUUUAUUUUAAUGAAAAUACACUUUUUAAAUAAUUUAAUUAAAUCUAUGUUCUUUUCAUAUUUGUCACGAAAAUUUAUAUGUUAAACUUACUUUUACAAAAUUCUUAACUUUUUUACCAAAACAAAAAUCUAUGUCUUUUCAUAUUUGUCAAUGUUCUCACACUUUCAAAGAAUACUGUAUUCUAACAAUUUGAUUGAUUUAAUUAAUUUGCUUUGGUGGAUAACUUAAAAAGUUUUCAUAUAAAUCGGGGAAAGCAAGCUUAUGUUGUUAUAUUGUAUUUAUUUGUGUAUAUAGAACCUAUAUAUAAUGCUAGUGUAAUAAAGAAAGAACAUUAUUUUUUUGUAACUUCAAAAAGAUACAUUAUAACAAUUUGAAAUUAAUCAAAAUUGAAUAAAAUGGUAAUUAAAUAUUUGUAAAUCUAAUUUUUUUUAUCUUGUUUAGUUGGAUUCUCAUGAAAAGAAAUCGAUAGGUUAAACAAAUGUUUCAAAAUUUGUUGUGUUAUUGUUUUGUCUAUAAAUUAUAAAAUUUAUUGAAUUGAUAUAUUUAAUUAUUGCAUCCUUAAAUAAUAUUUUAUUAAGACAUUAGAGAACUAUGUUUUGAGUUGUUUUGUCAAAAUUGUACAAAAAUCUAUGUUUUUUCAUAUUUGUCACGAAAAUUUAUAUGUUAAACUUACUUUUACAAAAUUCUUAACUUUUUUACCAAAACAAAAAUCUAUGCUUUUUCAUAUUUGUCAAUGUUCUCACACUUUCAAAGAAUAUAUUAGCUUAGUCACUUACUUAUUUUUUUUUACAAAACAGAGUAUCGGAGUCUUGAAAGUUGAAUUCAUAUUAUUGUAACUGUACAUAAGAGUUUUUGAUUACAUACUUAGUGAUUCUUGUAUAUGUGUCCAAGAAAGUUUCAACGGCUUAGUGGUAAAUGCCUUAUAUUUAUGUCAUACUAACUCGGGUUCGAUUCUUUCCUUCGCAUUGUUUUUUUCAUUUUUUACGAAAAAAUAAAUGAGAUGACGUGGUAACUUCGGGCUCUCUGAUUGGUUGAUUUUCCUAUCCUACGUGUGGACAAUCCUCCCCGUGGCUUAUAUUUGAAUUUGAUUUUUAGUAUUGUAUUGAUUUAUUAUGGUCUAUUAAUCUACUUUUGCUCCACCAAUUAUGUUGAGUUUUCAAAAUUUCUAAAGAGCAUUGAGAUUUGAGCUGCAAAUUCAAUGUACUUAGCCUUCCUUUGACGAACUUAAUUUUUAAUGUAUGGUAUGGAAUAUGCCUGGCGUUCGAUUUUAGAUAUUAGUAAUUGUUAGUUAGGUUUUCGGUUUGGUUCGGAUACCAAAGUUGUAAACCAGCUAAUAUCCGGUAAAAAAAUGGAUCUAAUAUGUGAACCAGCUGAUAUUUAUGAAAUUAGUUUGGUUUCUGUCUUUGGUUUGGUUGAUUCGGUUUUUUUCGGUUCCGGAUAAAUAUGCCAAGACCAGUGAAAUUAGAAUUCCAAGUUGCAGAUGUGAAAGAAUUCCAAGUUGCAGUGUUACAAAAAAAAAAAAAAGAAUUCCAAGUUGCAGAUGUGAAAGCAGCAGAAAGACGUUGACUUUACAGAUAAUAAUUUAGGCAGUAUGUUAUCUUUCCGGUGAAAUGUGAAUAAGUCACACAGAAAAAAAAGGUUCAAGAGAUACUGUUUGUCAAGCUAAAGAGAAGAUGUCCUCAGCUACUGUUGAUGUUGGGAUAGGACUGAUUCUCAGCCUCCUAGAAAACGAGACCUUGUUGCUGUCAGGAGUUCACAGCGAGAUCGAGAAGAUGAAGAAGGAGUUGCUUAUCAUAAAGUCCUUUCUUGAGGACACCCAUAAACAAGAUGGGAAUGGAUCCACCACCACCACAACAACGGGAACAACAACAACUCAACUCUUUCAAACUUUUGUGGCGAACACAAGAGACUUGGCUUACCAAGUGGAAGACAUCAUCGACGAGUUCACCUAUCACAUCCACGGUUAUCGAAGCUGCACAAAGCUUCGGCGUGCAGUUCAUUUCCCUAAGUACAUGUGGGCUAGACACUCCAUAGCUCAGAAGCUAGGAGCCGUGAAUGUCAUGAUUCGUUCCAUUUCUGAAUCCAUGAAAAGGUACCAAACCUAUCAAGGAGCAUUAGUAUCGCAUGUUGAUGAUGGUGGUGGUACAAAGUGGGUGAAUCACAUCAGCGAGUCAUCUUUGUUCUUUAGUGAAAACAGUCUUGUAGGGAUUGAUGCAGCCAAGGGAAAGCUCAUUGGAUGGCUUCUGAGUCCUGAACCUCAGAGGAUAGUUGUCUCGGUGGUCGGAAUGGGUGGUUCAGGGAAGACUACACUCUCAGCUAACAUCUUCAAGUCCCAAACCGUGCGCAAGCAUUUCGCGUCAUACGCUUGGGUUACUAUCUCUAAGUCCUAUGUGAUUGAAGAUGUGUUUAGGACAAUGAUAAAGGAGUUCUACAAAGAAGCAGAAACGCAGAUUCCAGGUGAGUUGUACUCCUUAACUUACAGAGAGCUGGUUGAGAAGCUUGUGGAGUAUUUGCAUUCCAAGAGGUACUUUGUUGUGCUCGAUGAUGUGUGGAACACUGGUCUGUGGAGGGAGAUAAGCAUUGCUCUACCAGAUGGCAUUAGCGGAAGCCGUGUUAUGGUCACUACUCGCAGCAAUAACGUGGCUUCUUUCUCAUAUGGCAGUGGGAGUAGAAAGCAUGAGAUUGAGCUCUUGAAAGAAGACGAGGCUUGGGCGCUUUUCUGCAACAAAGCCUUUUCAGGAAGUCUUGAGGAAUGCAGAAGGAGGAAUCUAGAGGUGGUAGCAAGGAAGUUAGUUGAGAGAUGUCAAGGCCUGCCGUUAGCUAUAGCUUCUUUGGGGAGCAUGAUGUCAACAAAGAGGUUGGAGUCAGAGUGGAAGCAAGUCUACAACUCAUUGAACUGGGAACUGAACAACAAUCUUGAGCUCAAGGUUGUUAGAAGCAUCUUGUUGCUUAGCUUCAGUGAUCUGCCGUAUCCGCUUAAACGUUGUUUCUUGUACUGUUGUAUGUUCCCUGUGAACUAUCGGAUGAAAAGGAAGAGGCUGGUUAGGAUGUGGAUGGCGCAACGGUUUGUGGAACCGAUCAGAGGAGUGAAAGCGGAGGAAGUGGCUGAUGGUUACCUCAAUGAGCUUGUUUACAGAAACAUGCUUCAAGUUAUCUUGUGGAAUCCUUUUGGACGUCCCAAAGUGUUCAAGAUGCAUGAUGUGAUCAGGGAGAUCGCUCUAUCUAUAUCCAAAGCUGAGAGGUUCUGUGAUGUUAAUGGUGAUGAUGAUGAUGAUGAUGAUGCGGAAACAGCCGAGGAUCACGGUACUCGCCAUUUAUGCAUUCAGAAAGAGAUGAGAUCAGGUAUAGUACGUAGAACAAACCUUCACACUCUUUUGGUUUGCACUAAACACAGCAUUGAACUGCCUCCAAGUCUGAAACUUGUAAGAGCCUUAGACCUUGAAGGCUCUGGCGUCACCAAGCUACCUGACUUUUUGGUAACUCUGUUCAACUUAAAGUACUUGAACUUGUCGAAAACCGAAGUGAAGGAACUCCCAAGAGACUUUCAUAGACUCAUUAAUUUGGAGACUUUGAACACUAGGCACUCCAAGGUUGAUGAGCUUCCUCCAGGGAUGUGGAAGCUGCGGAAGUUGCGUUAUCUGAUUACUUUCCGUUGCAACUACUCGCGUCAUACGCUUGGGUUACUAUCUCUAAGUCCUAUGUGAUUGAAGAUGUGUUUAGGACAAUGAUAAAGGAGUUCUACAAAGAAGCAGAAACGCAGAUUCCAGGUGAGUUGUACUCCUUAACUUACAGAGAGCUGGUUGAGAAGCUUGUGGAGUAUUUGCAUUCCAAGAGGUACUUUGUUGUGCUCGAUGAUGUGUGGAACACUGGUCUGUGGAGGGAGAUAAGCAUUGCUCUACCAGAUGGCAUUAGCGGAAGCCGUGUUAUGGUCACUACUCGCAGCAAUAACGUGGCUUCUUUCUCAUAUGGCAGUGGGAGUAGAAAGCAUGAGAUUGAGCUCUUGAAAGAAGACGAGGCUUGGGCGCUUUUCUGCAACAAAGCCUUUUCAGGAAGUCUUGAGGAAUGCAGAAGGAGGAAUCUAGAGGUGGUAGCAAGGAAGUUAGUUGAGAGAUGUCAAGGCCUGCCGUUAGCUAUAGCUUCUUUGGGGAGCAUGAUGUCAACAAAGAGGUUGGAGUCAGAGUGGAAGCAAGUCUACAACUCAUUGAACUGGGAACUGAACAACAAUCUUGAGCUCAAGGUUGUUAGAAGCAUCUUGUUGCUUAGCUUCAGUGAUCUGCCGUAUCCGCUUAAACGUUGUUUCUUGUACUGUUGUAUGUUCCCUGUGAACUACCGGAUGAAAAGGAAGAGGCUGGUUAGGAUGUGGAUGGCGCAACGGUUUGUGGAACCGAUCAGAGGAGUGAAAGCGGAGGAAGUGGCUGAUGGUUACCUCAAUGAGCUUGUUUACAGAAACAUGCUUCAAGUUAUCUUGUGGAAUCCUUUUGGACGUCCCAAAGUGUUCAAGAUGCAUGAUGUGAUCAGGGAGAUCGCUCUAUCUAUAUCCAAAGCUGAGAGGUUCUGUGAUGUUAAUGGUGAUGAUGAUGAUGAUGAUGAUGCGGAAACAGCCGAGGAUCACGGUACUCGCCAUUUAUGCAUUCAGAAAGAGAUGAGAUCAGGUAUAGUACGUAGAACAAACCUUCACACUCUUUUGGUUUGCACUAAACACAGCAUUGAACUGCCUCCAAGUCUGAAACUUGUAAGAGCCUUAGACCUUGAAGGCUCUGGCGUCACCAAGCUACCUGACUUUUUGGUAACUCUGUUCAACUUAAAGUACUUGAACUUGUCGAAAACCGAAGUGAAGGAACUCCCAAGAGACUUUCAUAGACUCAUUAAUUUGGAGACUUUGAACACUAGGCACUCCAAGGUUGAUGAGCUUCCUCCAGGGAUGUGGAAGCUGCGGAAGUUGCGUUAUCUGAUUACUUUCCGUUGCAACUACGGACAUGAUUCCAACUGGAACUAUGUUUUAGGCACAAAGGUUUCUCCGAGUAUCUGCCAGCUGAAGGAUUUGCAAGUCAUGGACUGCUUCAACGCAGAAGCUGAGCUUAUCAAGAAGCUAGGGGGCAUGACUCAGCUCACGAGAAUAAGCCUUGUCAUGAUUAAAAGAGAACAUGGAAGUGAGUUAUGCGAGUCGCUGAACAAGAUCAAAAGACUCAGAUUCUUGUCUCUCACGUCCAUUCAUGAAGAGGAACCGUUAGAGAUAGAUGGAUUGAUAGCAACUGCAAGCAUUGAGAAACUCUUUCUAGCAGGGAAACUAGAAAGAGUACCGAGUUGGUUCAGUACUCUUCAGAACGUAACCUAUUUGGGUCUGCGCGGAUCUCAGCUGCAAGAGAACGCCAUUCACUACCUCCAAACCCUUCCUAAACUAGUAUGGCUUUCAUUUUACAAUGCAUACAUGGGGACUAGGUUGUGUUUUGCUGAAGGGUUUGAGAAUCUUAAGAUUCUAGAUAUAGUCCAGAUGCGACAUCUUACAGAAGUUGUGAUAGAAGAUGGUGCAAUGGUUGGGAUACAGAAGCUUUAUGUCAGAGCUUGUAGAGUGUUGGAGUCGGUCCCGAGGGGAAUAGAGAAUCUUGUGAACCUUCAAGAACUGCAUUUGAGUCAUGUUUCUGAUCAGCUAGUGGAGAGGAUUCGUGGGGAAGAGGGUGUAGACCGGUGGAGUGUUAAACACAUUCCUGCCAUCAAGCAUCAUUUCAGAACUGAGGAUGGCUCUUUCUAUGUGAGCCUCUCAUCUUGAGUGGAUGGACUAGUUAGUUAGUGAUGGUACAUGUUCAGUUACUCCUAUUUCAUAAUAUCUUUUUUUUUUGUUGUAAACUACAUUUCGGUGGUCGUACAUAACUAGUGAAUUUUGAAAUAUGAAUUAUUUUAAAAUUUGUUAUUUAAAUAACCACGUAUAAAAAGGGAAAUAAAUAAAACAAAAUAUCAGCAUUUGACCAUAAAAAUUGUGCAUCAUUAGCAAAGAUUCAAAAGUGUUACUCUCUCCGUUUUUUAAUAAAUGAUGUUUUACAUAAUUUUUUUGUUUCAAAUAAGAUUGACAUUUUCGAUUUCUAAUAUAAAAUUUAUUAAUUUUUACAUGUUACUCUCUAUGUUUCAUAAUAAGUGUCAUUCUAACAUUUUUUUCUUGUUAUAUAAAAAGUAUCACUUUACAAUUCCAAUGCAAAUUAUAAUUACUUUCGGCUGAAAAUUAAUUGCAAACUGCGUUGGUUUUAUAAAUAAUUUUAUUUAUCUCAAAUACUAUUGGGCAGAGAAGUGUAAUUAAUAACAACUUACAUAUAUUUCGGUAACUUUCUUAAUCUGUGUGAAAAAUGUCAUUGUAACAUUUAUUCAGAAACGGAAGGAGUAUGAAUUAUGACUAUUUGUAUUUUAUAGUUUAUUUUGUUAUCGGUUGAAUUGUAUUUAAUUGAAUCAUUAACGAUAUAUUUAUCUAGAAAAUAUAAAAAGUCAAUAAUUUUAAAUUUAUAUGUAAAAAUUUUAAAACGUCAUCUAAUUUUUUUUAAAAAAUGAAAGUAUUUUUUUUAGUCGUAAAUUUGGAAAUCUCUUAAUUGUGAAUUUUUAAUAAACAUGAAACUAAAUUAAAUAUCCAGGGCGAAGACGACAAAGACGUAUAAUACGAAAAGACAGAAGAGUAGAUUCGAUUCGCUGUCAAACGAUACGACAGCAUUUCAAGGAAUAUUUAUUUGACCGAAUCAUUCAUCAUUCCGACAGUUAUUCGCGAAAUCUUUGUCUGAACCGGACCGAACCAUCAGACACACGGCCAUAGAGACCCAUUCUGUCCGAACAAACUUUUUUUUCUAUUAAAGUUUCGAAGUUUUGAAAAAUUACAAGAGAAGCAAGAAAAGAAUCGUACAAUUCAUAUUUCCCUUCACUUUCGGCGGUUGGUAAACACGCUUACGCACAUUCAAGAAGCACCCAAGAGACAGAGAGAUCACGAUCGUCUCUUCUGCUGGUGAAGAGACCGAGAAAGAGAGAGAGAUUACGAUGCCGGAAUUAUCGCCGGCUUCUUCUUCUUCUUCGUCUUCAUCAAGUUCCGACCGUGCUUCAGUGAAAAUCGAGGAGAUUGAAGGCGGUGGUUGUAGUGCCGUCGUUAAUGGCUCUGAAGAAGUAGAAAGCAAACCGGAUCCUGCUGUUGCCUCCAUUGCCGACAACGCUGUGUCUGAAUCUUCAGGUAUUGUUUAUUUAUCUUAGUUUAGGCUAAAGGUCGAUCCUUUAUCCGAUUUGGAUCCAUUCCCUGCUGGUUGGUGUGUGUGUUUUCAGGUGGUGGCAAUAAAAGCUUUUCACGAGUAUGGUCAAUGCCAGUGGAGAGCUCUUCGAGUAGCGAUAUGGCUGAAUCAUCAUCAUCAUCAUUAUCAUCACCAUCAUCAUCGAAGCCUAAGUUAGUUAAGUCAAUGUCUGAGAGGCAGCAGAAAGCUACUCACAUUCUUGCCGAGGACGCCGCCAAGAUUUUCGAUGACACAAUCUCUGCAGGGAAGAAGGUACAACCCGUCUAUUUUAAAUGUCUGUAUUUUGAAUUAAUUUAUAUUUUUUAAUGUUUGUAUUUUUUGCAGCUAAAAUUGUUGAGCCGUAUAGCUACUGUGAAACAUGAUGGGACAGUUGAGUUUGAAGUUCCAGCAGAUGCUAUCCCACAACCUAUCCCUGCAGACCGUGAAGAAGAAUCAUCCAGAAACGGUGUUUGCCCUGAUGAGUCCAUUGAUGGGGUGGAUCUUCAGUACAUCCCUCAUAUGCAGAUUGUGAUGCUAAUCGUUGGAACACGUGGAGACGUUCAGCCUUUUGUUGCAAUAGCCAAACGGCUCCAGGUUGGUAGAUAACUCUUACAACCCUUAAAUUUUGAAAAAGUUCUGAACUUGAAUUGUUUGAAAAUGCAGGAGUAUGGGCAUAGAGUCAGGCUUGCAACUCAUGCAAAUUUUAAAGAGUUUGUUUUGACUGCUGGAUUGGAGUUUUAUCCUUUAGGUGGAGAUCCAAAAGUGCUAGCCGAAUGUAUGUAUCUCUACCAAAACACUCCUUAUUCAUAUGUAGUGUUAAUUCUGGAAGUGUGCACUAGUAAAAGGUCAUAUAGGAUUAGGAUGUUUUACUAAAGAGAAAAGUUAAUCGGGUUUUGAGGCUAGUAUAAAUACGGGUUUAAGAGAUUGUAAAUUAAUUAAUUCACAUAAUCGAUAUACAAACCCAAAAUGGGUAUUUGUCUCAAUUCGUUUUACUCUCUUAAGUUUCUUUGAUUUCUUCUAAAGUUAAUUAGCUUUUGUUCACAACAUGUAUCUUUAAUGUUUCAUUCACUGGUUUCUUUAUUAUAUUGUGUGCAGAUAUGGUUAAGAACAAAGGUUUUUUGCCAUCAGGCCCUUCAGAGAUUUCAAUCCAACGAAAACAAAUGAAGGACAUCAUAAAUUCUCUACUUCCAGCGUGUAAAGAGCCUGAUCCAGAUUCUGGGAACUCCUUUAAAGCUGAUGCCAUUAUAGCCAACCCUCCAGCAUAUGGUUAGUUACUUUCAGUAACUCUUGCAUUACUGGCUACUUGCCAUUCACAACUUAUCAUAGAUUCACUUGGAAUGGUAACUAACUUUGGGGACUGGCCAUUUCAGGACAUACUCAUGUGGCAGAGGCACUGAGGAUACCGAUUCAUGUGUUUUUCACCAUGCCAUGGACGUAAGUCUUGUAUUGACAACAUAUAAUUUUAAGUACUUUUUUAAUUUUUACUUUUGUUGUUGUUGUGAAUCAUUUCACUAUGUUUCUGCUACUAAAUAAUGAUUCAGGCCAACAAGUGAGUUUCCACACCCUUUGUCACGUGUCAAACAACCAGCAGGAUACAGAGUAAGACUUCUUUACUCAAAUAUUAUCUGAUUGGUUUGCUAUAAACCUGACUUCUUUUAACAUGAGCUUACUGCAAUUUUUCAGCUUUCUUAUCAUAUCGUUGAUUCAUUGAUCUGGCUUGGAAUAAGGGACAUGAUAAAGGACCUAAGGAAAAAGAAACUGAAGCUGCGUCCUGUUUCAUAUCUAAGUGGAACACAAGGCUCUGGCUCUAAUAUUCCACAUGGAUAUAUGUGGAGUCCUAAUCUAGUCCCAAAGCCUAAAGGUAGUAUUGGCUCAUGCGCUUACUAAUGUAAUGAUGAUGUCUUUUCUGACUUUAAUUUUUUUUUUCAGAUUGGGGCCCACAAAUCGAUGUAGUGGGGUUUUGCUUCCUUGAUCUUGCAUCACAUUAUGAACCUCCUGCUGAGCUUGUGGAAUGGCUAGAAGCUGGUGACAAACCUAUAUACAUCGGCUUUGGUAGUCUUGUGAGUUUUCUCCACCUUCACCUGAAUAGUUUUCCAGAGGUUCCACUUAUUCUAAAAAUUCUAUCUAUGGCUGUGUAAAAUAAUGUCUCUCCCGUUCUGUGUUUGUGUGUGGUAAAGCCUGUCCAAGAACCAGAGAAAAUGACUGAGAUAAUUGUGGAAGCACUUCAAAGAACUAAACAGAGAGGAAUCAUCAACAAAGGAUGGGGUGGCCUUGGAAACUGUAUGUCUAAACCCUUUCUAUUGGAUGCUUGCUUGUUUUUAUAUUAUUUACAAUAUAUAUGGUUGAUGUGGCUUUUAUACAGUGAAAGAACCCAAGGACUUCGUUUACUUGUUGGAUAAUGUCCCACAUGACUGGUUAUUCCCAAGAUGCAAGGCAGUGGUAUGCCCUAUAAUAAUCUGCCACUCCUCUUAAAUUAGUCUCUGAACAUGUCUCAAACUGUUACUCUUCUGCUUUCAGGUUCAUCAUGGUGGUGCUGGAACAACGGCUGCAGGUCUUAAAGCAGCGGUAAGUUUAAUUUGAGUGGAAGCUAAAAAAUAGUAUGCUUCUUGAGUUGGGACUUUAGUAGUUAAUCAGUGUUUUUGCUUUUUUCUUGAACACACAGUGCCCAACAACUAUUGUGCCUUUCUUUGGAGACCAACCUUUUUGGGGAGAACGAGUUCACGCUAGAGGAGUGGGUCCUGCACCAAUCCCAGUUGACGAGUUCUCACUUCAUAAGCUUGAAGAUGCCAUAAAUUUUAUGCUAGACGAUAAGGUGAAUUAGUACACUUUGAGAACAUUUAAAUGAUCAUGGCAAUGCCAUUGGCCAUUGGGUUAAUAAAUGAAACUGAGCAUUUGAAUUGGGAGCAGGUGAAGAGCAGUGCAGAGACGUUAGCAAAUGCGAUGAAGGAUGAGGAUGGUGUGGCUGGAGCUGUGAAGGCCUUCUUCAAACAUCUUCCGAGUACGCAACCGAUUUCUCCUGAUCAGAUCCCUGAACCGUCAGGAUUGCUCUCUUUCAGAAGAUGGUUUGCUUGUUCGUAACUUUCUUGCCCCUCAAGAAUCUCCUCUCUUCUCUUGUGCAUUGUUACCUCUUGUAUGUCUGUUUUUCUCUUCUUGUUCGUUGGUUUUGGUUUUGCAACAACUCACUUAGGCAAAGUGUAUUGCUUGUUUAAGUACUUGGGAGUUUAAUGUUUAGGUGAUGCAUAUAGUUUUUGGCUUGUCAUGAACAACAAGAAAAUGAAAACAAAGUUCUUUAUGAUUUGUGGGUUCGAAUUUUAAUAUCAUAUGACACAUGUCUCUCAGUGUCUUGAGCUUCAACUUCUAUGGGAACAACACAUCUCUUCUGAUGUCGACAAUACAUAUCUUUUCUUAAGAAAAAAUACAAGGAUUGUUGGCUUACCAAACAAUGAUUAGUUGAUCACUGCAUAACUAUAACAUUGUUAUUUAUUAGCGGUUAAUUGUGUGAUCUAUCUUUGUAAUGGCCAUAAGGUAUAAUGGUCACAUGGGGGAAGUCAAUGUGCUAAACUGAGGAUCUAAAAAUCAUCCAGACAAUAUGAUAUACUAUAUUAUAUUUUCAAAUCAGCAUCUUGAUAAUUAAUUGGGUGAGAGGAAAAGAUGUCAUUAUGCUAUCUAUUAACGAAAACUUCAAUGUUUGUGCAGAAAGUUGAUUAAGUUGUGCUAACUAUUGAUGAAGACUUCAAUAUUUGUGUGAUACGUAAUUGAUAAAGUUGUGUUGUAUUCAAUAUUUUAUGGUUAUUGCUAACAAAGCCUAUCUAGAAGAAAACAUACAAGGUGGUCUUGCGAUGAUUUCUAUCUGUGGUAAACUCUUUUACAGUUUCAAAACAGAAACUUCAGCUCUGAAAAGAAUGAAACCAAGAUUCCAAAUCCUGAAGUAAUCAAUCACUUUCACCAAUGUAGAGAGGCUUGGAAAACAUAUUGGCUAUCUUUCGAGCCACAUCUUCAGGACUUGGAUUCUUGUGUUCAUUUUUUUUUCAGAACUCAAGUUUCUGUUUUGAAAUAUGAUCGCAUGCAUUUUCAUGAAUUUUCAUCUCUUAUUGUUAUUGUUCAUUUUGUAGUCUAUUACAUUUUGGGAGCACCUACUUAAAAUUCUAAUUAAUACAUAAAUUUUUAAGUUUUUUUAACCUUUUUGAAUGAAUCUUAGUAAUUUAUUUUGUUUUCUUCUUUCAUUUUCCUAUUAAAGAGUUCUCAAAUGCACUUUAUAUUUUAGCUGUCAAAAUAAGAUCUAAAGAAACUUAGUCUUUUUUACGCCUAACAAAGAAAAUCAUUCCCUUACAUGAUAAUAGCUAGUACAUCUAUUUUUCACAAAUUUAUUUGAUUGUUAUACUGUUUUUAUGCCAAACAAAAAGAAUCUUGGAUAAAAACAAAUACAAAAAAAUGAAUCACUUCAAUUACGUUUCUAAAUAAAGCUAGGUAAGAUGAGGUUAAAUUGAUAUUUAGACUAAAAUCGGAUGUAAUGUAGGAGAAGUAAGAACAUUACCGGUGACGGUGGCCAAACAUGCCUAUUUAGUUUACCACUGUGCAUUGAUGCCAUGCCACUAUACAAUAUAGGCUAAAACACUAUCCACCAUCGCACACCCAAUUAAUAAAUCAUCAUUUAUGUCUUAAUGUUUGUUUUUUCUUAAACUUAAAUUUUGGUUACAAAAUUAACUGAAAACUACAUCUCGACCCUCACACCCAUGCAGAUUUUAUUCUUUUCAUACUAAAAUAUUCUAAUUUAUAUAACAUUAUUAUGUAAUAAUAUUACUUUACAUAAUUUUUUUAUUUUGUAAAAAAACAUUAUUUUGUAAACAUUAUUAUGUAACAAUACUAUUUUACAUAAUUUUAUGUUUCAUUUCUAAAAUUUAUAAUUUAUAUGAAAAUUAAAUUAAACUGCACCUAUAUAAUAGAGAAGAAUUUUUUGGGAUACCACUAAAAAACAACACUUAUUUAAAAGAAAAAAACUAAAAUAUUUUGUACUUGCAAAAUAAUUUUGAAGUAACGAUCUUAUUUGAAAAAAUGUUUGAAAUACACUAACUUGGAUAGCAUUUAAAAAAAAAACUCAAAAAAAAUAUUCUAACAUUUGAGCUUAGGGUUUAACGAUUAUUGUUUAAUAUUUAUUAUUUAGGUGGUGAAGUUGAGUUUAUGAACUUCUGUAAAUAAUUCUUAUAUAUUUAUAAAUGUUUUGGGAUGGUUAACUUUGUCUUCUAAUAAUAAAUUUAUGAUAUUUAUGAAAAAUGAUAAUAAUUUAAAGGUGAAUUUUAAAAAUAGUAUCAAAUAUGAGGUAAAAUUAAAAUUUGUUGGAAUUAUGUUAUAUACUAUAACAUUUAACCAAUUUGAUAAAUAUGUGUUCUCUUCAUAUAGAAUAGUGUUCGAAUAUUAAUCUUUUUGACAUAUAUAGGUCAUUCAUGCUAUGACAUUAGUAUGCAUAUAUAUGAUAAAGAUGUGUUCAUGUUUAAUGUAUUCGUUUAUGUAUAUAUUCAUUUCGUAUAUAUAUUGUUCGUUCAUUUAUGGUUGGAGUAGGAGAUGUAAAACUUUAUAUAUAUAUUGAUUAAUAAACCAAAUUGGUAUAGUUUUAAAAUAUUAAAAUGAAAUAUUUUUUUUAACUCAAUGGAUUAUAUAAACGCUAAUAAUAGUUGACUAAGGCUUUAUAUGUGUAAAGAGGCUAAGUGUUUCAUCUAUGAAGAGGGUGUAAAUUAAAAUUUAACCAUUAAUAAGAAUAUUAGAUCUGUGUUAAAGAAAAUUAAAUAUUUAAUUGUAAUGUUACAUGAUAUAAACAUUGAAAGUUGUGACCUCUAAGAGAUAGUUUAAACUAAAAAAUCACACAUGUAAUAAGUCAUGAUUAUAUUAAAUUUCGUUUAUAAAUCAAAAAUAAAUUUCAUUUAAAUUUCUGAUUAUAUUUAAUGAUAACUAAAAUUUAAAUUAAUCAAUUUUCGGAAAUGAAUUUUAAAAUGAUUCUGAAAUAAUUUUUAAAAGAUAUUUGUUAGAAUUUUCUUAAAUAAAUAUUUAUUUUAUUUUAAAUACAAAUAAAGAUAUUAACAAUAUUAUAAUUAAGUUAUGUACAUUUGAUAAAUUUUCUAAAUAAUGGUCUAACUUAAAAUAUCAUACAUGAAAUGAAGUUGUGACUUCUAUUUUAAUAAAAUAGAUAGUAGAUGUAAAUUCAUAUAUGUCCAAAUUUUUUAAGAGAAAGAUCGGUGAAUUGAUAUCUUUCUUAUUCACAAGGUGAGAUUUAUCCGAGAAAGGUACGGUUUCUGAGUUUUGAAAAAAGGUGAUCAAAAUUGUAAAAGAAAAGAAAAAAAAAAUGCUUGCAUAUUACCAAGGCGACGAUAUUUAUUCUUUAUUUAUUAAGAAUGUUUCAUAACAUUUAGACAUGCAAUCAUGUUAGUUAUAGAGUUUAGGAAUGCAACAACACAUAUCAGGUUGAUUCCAACCAACGCAUUCGCCUGCCCGAUAUCCUCUUUUUUUGCACUCGACCUUACAGUUGUAAAACUCACAUGGUCCAAGACAUUUCAUUGCUUCUACUUUUUCUACAUUUCAUUCAAAAAAAAAGAACUAUGAUAACAGAAUAUUAAUAGUUUCACAAUUUGUUAUUAGAAAAGACAAAACGUGCAGCUUAUAAACGGACCAACCUGAAACCAAGGGAACGAUAAAGAUUGAAGAAAUUACGAGAAAGCUCAUGAAUCCAAUCGUGUAAUUCAUGUUUAAGGUACUGUCAAUGUAUCACUUUUGCCUAUGUCUCGAAAUCUAUUUUAUAGCUGUUUCUAAGGAUAUGUUGUUUUGAGAUAUCUUUACUUAAUCAUACUUCAUACCAAGUCAAAACAGAAAUUGAUUUGACUUUGAAUAUAUUCAAACUCAAAGCAGAAAUUGUAUUAGCUUCCAUUGACUAGCACAUUCCAAAUAUAGUGUUGCCAAUCCUAUUGAUAUGUUUUUGUGUGUUUCUUUGAUACAUUGCCAAAUUGAAAAUGUACUAAUAUUCACUGACUAAUACAUUUCAAUUACUUUACUGCCAAUCUAAGGAGAUUUUGAUUUGAUCAAUCAUUUUAUACAUGCAAUACGUACUGAAACUUGUCAUGAUAAAAUCAUACUCCCUCCGUUUCGUAAAGUUACAUAUUCUAGAGAAAAUUUUUGUUUCAAAAAAAUCUAUUUUUUUGCAUUUUCAAUGCAUGUUUUAUUAACUAAUUGCAAAUUUCAAAAAAAUUAAUUGCACUUAUUGAAUUUUUAUUGGCUUAAAAUUAUGGAAAAAAAAUAAUCACAAAAAAAUUAUGCAUAUUUAAUGUGUUAUAUUAAAAUGUAUGAAAAUCUAAAAUAUGUAACAUUUUGAAACGGAGGGAUUACUUUUUUGUAACACAAAUAAUAUCACUUUAGAAUUCAUAUACAGUUUAUAUCUAUUUUAACAUUAAUAUUAACUGCAAAAUAUUUGAUCUUAUAAGAGCAUCUUCAAAAGACACUCUAUAACUUCAAAUAUGAAGUUUUUUGCUCUCCAAAAAAGAAAUUCAAAACUUCAAAUUUGAAGUUUUGAAGAGUGAAACUCUAUAUUUGAAGUUUCACUACUCAAAACUUCAAAUUUGAAGUUUCAUAUUUUUAUUUGUAUUUUGGUCCCUACAACUACACAUAACAUUUAUGAUUCAUAUAAAUAUUUUAUUGUUUAUUGUUUUAAUCCGUAUAAAAAUUAUAUCUCAUAAAUAUUUUAACUUUUGUUUACAAAAUCUAAGUUUUACACAUAAAAUUAAAUAAAACUUUAAAAUAAGAUUUAAAAUAUUUAAAACUAGAUUUAGACACCAAAAAUAUAUAAAAGAAACUUAACAAAAAAAGCUUUUAAAAAUUACAUAAAUACAUAACUAUUACACAAAUUUAAAUAUUAAAACACCACUAAUAGUCAGGUAAGUUUGAUCUGGAACCUGCAAAAUUUCUAAAUAUUGACUUUUUUUUUGUGUAGCUGAAGAUGGUUGUUGUUGUUGUUGAUGCUGUCUUUUCGUACAAUUCUUUCUUGUUCAUAUUGAAUAUUAUAAAAUAAAAAUAAUUUUGAAGCUGAGUUUGAAGUUUUGCUUUUACAAAAUAAUACCUUUAAACUUCAAAUAUAGAGUUUUAAAAACUUCAAAAUAGAGUUCAUUUUUAGAGAUGUUCUAAAUAAAUACAUUUAUCUAAAAGACUAUUGGUUAAACAAAUGUAAUUAUUAAAAAUGUAAUUAUUAAAAAUAUAAAGUUUUUAAUUAUUUUCUUAUUUUUGUAGAAAUGUCAAAAUGUCAAAAUAACAAUUUUUGUAAAAUGAGAAAAAAAAAAUUUUUGAACGAGUAAAACGAGAAGUAUAAAAACCGUUUUAUUUAUUGGCUCCCACUAAUAUUUUUUUGGUUGUUAUUGUACAAAAUUAAAGGAAACUAAAGCCUUCUGCAAGUCUUUAGUUGAAUGAAGUGCAAAGGUCAUUGAUAGUGGUGGAUCUUUCCUACCAACUCUGUUUUGAUUACUUGAUAAGUACAAAUAAGUGUACAACAUAAUAAAUAAAACAAUUUCCUAAUCAUACAUAAAAAAAAUUAUUAGUGAGAAACUCGUGAAAAAUUACAUUUUAUAUUAGCCUUGAGUUUAAGUGUCAUUAACAAUGUUAGAACAUUUUAAGAUCUGUUUGGACUUAGAUCUAGUUACAAAACAUUCAGUUGAGAAGUAAAGAAUAAGUGUAAUUUAUACAAGAUAGAAUAUAACAAUAAAUUGAUUUAUGAUAUAAUUCAUGUCGAUCAUCUUUUACUUCUGGCUAUUUUUUUAGUGAUGGGAGUGUACUAUUUAUAGAACAUAUAUUUCUUUUUUUGUAACUGGAACAUAUAUUUCUUAGUUAAAUUAAAAACUAAAGAACGAGAAAAAAAAACAAGAAAAUCAGAAAAGGAGAAAAGUGAACAGAAGUGAAAAUUGAUGAGAAUAAGAAGAACAAAGAAAAACAUAUAAUAACGGUGAAGCAUAUUGGGGAUGGCGAUAUGUCGAUGAUUACCGUUGGUUGCCUUUAUAUCUUAUAUAUAUAAAGUAGAGUCGUGCUCUGCACACAGUCCUCCACCUCAUCUACUAGCAUAGGGCAAAUUAAGCUACGUGGCAGCUAUAAAAACAUCGAACUAAAGUUUUUGUUUCUUUAUCUGUGCUGGGCUUUCUAUUACUACCUCUGAUUGGGCUUUUAGAAAACAUUAGGUCAAGUCCAUACUAACAAGAGACUUGUCUUCUUAGCCUUUGAUGUUAAAACCGACGAGUUUCUUAGACUACUUCAAUACAAUCAUCACCUACAAAAGCCUUAGCUUCGGUUCUGAGAACUUCUUUGUUGCCAAAGAUCUAAACCUCUCACCUUUGGUAAAGCAGCCUGCUCUAGCUAACCGGUACAACACGUUGGUGAACAGCUGCCUCAAAGUCAACAAUCUUGAUGCUCACUUUCUUAAAGGUAUGCUUGAAUACUUCCACUCUCAAAAUCAGUUCCUAAGUUUACAUCACAUCCGCAUAGCCUCCAAGAGUGGUCACCUCCAAGGAAGGUACGUUUAUGGGGUUCUCCUUAGUGGCGGAGCUACAACUUGCUGAGGGUGGUCAUAUGACCCAUAUGAAAUUGUAUCAAAAUAAAUUUUUCCUUGUAUUUUACAGAAUAGUUACUAAAAAUUUAUCUUAUUGACCCAUAUAGCAUAUGUUUAUUAUGCAUUUGACCCCUGUAAAAAACCGAGCUGGCUCCGCCACUGGUUCUCCUCAUGGCCAUCGGCCACACUGAGAAAGGGGUGAAAAUCAUCAACAAACUCACUGAUGAGCAAAGUAUUUCAGUGGUGGAAGAUUGCAUGGUAUAUUUCCACCGCUCUCUGGAACGCCCCCUUCUUCACAUGAAGGAUAUCUAUGUGAGUUCAGUUCUGAAGAUGUGGCCAGAUCUAAACUGCCAUCUUCAAGAGGGAGCGGACAACACAGUCUGCUCCAACUGUUUCCACUUCUUUUUGCUGACUAAGUUCUACAAGAUGAAGAUGGGUUUCAAUGAUCUCCUGGAUUAAAGAACAUGCAAUACCCCAAACGUUCUUAAUUAGCGUUUACACGUUCACGUUCUCCAUUACCUUUUAAUUUCUCAUUUUGCAUUUGUGGUAUACCUUAAAGAUUUAUGUUGAUCUUCAAUUUGUAACCCUUGCUUUGUUCCAGUUUCCAUUUUAAUUUUUUUACAAAAAACUUAAAAAAUAAUAGGAAAAAAAAACCUUUAUAGCUCCAACACACACUAAAACUAUAUUUUCUUCCCAUGCCAUGAAAUAUGAAUGCUUAUCACGAUCGAUCAAAAACUAUAAGUUCCUUUUAGUAUUAAAAAAAAAAAUCACUUAUGUUUUCGGAAUUUUCUUAUUAACAAAUUCCAGAUUGCUGUACAAUCAAAUGCAAAAAAAAACAUAAUUGCUUGACAAACAAGUUAAUACUCACGCAACUUUAUCUAAUAAAAAACCACACAUAUCCAACAGACUUUUCCACAUAGAAAGAAGACCUUAACCACAACACAUACAGCUAACUACGGACACUCCUAACUACUACAUACAAGAACACAAGAUUUUGAUGUUUCAAUCAAAUAAAAUAUCCGAAACAUGAUGAUUGAUGGUACUCAAUCAAAUAUACUCCAUCCGUUCCUAAAAGAUCUAUGUUUUAGAAUUUUCACAUUUUUUAAUAAAACAUAUUAAAAUUUAACUAUAAGUGCAUAAUUUUUUGUAAUUUUAUAUUUCCUAUAUUUUUAAACCAAUAAGAUUUUAAGAAAUGCAAUUAAUGUGCUUGAACUUCACAAUUUCUCAUUAUUAGUUGACAAAAAUUGCAUUGGAAAUAUAAUUUUUUUUUUUGAAACAAAUUUUUUUUCUAGAAUAUAGAUAUUUUAGGAACGGAGGGAGUAUGUAUUUAAAUAAUGAUAAAUCUUCAAACUAACGAGAGUAAGUAAAUUUUCAAAAAAAAUUGUGUUAAUAUUUAUAUUAUGAUGUUUUGAGUUGAACUCUUUUCUUAUUUAGCAAAAAAAAAAAACUCUUUUUUUUCUCUACAAAUGGAGAGUGGUUUCUUUCCACAUUAAUUUGACGGGCCACAUAAAAAGUGGAGUUGGAAGUAACUAUUAACAUAAUUUUGUUGUACUUAAUGUACUACGGAAUUCGGUUCUUUCUCCUUUACUUGAACUAGUACAGUCUUAGCCUCUACGUACGGUACAUUGAAGUCCAAAACCAUACUUUUUACUUUGUAGAGUAUCACAUGUAAAUAUCUCUAUAGCUGGAAUUUGUAAACUAUAUGAACAUACUAUAGCUGUGUACAUGACCUAGACGCCUAGUGCCAAAUAAAUAGAAUAAGAUAUGUAUAUUUAUUUGAUUAAACAGAUGAACUCAGCCCGUAUAAUUAUAAAGUUUUUUUUAUAUCAACAAAGUUAAAACAUGAAACUUGUGGAAACUCAUACUACAAUUUAAAAUGAUAUGGAAAUUAUGCUUUAUAGGAAGUAUGUUAAAGCUAAAGUUAACAACGAAAUUAAAGUAUCAUUUUAGUACUUAAGAAACAUGUACUUGUAUACAUUCGAGUUUUAUACCAACACAAACAAUGUAUACUUUUAUAUACACACUUGGAAAGGGUCGUCUAAAUAAAACUAGAUGCAUAACGUAGGUUAAAAAAUAUAGUUAUCGCAAAAACAAAGUAAAAGGUAAAGUUAAAGGGGUAAGACAUGUUCCCGAACAAAACAAAAACAAAACAAAGGCGAGAAGCUUCCAAGAAGGCAAGAAUUAUAUAAAGGUAACAAAAUGCCUAAGCCUAUAUAUAUAGAAUGCGGAUACUUAACCACAAAGCAGUGCUUUCAAAGCUGUCUUAAAGUUUGGGACACAAAAUACAAAUACAAAGUAGAGGAACAUGUAUUAUUGAAACAGCUAUCUUCCUUCUCAAUUAUAAGCAUAUCAUUCUUUUGGCUGAUUCUAAUUGCUUUUGUAUUGAUUCGUGCCUAAAAAGUUCCUUCUUUCUAACAUACAUUCGUUUUAAUUUCUUUUCCAAAAGUUUGAAUAAAGGAGUUUUAGUUUCCAUUAUUUGGUGCAUGCGUAUCGUCUUAUAAUAAGAACGGACUGAUUAUUUGGCCAACUUAUGAUCAGAGUACCUACCCUCAACUUUGCCUGGUGAAGUCAUAUAUUGGCCAAAAAUAUAGAACAUGUAACAAUGAAUAUGAAUGAUAACGAACAUGUUACAAUAUUAAUAUGUUCAUUCCAUAGGGGUGUUACUAUAUAUAUAGGAAGUAAACCAAACAAUCAUUCCACGCCUAAACGCUAAUUUUCUUAGGCAUUUGAUUUUCGAUGCGGUUAUGAUAGACGGGAAAUCACUAAGAUGGUCUUUUGUUAGCUAGAUGGUUUAGUUCUAGUAGAUUAUUUGUUUACAAUGAUUCACUAGAAUUUUGUAUCUGAUAUCACGAAACUAACAUCACUGAUCACAAGCAUAAAAGUAUUGUAUGCGGAAAGCAUUCAGUUCGUAUUUUUUGGUUUGCCAAAACAUAAACCAGAGUUUGAUAUAUAUCUUAAAUGCGUGAUAAGAAUGUAUAUAUAGAGAAAAAGGACAUAAUAAACUCUCAGAUUUAACGGAUUAUGAUUACAUUUAUUGGAAUCACAUAGAAACACGCAUACAGACGUACUACGAAAUAGCAACAAAUUUUCUUCCAAACUACUAGCUACGUACGUUUAAAGAAACUGAAGAAGAAGGUGAUGGAAUCAGCCACGAUUCUCGUGAAACCUUCUGAUGAAAUCAGUGGAUUUCCUGUUAAUAGCUGGUUCGACAACGUACCAAUUAUAGAAGUUGCCUUCACUAUCUUCACCAAACAUCUCGUCGUCUGUUCCUGCCGGGUUUGAUCCCUGUCUUCUCCUCCACCAUGCCUUGAAGCUGCCGAAGAAGCCAAACAAGAAACGCCAAGAACCCCCCAUUAUAAAAUCCUUUUAGAAAAAGAAAAACGUUAAGAGAGAGAGAGAGAGAUGUAUUUUGCUUCUAUAUGUCUAAAGAUGCAUAUAAGCAUGUGAGUGAACGUGAGGUCUGAUGGUUUCGGGUUCAAAGACACAAGGUCUCUCUUUAUAGAAGGCUAGCUAAGUUGGAAACCUAGAGGAACCAUGCACGAAACACCCCCCACCAACCAAUAAAAUACUCUUUCCAUUUCAAGUUAGUUUUUGUUAUAAACAAAUUUUUCUAACUUUUAACUUUUUUCGAAAAACGAGCCAUUAAAUACACAUAGGCAUUGGUAACAUAAAUUUUAGUAACAAAAUUUUUCAUAAAGUUGGCAUUGCAAUAUCUUAAAAACAACAUUUGUUUGUCACCGAACUAAAACGGCACACAUUUUGCAUAUGGAACCUAAAAACGUCAGGGUGUUCUCCGAGCCAAUCCAGAACCAAAGAUUAACGAAUAACUUCGGUAAUCUCGAGGUUCAGCUAGAAACCGAGCGACGGCAGAAAACGACGGCGAUGAACAGACUGAGAUGGGUCGGAGAGGGAGACAUCUGGGAGCUAGACAUGUCGACUCCAGUGACACUCGAAGCCACGGCACGAGCCGUUUCCAACGACCCUCUCCCUCUAGGUCUCUCAAGAGGAACUCGUCUCUCUCGCCCUAAGCAAGCAGAGUUCUUCCACCGCUUCAUGGCCACACCUCUCAUCCCUUCCUUCUCCCCUCUCCAUGGUGGCCUCUCCCUCCAAAAAGUCCUCACUUUCCCUUUCCCCAACAACUGGUACAGUACACUUCAUCACCAAACUUAAAAAUCUCACCUUUAAUCCUGAUUCUCUCGGAUAAUGUUGGGUUUUGUAAUGUUCCAAGGUUUGUGUCUCUUCUGGGUCAGUUCGAUGUUCAAAGAUUCGUGUCGGAGGUGAAAAAGACUGAAGCUUUUGUUCGUGGGUCAGCUUCUCGGUUAAGCACACUCGGCAAGCAUUUAAAGGAUAAGUCUUUGUACGCGUUAGGCUUCUGCUCUGAGCUGUUGUUAACACCAGAGGAUACUCUGCUUCUCACCUAUGAUACUUACAAAUGUGAUCCUAACAAGAAUCCAAGAGCUAAAGCUGUCUUCAAUCACAAGGCAAUUCCUCUCUUAUCAAAAUUUUCCCAAUGUGAUUGUAUUUUACUUAGUGAUUGCUAUUGUUUUUUUUUUUCAGUUUCCGCUUCACACUCUGACAGCAGAAGCGGUUUGGCCUGGACUGUAUGUGGAUAAAGAUGGUGAAUAUUGGGAUGUGCCGUUGUCAGUGGCUAUUGAUCUAGCUUGUCUUCCUGCUNNNNNNNNNNNNNNNNNNNNNNNNNNNNNNNNNNNNNNNNNNNNNNNNNNNNNNNNNNNNNNNNNNNNNNNNNNNNNNNNNNNNNNNNNNNNNNNNNNNNUUACAGCAUAUAGUGCAGGAAGACACCUAGUAUGGUUAUAACUUUGGAGACUAAAAUUUUCAAAAAUUGAAAGCACGAGUUUUCUGAACAAGGCUUUGUAACAAAAAUUCUUCUUCUAGAAGUAGAAAGUCGGACACCUUACUUCAAAUUCAAACCCACAAAUCUUUUUUCACCAAACCAAUCCACUAUCUCCACAAUAAAACAUGUAUAUCUGAAAACCUAUAUCAGUACUAUGCCAAAAGCGAUUAAAAUUUUUAAAUUAAAAACUCAUGUAGUAAAAAAUAAUAUAGAAUAUGCAAAAUAAUAAUAAUAUAAAUUACCAUAGAACAGCAACAUAUAAAAUUAAAUUAACAAACAAAACAUUAAUUAUAUAAAAAAUAUUUCUUUACAAAAUUAAUAAUUGAACUUUUAUUGAAAAUUAAAUAAUUAGUUUUUAUAUCAAAUAUUUAAGUCAUUUAAUGUUUCUUAUGUCAUAUUUGAAGAAAAGUAAAAUUUUAUCAAAUUAGUUUUAAAAUAUAUUAGAAAACACAUCCAAAACUAUUACCGUUAACCACUUCAAUUACUCCAAUUCAUUAGUAGUUAACAAUUAUCUAUAUUUUGUAACUUAAGAAACCCAUGUUUUUAUCAUGAAUCCAUAUUUUUCUUUAUCUUAACUACCACAUCGGUUUUGUAGUAUAAAUUCAUGUUUUUAUUAUGCCUUUGAUUUUUAAUUUUUUUUAUGUCCUAAGCAAAUGUUUCCCUUUUCUAUAACUGAGGCACGGUCCUGAUUAUAUAGAAACGAGAAUUUUCAAUUUCUCGAGAAAAUUGAUCAAUUAUCAUAUCAAAAUAAUUGCUUUUAGAACCCAAAGCUGGUAGUUCUACUGGUAAAGCAUUCUACUCAAAUAAUAGAAAUGUGAGGUUUAAAUCUUAGAAGUUGAGGAAAGGAGAUUAAACAAACGGCUCUUUUAUCUAGUCUGAAGAAAUUAUAAACUUGGACCAAAAAAAUUUUAAAUUCAAAAUAAUAAUAAUAUGAAUUGUUUUUAGGCAAAGUUAACCCUCAAAUUUAAGGUAAGGAGACAUAAAUAUUUUUAAAUAACUUAUAAUGAAAAUAUUUUUAUAGCUUAAGUAUCAUAGUAUUAUAUAUAAAUAUGUAUACUAAUCUUUUAAAAUUUGAGGUCUAAAUGAAAUGUUUCACUAUGUUAUAUCUAUGACCAGCCCUGCUUUAAGGAGAGCACUUUUUCCAUCUAACUCAAAAUAUUAUUAAUUAUUUAAUUUAUUUUUGUGUCCAAAAUAUAUCUUUUUCUGGUUGGUAAUUUUUUUGUAUAUAGUUGAGUUUUACUCAUUCAAUAGCCAAGUUUCUAAAGGAAUUAAUCGGUUGGAAAGUUGUUUGGCACACUGUAUUUCUAUCAGAACACCAUGUCUAGGAUAAGUUAUUUUUAUGUUUUGUGAAGCCACCGCAUGCGCCGCAUAUCCAAGUUAAAAUAAUAAUAUAAUUAUUUCUUUGAAAGGUACAUCUCGGCCAAAAAGAAGUAAUCAUGCAAGGAAGAAAAACACGUUAUUCUUUGACAAAAAAAGAAAAAGAAAAACACGUUAUUGUGGAACGAACUCGUGAACGCAUAUACUCUCCGAGUUACUCUCAACGUUUCCUUAUGUAAGCCACACGAAUAAGAACCCUUUCAUUUUCAACUUUAAUAAUAACAAAAAAAAAUCAAAGAAAAUUCUGCUGCAUUAUCAAAGUAAGCUUCUCCAUUUUACAUGAUUUAGGGUUUAUAUGUCUGCAUUUGUUUUAUCGAUUGGCCACGUGAAUAUCUCAAAUUGUGUGUUUAAAAUUACGGUAGAGUGGAACUGCAUCGUGAAUUCCCCUAAAUAUUAUACUGACAGGUCAACAAAAUAUACAUCUAUCAAAGAAACUAUAGUUUGACCUCAUUUACAAAAAAAAAACUAUAGUUUGACCUUGAAAUAAAAAUACUAAUAAUUUUAUCCAGAAAAAUGCAAAUAUUACUAGUAGUAUAUUGCUUAUUAAACAUAAUAUAUUUUAUCCGUCUAUUGGACAUUUAAAAAAAAAUUGUUAUAGAAGAUGACUUUACUCAACCUAAGAAGACUUACAAGUCCUAGACAUCAAACUUGAAAAUUAAUUGAGUGUACAUAACUACAACUUACAAUGUAACUCAUAUAAUUACGGGUCAAAAAUAGAAAUUAACGCGUCUCAUCUCUCAUUUCGAUGGUUGACGAAAAUUAUUAAUUGAUGAGUAUUUAGAAUGCCUAGCUGCUACAGUGGAAAUACACAGAGACAACUUGCAGUCUUAAACAAGAAAAUAAUAUACUGAUUUUAUACUAUAAACUAAAAAUGCAGACGAUUUCUUCAAUGGAAAAAGCUUUAUACAUUUUAAUUUUGGUUUAAAGAAAAGCUAUAUAUAUAUUCAUAUGGUUACAUACUCAAAAUUAAUGAUUGAUCGAAUAUAAUUAGUUAGGACGAUAUAUGAUAUGGAUACGAUCAAAAUAAUAAUAAUGAUGAUAUGGAUACGACCACGUUGUUUAAAGUCUUCUCUUUGAACUUUUCCUUCCUCCACUACAAAGCCACAAACCAAUCCGAACCAGUUACCGACAUUGACCAUUGACUCUCCCCUAAAACUAGCGAAGAAGGAGAAAAAGGACACUCGAUGAAACAAACGGCUUAUCGUAGAAACCGGUGAGAAAGUGUAAAUUUAGAGCCGGAUUCAUCUUUUACUUUUUGAUUGGCUGUGAUGGGAUCCAUGCACAUAUACACAACUCUUAUUUUUUGGAUUAAAUGGUGAUAAAUGGUAGAAAAUUAAAUAUUGUAUAGCUGUAAGAGUUAAACAGUGGUAUCAUUUAGUUAAAAUCUGUCUAAAUAAAAAAUAAAUAUUAGUAGAGGUUGCUUUUAUCAACGGUUUGAUGAAAAAAUUGCCAAUGUUUUUACACUUAAAUUUUAGGACUAUAAUCUCAUAAAAUAUGAAUUAUUAUUCAAUCUAUAAAUUAAUAAAAGUGUACAUCAAACUCUUAAGAUAAUGAUUAAAUACAAUAAAUCAUCAUAAAAUGGUAUAAUCACACAUGAAUCCUUAUAAUAUUGGUUGCAAAUUUAUUUAUUAACAAUAAAUUUAUACUAAUUUAUAAGAAAAAUAAUAAAUGAGUGUUAAUAUUUAUCAUUAAUCAUAUCCCUAAUUCCUUUUAUUUAUUUUUGCUAUCCAACGAAUUAAAAUACAAACUACUAUUUUUUGUUGUUCAACACUUGUAAUAAACUUUCCUUUUUUUGUUCAAACGUAAUAAAGUUUCCAAAACUUGCGAUAACAUAUCUUCUCUCUCCCCCCGGUUAUAAAUAAACCGGAUAAGUGCACAGAACAAAGCAACACGAUAGCCAAGAAAGCAUCAUCUCUCUCUCUCUCUCCAACUUUCCACAAUGCUCACGACACGACCAACAUUUGUCUCUGUCGGUUUCUUCUUCCUCUUUCUCUCUCUACCUCUCUCCACUCUCUCUCAACCCUCUAUGUCCUCAGUCUACGACUCCUUCCUCAAAUGCCUCUCGGAGAAGACAAAAACGCCACAAUCCCAAAUCGCCAAAAUCGUCUUCUCUCAGAGCAAUCCUUCUUACACCUCCGUCCUCCGCGCUUACAUCCGCAAUGCGAGAUUCAACAAAUCCUCCACUCCCAAACCGACCAUCAUCAUCACUCCUCUCUCCGAGAGCCACGUCAGCGCCGCCGUCCUCUGCUCGAAGCCGUUGGAUUUCGUCUUCAAGAUCCGAAGCGGCGGCCACGACUACGACGGUCUCUCGUACAUCUCCGACAAACCGUUUUUCAUCCUCGACCUGUCGAACCUCCGCGACGUCUCCGUCGAUAUCGCCGGGCAAACGGCUUGGAUCUCCGCCGGAGCCACUCUCGGCGAGGUUUAUUACCAUAUCUGGGAGAAAAGCAAGGUCCUUGGAUUCCCUGCCGGAGUUUGUCCGACGGUUGGUGUCGGAGGUCACUUGAGCGGCGCCGGGUACGGUAACAUGCUGAGGAAGUUCGGAUUGACUGCCGAUCACUUCAUCGACGCGAAGAUGGUCGACGUAAACGGCGCCGUUUUGGACCGGAAAGCGAUGGGGGAAGAUCUUUUCUGGGCUAUCUCCGGCGGCGGAGGAGGAAGCUUCGGCGUCGUUUUGGGUUACAAGGUCAAGCUUGUUCCGGUGCCAGCGACCGUGACGGUGUUCCGGGUGGAGCAGUUAAUGGCCGCCGGAGCGGUGGACAUGGUUCACAAGUGGCAGUUCGUUGGUCCGAAAACCGACAAGAAUCUGUUCAUGAGGAUGCUGAUCCAACCGGUGACGAGGAACAAGGUGAAGACGAUUAGAGCCACUGUGGUGGCUCUCUACUUAGGAAAAGCAGACGACGUCGUUUCGCUUCUUAGUAAAGAGCUUCCUGAGCUAGCUCUAAAGAAAGAGAACUGUACGGAGAUGACUUGGUUCCAGUCUGCUCUAUGGUGGGACAAUCGCGUCAACGCGACUCAGACCGAUCCUAAAGUGUUUCUCGAUCGGAAUCUCGACUCCUCCAGCCCCGGGAAGAGGAAGUCAGAUUACGUCGAGACCGAGAUUCCAAGAAGCGGGAUCGUGUCUCUGUUCAAUAAGAUGAUUGAGUUAGGGAAGAUCGGGCUCGUUUUCAACCCUUACGGUGGAAGAAUGGCGGAGAUAGCGGAAGACGCGACACCGUUCCCACACAGGAACAUGCUUUUCAAGAUUCAGUACUCUGUGAACUGGAAAGAAUCGUCUCCGGAGUUGGAGAAGGGUUACUUGAACCAAGCCAAAGUGCUUCACAGUUUCAUGACGGGUUUUGUGAGCAAGAAUCCUAGAGGUGCUUACUUGAACUACCGUGAUGUCGAUAUCGGGGUGAAUGAUCAUGGGGAGGAUAGUUAUAAGGAAGGAGAGGUGUAUGGAAGGAUGUAUUUUGGUAAAAACUUUGAUCGGUUAGUGAAGAUCAAAACCGCGGUGGAUCCGGGGAAUUUCUUCAGGAAUGAACAGAGUAUACCUACCUUGCCAAGUAAGGCAAAUUAAGAUAUAUAUUGUUAAUCAUUUGAUAUAAAGAUUGGUUUUUACUUUUAAUGUAAUGCUUUGGUGAAGCAGUAUUGAAUGUACGGUUUUGGAUAUUGUAUAUUGACUAUUGAAUAGUUUCUAUGUUUCAUGGAACUAUAAGCUUGCCUAGAUUGCUUGUGUAUGAGAGAGAUUCAGAGAACUAAUAAGUCAAAGUUUCUGGUAUUGAAAGUUAGUUACCUGCUUUUGAAACUCAUGGAGAAAAUAGUGGGUGUUUACUGUAUUAAGUGUUUGGUUUGGAGUAGUUAACGGUGAAUCUGGACCGUGUUCUUCUUACAUGCAUUUUUGUGUCAUGAAUGACCUAAGUGUUGACUUUUAUACUCGAUUUGGUCACAGUUGCGAAGAGAACAGGGGUGCCUGAGCAGGGGACGGCGAAACGGUGGUCAGGGGCCGGAGGAGCCACGGUAGUUGCAUCGGUGCUUUUACACGUCAUCUAAAGAUUUUUGUUGUUGUUGUUGUUAUGAAUCAUUGACCAGUGGUAUCUUUUUCAUAAGAUCAAUAGAGCAUCACUUCUGAAGUGACAGCUUUAAAAUGGACAGAGCAUUCAGUGAAGUGUUAGUUAACCAUGUUUAGAUCUUGUACUAAUUCUUAUCGUGAUAUAAUUGCGAUCACUUCAAAAUGUUAAAUUCUAAUUUUUACAGUAACUGAAGUAUAUAAAAACAUUAAAAAUGUUCAUCGUUUUUAGGAAGUGUAUAGACUUGUGUAUAUACAAUUUAUACAUGAGUGGCUACUGGUAUGCUGCACAAGUUUUUCUUUUCUUCAUGAGUUUCAUGCGUAUUAGCUAUUAGCACAUAAGAUUUCACAAUUUGAAAAUGUAAGUUGGUAUAUAUUUUUCUGCAUUUUAAUUUAAAUAGUGUAUAGAAGUUUAAUCUUACCAAUAAAAAUAAAAAUUUGUUAAUACUGUAGAUUUUAUUAUUUGCUUACCAAUAUUUUAAUACAAAUUUGACUUAACUAAACAUAAUUUUUUUUAAAAAAAUAUUUAUUUUAAAUAUUAUUUAAGAUUAUAUAUGUAUAUAUUUAAAAUUAUAAUCUUAGAUAGUUUUUCUAUCUAUUUAUUUUGGUUAAAUAUAUCAAAUCAAGUUGUAUAAGUUAAUAAAGUUGAUAUAAAAAUUGUAUAAUUAUCAAAAAUUAAAACUAAAUAGUAUUUAUAAAAUUGGUAUAUAUGUAAGAAACUAAUGAUUUUUUAACUAAAAUUGUAUAAUUAUAAAAAUAGAAUUAAAUAAUAUUUCGAAAAUUUUAGUGUUAUAUUUGAAUAAAUUUAUUUUAGUGAUGAUGUAUUUGUAGUUACCAUAUUCUACAAAUUUUACCAAAAUAUAAAUCAACAUUUAAUGUAAUGUAUGAGUUAUUACAAUAUUUUAAAAUGAUUACCAAAAAUAUAAAUUAACAUUAAAUGUAAUUGUUCAUGUCAUAUUUAACCAUAAUCCAUGUUAUCAAUUUUAGUAGUUAUGCCAUAUUUUUGUGAAAAUGAUCGUAAAGAAAACAUAUGUCAAAUCAGUUCUUAAAUAAUGUAUAAGAGAUGUCACCAUAAGCCAUGUCAUCAACUUUAUUAGUCAUAUCAUUUUUUUAUAAAAAUGAUUGUAGAAAAGACAUGUGUUAUGUCACUUUUUAAAUAAUGUCUAAGGGAUAAAUAAUGUUUAAGGGAUGAUUGCGAUCACUUGAAAAUGUUAAAAUUAUGAUUUCAAAAAUAACUCAAGGGUAUAAAACAUUAAAAAUAUUCUCCGUUUUUUAGAAAGUGUAUAGACUUGUGUAUAUACUUCGGUUAUUUAUCGGUUCGGUUUGGGUUUGGUUCGUUUAAUUUGGUUCUAUAAUUUUUCUAACCAAAGUAAACCAUAAUUAGUUUGGUUUGGAUCGGUUUCGGUUCGGUUUUUAUUCGGUUUGGUUUGUGUUUCAGUUCGGUUCAGUUGGAUUCCCCUAGUUUAAUUCUUUUAAGAAAAAUCAUGUUUUAAAACAUAAACACAUGGUCAUGAAAUCAUCAUGUUGGUGACUAUGAAAAACUAAAUUCAAAAUAAAAUUGAAACAUACAAAAAACUUUUUAAGAAAACAAAAAAACAUUUAUAAGAACAUAAUCAAAUCAAAGUUAACUAUUGUACAAUAAAUAGAAAAUAAAGAAACAUUGUUAACAAUGCCUCUUGAAAAUAAAUAUGUAAACUAAAUCUAAUAUAAAACUGACAAAAAACAUGAACAAACCACCAAAAUUUUAUUAGAAAACAAUCAAACAAAAGUUAACUAAAGUAAAAUAUAAAAUUAAAAUUAAACAAUAUCGUUAAUAAAGUUAACAAUGACUUUAGUCUUAGGAUUUUAGUAUAUUGUAUAUUGUUUAAUUCAAAUAAUAACAAAAGCACAUUGGUUGUGAGUUCGGUUUAAUUUAGUUGGGUUCGGAUCGGUUUCAGUUCAGUUGGUUUGGGUUGGAAAAAUCUUAAACCUAACUGUUUGAUACUAGACUUUGGUUCGGUUUGGAUCCACUUUGGUUCGGUUGGUUCGGUUCGUUCGAUUCGGUUUUUUCGCCCACCCCUAAUAUACAUGAGUGGCUACGGGUAUGUCCCAAGUUUUUCUUUUCGGUAUGUCCCAAGUUUUUCUUUUCUUCACAAGUCAUCAUCAUGCAAAAUGAGAUUCAUGCGUAUAUUAGGCUAUUAGCACAUACGAUUUCACAAUUUGAAAAUGAAAGCCUAUAUUUUCUGCAAAUCAAACAAAGCUUUUAUUGAAGGACCCUUUAUUCAAAAUAUGGACUAACGUACAGUUUAUGAAGAAAAAGAGAAUGAAAAUGAAACAAUAGUUCGGUUUCAGAACAAAGCUUUUAUUGAAGGACCCUUUAUUCAACAAUACAAUAACUUAUAGGAUCAAAGGGCUAAAAGAGAGGUAAGCUUGUAGGGAAACGAACUUGCAUCCAUUGCUUCUCAUACGUAACCAAAUGGGUCCAACCUAUCUCCUCCAGCAAACCCAGUUUCAUUUCGUACAGUUUCUUACUGGCUGUCUCGUUCUCGUUUUGGAUCAUCUC